RNAcentral lists this long non-coding RNA (93937 nucleotides) under Pelobates cultripes (western spadefoot toad). The record is from RNAcentral. Lineage: Eukaryota; Metazoa; Chordata; Amphibia; Anura; Pelobatidae.
CUCAGGACAGGAAAGCAGGGCUCGCAGACCCCCAGUAUCAGCUGUGUGUGACCGGCUAUAGCCCCCCAAUCUUACAGCUCUCUGUCCGCGUACACCCCACCUCCCCGGCCGCACUCUAUCGGCCUCUGGCCCCCAUCUGCUCGGCUCUCCGUGGUGCUGAAAGCUGGGGCCGCCCCGGGGAGGAGGAAUCCGGCCCAAGCUGCAGCAAGCGGGGAGAUCUGUCGAGAAAUCCGGAGGGCCCGCAGGAGAGCACCGAGGCUGCUGGAGCAGCACAGGCCACAGCAGCUCCAUGUAAACAUAUAGAAACCCCCCCAAUCCAAGAGAACACCCCGGCUUUUCCACUAGACUUUAACAAAGAACCCUAAAUCUACUGCCACCCCACCUCUAUGAGGCAUUAAAUUAAAGGGUCUCCAGCACUGACAGGAGUAGCACUUUUUUUGUUUUUUUAAAGCCAAAACCCUACCAAGAGACCCUCACAUUAAAAGGUGCAGCUCUGCUUGAGACCCCCAGGUCCAGUGAACACCACCUGCUUGCAAGCAAGGGACCCUCAUAUUGAAAGGAACAUCUCUGCUGAGACUAUAAGCUCCCCUGAGCACCCAUUCCUGCAAGAAAGAGACCCUCAAUUAGACAGAAAAGACCACAGAUAUUCAAGAUAACACAGGACAGAUCGUGAGACAUACAAGUUUCCUGGAUUCCCAUCUCAAAAAGACCCCCAUCGGCUUCACAUCACAGCAGAAGAAGCACAUAUCUAUCAGCCCUCUAUAUUGUUAGAAAAUCACUAAUCCCCAAAUAUCAGGUGGGAAACCCCCUCAUGAAUAAAACUUCUAGCUUAGUAUCUCUAUGAGACCCCCACAUCAUCCUGCAUUCUGUGCACUGACAUAUCAGAUAUCUCCCCCCACCACAUGCCUCUUAUUUACAGGGACUUUUAAAUCUUACAGAGGUAAAAGAACACUCUGUUGGAAAAGUCAGAGAUGCUUAACCACUGAGACCCCAAAAUCUAGGUCUCUACUGUUUCUUUACUGAACACCCUAAAAUCAUCACUUUUUAAAGUCAAAACCUGACCCAACCUGGCUAACUCACCUCUUCCAUACUACUCCUGUUACCUCUUGGAAUUUGUAUUAACUGUAGUCUGUGAUAUAGGAUAUUAACCCAUCCAAGGAAUAUACCAAUCCAAGUUCAUCCUAAUAAGGACCACUGACCUUCACCAGCUCCUGAGAUCAAGGUAGGAAAAUAUCACUUCUACAUCAGGGAUUCAAUAAAUAGUGUUAUACUAUCCUGUGUUUGCUCUAAAAGAAUAAUUGAGGGGCAAGCUCAAAAAAUGUUUCUUAGCUUUUUCCAUAAUAUACCAAUUUUCAUUUUACAUCUUGAGUCCUCUGUAACCUCACCUCCCUAGUACUUGCCAAAGGUUCACUAUUUAUUUGUAUGAUGGUGUUAUAUUACAUGCACAAUGCAUUAUGCAUGGCUAUCAAUAGGGAUUUACAUGUAGGGCACUCAAAAUAGGAAUCAAGUGGUUAAGGUAAUUUAACAUAGGUACACUUGACAUUGUAUAAUAUGCUCACUGUAAUACAAGAUUGUACACCUUAUAUUGGAUCAACCUGAACAUGGUGUAUCACAAUUAUUGGUAACUUGUGCAUGUAGAAGUAUGUUUUCAUAUGUCGUAAUACCAUAUAAAUCAAUAGAAUACUUUCUUUAGUGGUCCUUUUUUAAAACGUUUUUGUGGAGUCUAUGCUCUUCCAAUCUGCAGAAUUUUAAAUUAAACCCAAAAUUCAGUUAGUGGCUAAAUACCAUAGAGCCAACAAUGAUGGCUGCUUUAUCCACAGGUGGUUUGCUGGAGAUUUUAAUAUCAGUUCUAGCGUGUUUCAGUACUUUAAGAAUGUGGUAUAUAUGUUAUAGCAAAGCAAAUGCUAUGUACAGUUUUGACUUUGUGAGUACCUGUCUCAGUCUUUGGUUGUGGCUGUAUGGUCAAAGCAUUUGUAGUGAUGGGAUAGCCAGUUAGAUGAAAGCUGUAGAGUUGCAUUGAAAUUAAACAUAUUACCAUGCAUUUUUAAUAUAGAAUUUCUUAGAUGCUGAUGUUAUCAGUAGGAUGUGCCGAUAGAUACUGGAUUAUUUAAAGUGUGGAUGUGAGCCAUAAGAACAAUGCGGAAUGAAGUGAGCGGAUUACUGUGUUUAAUGACUGAAAAUAAGACAUCCUUAGUUUUGUUAAUAAGUCACAUAUAACAUUCUUCUUUACAACAUGGUACUUUAGUGGUGUAUACAAUUUUAGCCACAAAUGCUAUAUAAAUGUGUCAUCAGCCUAGUGUGCAUAUUCCAUUUAAAUGGGGCUCUGUCCUUUGUAAGAAGUCAACACAGAAAGCACAAUUUAAAAUGUGACAUUAAAUAUCAGAAGCAAUUUUAAGGUAUAAUGCAGUAAUAUACAGUGGUUUUAUUACUAUCCUAUGCUUUAUCGUGUUUCAUGAGAAAAACUUUUUUUGUCCAUAAAAAUAAUUUGUCACUGACUUUUGUUUGUUUUCAUUGUUCCCAGGUGAUAAUACAUUAUAACUUGCAUCUGUGUAUAUUAUUAUCUGCAGCAAGACGAGAUUAUAGGCACUGUAUCUAAAUGGCUGUGCGUCAGCAAAAUGUUGUGGGGGGGAAAAAAAGGCUUAUGGCCAGUAGGACGAUGAAAUCAUUAAUGUUAUUUCAAGCUUCUGAUUUUCCAGAAAUCCUGCCAUUUACUGAGAAAGAGACUGCGUCAUUGCUGUGGCAUAAAGUUACCUUAAAUUUUGUUCCAAUAGUCCAGUCAAUGGAUUUAUUUACUGUAAUGGUUUGUAGAUAUCGUUUCUGUUGUAUGAUUUUCUAUUUCUCAUGUAAAUUUGGAAAUAGCUUCUAUUUUGAACCACAUAUCAGUCUUUUAGGUGCUAGGUGUUCAUUUCAGAAAAGUUGAUUUCUUGACAGAUGCAUGACACACAUUUUAGAUAAACAUCUCAUCUACUUCAAAUGACUAUGUAUAGCACUUUAUAAAGCCUUUCUUUAGCAUGGAACUUGCUGGGGGAACAUUGCUGUGAAAUCGGUUGCGACUUAAAAGGGAGAGAACAGGUUAAUCUUGACAUUCAUGCCUUUUACACUCUGCUUCAGAUCAUUAUACAUGGUUCAGUUUCAUUGUCCCUUUAAAUAAUUGUAACAGUUUGUCAUUCUAUGUGAAGCAGGUAAUGUUUUGUUUCCUGCCCAAUUUAAAAUUAAAUAUAGAUAGACAGUUAUUCCAUAGAUAGACAGUUCGCUCCAAUAGCCAUACAAUUCUGCCAGCGGGGUGGCCCUGACUUUUCGACCUAUUUACAUCCAAUGGGACUCAGUGUCAUUAAAAUUAUGAGGUUCUAGGCAGUACCUUGUGGGAGUCUAAUGUACCAGUCUAGGAGAUUUUAUUGGUUACCUGGUAGAAAGACUUGUUAAUGUGCAUUAGUAUUGUAAGGGUAAGAAUUAACCCAAUAGUGAAAUCCAUUGUCCACCCAUACUGCAUGUAAAAUGCAAAGUAACAUUAAAAUGAAAAGAAAGCAGUGUAUUUGUAAUGCUUUUCACGUACAUUAUGUCAAGCACUAUUUGUUUCACCCAAUAGAUAAGACAUUACAGAUAGAUAGAUACAUACAUACAUAAAAACAUACGUACAUAUGUAAUUUUAUACAGUUUUUGUAGAAGUACCAAAAUCUUACCCAUCACUGGACACCAAGAGGAUUUUGUUGAAAGUCCAAUCAAAUUAUAUUUUCUUCUAAGGAACAUGGUUAUCAUUUACUUUAUCUAUAUGUUUACUGCUGGAAUUUACUGUAAAAUAUAUACGCAUAAAUCUCUUUCCAUCAACAAUUCAACUCUUGAAGGUUUAGACAGAAACAUUUUUGUCUAAUGCUCGAAGAAAGCACAAUGCAAAUAUAUUUUAUUUUAUACUAUUAUUAUGAUGCAUUGUUCUUCGUUAGAAUGUUUUUACUCCUUGCUGCUUACUGGCUGUUGAUGUUAAAGCCAUACAAAGGAGAAAGGGAACUAGGACUCCUAAUCAUUUACAGUGAUUACUAGCUUUUUAAAGGUUUAUAAAACACAUUGAAUCUUGAAUAUGUAAUCCUAAAAUUGUACAUGUUUCUAAACCUCUGUACUAGAUAUUAACUUGGCAUAUAUUUUAAAUUGGGAUCAGACUCAGUAUUAGUCUUGGACACACAUACAUACUUUUUAUAUUCUGCAGGUAGCUAUUUAUAAAUCACCAUUCCUGAACAUAUCAACAGAUUUCACAUGCAUAGCAUAUAAUCCAUACAAUGCGCUAGCAGAAAGAAAAAAUACAUUGAUACAAGAAUGGCCCUUUCAAUCACCUAUCAGUUACUUCUUGAAUUACAGUUCACUUGCUCUCCUACAUAGCAACUUGACUUCAUCCAAUACUGUGAUUAUUCCUUAUUAUGUCAGUACAUCUCAUACUUUGAAUAAUACAGGAACGGAGGCAGACAUGUCACCCUUUGAACAUGUAUUGUGUCAUUAAUGAAACCAACUCUAUGAGAGGCAGACCUUUGGAAGGUACUUACUAAGCUUUUCAGGCAGGACCAAUUGAGUAAGAGAUCGGCAGGUGGUAGUAGGAAACAGGAUGAGGGUACUACACCAGUUUAAUCCCUACAAACCCAGCGUGGAGACGGGGUGAAUUUCUGCUUAACAAUUCCUAAAGCAGUAAAAUAAAUAACGUAUCUUUAUGAUUGCUUAAGGAAUGGUAAGCACUUAUAGUGAACUUGUUGUGAUAGGUUCACAUUAAAGGGACACUAUAGUCACGAAAACAACUUUAGCUUAAGGAAGCACUUUUAGUGUAUAGAUCAUGAUCCUGCAAUCUCACUGCUCAAAUCUCUGCAAUUUAGGAGUUAAAUCCCUUUUGUUUCUGUCCAUGCUACCCCAGUCACACCUCUCCUGGCUGUGACUCAUACACCAUGCAUAAAAAAAAAAAAAAAAUGGUUACACUUUCAAUUAGAUGUAACUUACUUUAAUAGUUCUUAUUAAAAACCAAAGAAAAGAAAAAGUAACCUGCGCUCUCUCCUUAAUCCCUGUGUAUAUUUAGACAAAUAGAGGUCAUUUAGUUGCUCCAAUGGCCAUUGGAGGGAAUGCCCGCCUGCCAAUGUCAAGGCAGACCCCCCUAAAGCAGGUCCUACACUGUGUGUGAUACACAGCCUUGUUACAAUGCUGCCGCCCAUCCCAUGUGUUCCCUAUUAAGGGUUAAUAAGUAUACAGGGGUGUAUAUAAAAAAAUACCCCUCUCUGUCUCAUUAGAGAUAUCUUUGCCAGAAGCUCAAGGAAGCAGGCUGAAGGGUCAGCCUUGAGGGGGGGUCUGCCUUGACAUUGGCAGGCAGGCAUUCCCUCCAAUGGCCAUUGGAGCAACUAAAUGACCUCCAUUUGUCUAAAUAUACAUAGGGAUUAAGGAGAGAGCGCAGGUAACUUUUUCUUUUCUUUGGUUUUUACUAUAUAUUGGGGCUGAUGUGUACUGUAGUCAUUGCUGCCGGCCCAGUAGUGAUGGGAGUGAGUGCAGGAUUUCUCUUUUUGUAUUAAUAGUUCUUAUUGCCUGCUCUCUAAAGUGAACUUUAAUUAUACACAUAAUGCUUCUGUGGGGUCUAGCUAGCUAUCAACAGUGCAGGGGAUAAUACAUGUUAAAUUAAAUAGAGUUUGCAAUGAAUGAAGUGUAAACAUUAACUGACUCUGUACAGGAAGUAUUUAGGAAGGCUAAGUCACAUGCAGGGAGGUGUGACUAGGGUGCAUUAAUAAAGUUAUUUGACUCCUAAAUGGCAGAGAAGUGAGCAGUGACACUGCAGGGAAAUGAUCUACACACUAAAACUGCUUUAAUAAGCUAAAGUUGUUUUGGUGACUAUAGUGUCCCUUUAACUUCACAGUGUAUUGUAUAAAAUUGCAGCUUGUCUUUAUGCUAUUCCUGAACUUGUAGAGAGUAUCACACCCUAGAGUACAUUCUCUAAUAUUUUAUAUUCACAUUACAUAGGUGCCAACCAUUCACAAUCUGCUGGAACAGUUCAUCUUUUGGGGUUACUAUUCCAGCAAAAAUCUACCUGUAGAUUUCAAAAUUCAGGAGGGACUAAGCAUUAGGACCAUGCACAGAGUGCUUCAGCAGCACUCCAUGCAUGGUCUUCUUGAGGGGGAGGCAGUCAGCCUCUUUAGCGUCUGAUCCGUCCAUUUGAUGGCAAGACCCUCCCCUUUUUAUGAGUAGACCUGCUCAUCAUAAACCAAGAUACUGUAUUUUCUGGCGUAUAAGAUGACUUUUUAACCCUGGAAAAUCUUCUCCAAAGUCGGGGGUCGUCUUAUACGCCGGGUAUCUCCUGUACCGCGCGGUACCCGGCCGGACUGACAGGACGAAGAGGAGCUCGGCCACCCACUAUGCACAGGGAAGGGGAGGUGAGAAGAAUGUAGGGCCACCCACUCUGCACAGGGAAGGGGAGGUGAGAAGAAUGUAGGGAGGAUUGGGGGGUGGGGAGUAAAAAGAAUGGAGGUGGGGGAGUAAAAAGAAUGGAGGUGGGGGAGUAAAAAGAAUAUAUCGCAAUUAGCCUCCUGUGUGCUAGACCAGCAGGCAUGGAUUAUAUGCCCAAACAGCCUGGCACAUACCUGGGCUUUAAAUGCUAUUUCAGAUUAUUAUUAUUUAAUGUCUUGCUGUGUAGCUCUGUCUGCUCACUGUACAUCAUGGCUAAUUUUUAUUUGGUGUGCAUUGGAAGAGGGGUAGUCUUAUACGGUGAGUAUAUCCCAAACUCUAUAUUUUAACUGGAAAAGUUGGGGGUCGUCUUAUACGCCUAGUCGUCUUAUACGCCGGAAAUUACGGUAUAUAUGGGCAUUCACAAGUAUUCUUGUUGCAGAAAAAAAAGUAAAAUUUUAUUCCAUUACACAAACAAGCAAAGUUUAUGUUUUGGACCUCCUUCAGUCCUUUCUCAAGACAUUUAUUUAAAAUAAAUCCUAAACCAAUUAGUAGCAUACUUGCCCCACAGCUCCGUGCACAAACACUGAAACCGUACGUUUUUUUGGGUUGCUAUAUCCAAAAUGUCUUUCACUGUAAAAGGAGACAGACACAGUCUCCCCCUAUAUAUAUAUUAAAUAUAUAUAUAUAUAUACGUGUGCGUGUGUAUAUAUUUAAAGUUAUUCUUAACAAGCAUCAGGUGCUGAAAAUUGAUGUUUUCUCCUAAGUUUGUAUGCUAGCUAUGUUUUCAGUCUUAAAUCAGUAGUGAAGUAGUUAAGAGAGGAGAAUGUUUUAUUCAGUUAAAUAUAUUGUCUAUCACCCCCUUCUUUAUUUAAUUAUGUUCAAAUUCCCAAUCACGUUGUGUAUCUUUAAUCGUUUUUGAUCAUCCCGUUUAUUGCAAGUUUAAUCAUCUUUUCCUUCCUCUCUUGAUUAAUCUUCAGCAUUCAUUUAGGUCCAUUUUUGGAGUAAAUGUCUUUUUUUCUGUCUGUGUCCGCAGUCCGGGUGGUGUUUCAAUCCAUUUUAUGCUGGAAUUGAUUAGCUGUUGGAUAAAAUUGCUCCUGUUGAAAUAUGCGUUGCAAAUUUGUAAGAUAAUCAGGCUGAAUCAAGGCUGGGAGUCUUUCUUUAAAUAAGCCAUCAAGUCUGGGUGAUUUUAUGCUGGGAAACUAGAGAUAAUGCUUUCUUUUUUCCCCAUCUGACAACAUGCAAUUCUUACAAAUGUCGGAGUAUAAAUUUGGGGAAAAAAAUAAAAUGUCCUUUUAGAAAGGAUUAAGAUAAAACAGUGCAUGACAAUGCUGACUCUGUAUUUACGCAUUUGCCUCUGCAUAAUUCAUUCCUUUUGCACGCAUGGUGUAUACUUCACUUUACUGUACCACCAUGUUUUAAGUUGUAUACAUGUUUACAUAUUGACAUAUCUCUAAUAUUCCAAUUGGAAUUAGAAUUCUGAGUAUAAAGAUGAACAAAAACCUGUUUCUAGAAUCAAUUCUCUUUCUACAGCCUUUCCUCAAGGUCAAUGUCACCUACAGAAGUCCCAUCUUUUUUAUUUGCAUUCAAUACCAAUAUAUGCUACAGCCUGUAAACCGGCAUAUUUGGUAACAUUAUGCUAAAAAUACUUAGCAAGGUGGCCAACAUCACUCAAAAUGUUGCAUUAUGUUGUAUUAGUUCUGCUCUAUCCUUGAUCCUCCCCUGCUAUAAAUACUAUUCAUAUAUCAUCUAUACAACUAACACAAAACCUCUGUCUCAGUUUCUAGGGUGUUCCCAGCAUCUGAAGGCCUCUCUUAAAUUCAGAGGCACUCUAUUUUUGGGACCAAAAGCAGUUUUAUGAGGGAGGUCUUCUGAGACAACUUGUAGGACAAGGUAACUCUAGUUCUCUAUGCAUGGUCCCUCCAGUUUGACUACCUGGUUGUCAGAGCUCAUUUGUCAACAUAAUGCACAUGACACGACCAUCAUUCGCCCAGUCUGGGGACCUCUCAUUGUUGUGAGGCCUUGCAAUCAUGCUAAAUUUUGUUUAAUGUAUCAAGACCUAAUGACCUUUUAUACAAUACUAUUAAAAGACCACUAGAGGCCCCACAUGCCCUCCUUGCAAAAGUUAAUUUACUAAUCCUUUUCUAGUGCUGCAAGGGUCUCCUCAUGGUUGGCUCUGCUUAUGGUCUACCUUCUUCGCUAAGAUAAUUAAUUUUAAUGAUCUCAGCCAAUGCAAAUCUUUCAUAAAGAAAGGCAUUAGGAGGCUAUUGAGCAUGCACAGCAAACGUCACGCUGCACCAAUGAGCAUCUCCUCAUAGAGAUGCAUUGCAGAGCGUGGAGACACUGAACGUAAGUCAGGAAGCACCUCUUGUGGCCAUCUGAGUGACUUCCACUAGAGGUGUUCAUAGGCAGUAAUGUAAACACUGCUUUUUCUCUGAAAUGGCAGUGUUUACAUUAAAAUGCCUGCAUGGACAUACUUUACACACCAGAACAACUACAUUAAGAAUUUUUUAUAUCGUAAGUAGAUUUCAAUUAUUCACAUUAACACACACAUAAUAAGGAAAAUUAGUUUUCACUUAGUGUGUCCAUUUAUUAUGUUGUAUCCAUUAGUGUAUCCAUUUAUUAUUGCUCCCCUAGAGAGGAUGAGUUGAAAGGUCAUGCUGGUUGGGCCCCAGUAGGUGCCAUAUCAGCAUCACUAGUGGUCCAUCCCGCCCAUCAGGCUUUGUGCUGUAAUAACAGUCUCUGUGACAAAUAAAUGAGUUCUUCAAUGGAAAGUAUGUGUUCUAAUGUUUUUAGCCAUUCUGUGAGUAGUGAUCUUCUAAUACUGCGAUAUCAGAAACACAGCAGCAUUGAGGAAGCAUAUUGGGAGUGAGGCUCUAUAGGUAUUGAGUGAUUGUGUCGUAUGAUGCAAGAGCAGUGGCCCUGGAGUGAGGGGGGUAGCUCCUUAACCAUCAAAGAGAAUUUGAGACCAAAAUCUGCGCCUCCAGCAUCCCCCCAACUCUCCCAGUACAUAAGUGUUUAGAGCAAUCGGGGUCCUGCACCAACUUGAUAAUAGCUUAUAUGUUUCCUUUGUGCUUGAGGAAAUAGCAGAAUUGUGUGCAUGUGCUGCUUUUUUUGCUACUGCCUGUCGUUGAAGCAAAGUUUGAAAUCCUCCUCCCAUUUGGCCCUUUAUGUGGGUGGUUGUGCUGCCUCAAGGGACAUGAGUAUAGUGUAUAUUUGUGAAAAUAGGUGCUGCUUUGUGGCAUAGCGUUUCAAAUGGAAGUAUUGGUAACAUAUUUGUGCAGUCUGUGAUAGUGGACUUGGACCAAGAAUGGGACUGGAGUGUCUUGAGUUGGCACUCUCAAUUCUCUUAGUGGUCCCUGACUGUGUAGAUGGUGAACACAGAGUGUACCAGAGGAGUCAAUGAGGUCUAGCCAUGGAGCUAUAGUAGAGAACUAAGCUGUUAAGUCCGUCAGUGGUGUCAUUGGUCCUUUAUACUGUUUUUAUUUAUAUUUAGAGGGGCCUUGAAUAUAAAUAAAGAGGAAAACACUAUAGCUUUAGGAAUAAAGGUAUUUAAAGGAGCAUGGGAGGAGGGGACGGCUGAGGUGCACAUAUACAAACGCUUCUCAUAGGCAGUAUAUUAAUGGGAGGGAAGGGGAAGUGUAUUAAUUUGAGGGAGGGAGGGGGCACUGUAUUAAUGUGGGGAAGUCAGGGGGCCAGUGUAUUAACUUGGGGAGGAUAGGGGCAAUGUAUUUGAAGGAAGGAGGGGGCAAUGUAUUUAUUUUAGGAAGGGAAGGGGUCAGUGUAUUUAUUUAUUUGAGGGAGGGAGGGGGCCAGUGUAUUAGAGUGGUAAGGGGCAGUGAGUUACAUUAGGGGUAGGGAGGGCAAUGUAUUAAAGUGGAGUGGGGGCAGUAUAUUCAAUUAGAGUGGAGGGAGGAGGGGCAGUGUAUUAGAUUAAGGGGCAAUGUAUAAGAUAGGGUUAAGGGGGCCUUGUAUAACAGUGGAGGGGGGGGCAAUGUACUGGAUUUGUGGGUAGUGUAUUAGAAUGGUGGAGGGGCAGUGUAUUAAAUUAGGUCUGCAUGGAGACGCUGAACGUUCCCAUGGAGAUGCUGUUUGGCCGUGCAGCUUUUUGCCACCCAUGCACAAUAGCCUCCCAAUGCUUUCCUAUUGGAAAGCAUUGGAUUGGCUAUCAUCAAGUUUAUAGAAACAUAGAAACAUAGAAACAUAGAAUGUGACGGCAGAUAAGAACCAUUCGGCCCAUCUAGUCUGCCCAAUUUUCUAGAUACUUUCAUUAGUCCCUAGCCUUAUCUUAUAGUUAGGAUAGCCUUAUGCCUAUCCCACGCAUGCUUAAACUCCUUUACUGUGUUAACCUCUACCACUUCAGCUGGAAGGCUAUUCCAUGCAUCCACUACCCUCUUAGUAAAGUAAUACUUCCUGAUAUUAUUUUUAAACCUUUGUCCCUCUAAUUUAAGACUUUGUCCUCUUGUUGUGGUAGUUUUUCUUCUUUUAAAUAUAGUCUCCUCCUUUACUGUGUUGAUUCCCUUUAUAUAUUUAAAUGUUUCUAUCAUAUCCCCCCUGUCUCGUCUUUCCUCCAAGCUAUACAUGUUAAGAUCCUUUAACCUUUCCUGGUAAGUUUUAUCCCGCAAUCCAUGAACCAGUUUAGUAGCCCUUCUCUGAACCUCUCUAAGGUAUCAAUAUCCUUCUGAAGAUACGGUCUCCAGUACUGUGUACAAUACUCCAAGUGAGGUCUCACCAGUGUUCUGUACAAUGGCAUGAGCACUUCCUUCUUUCUACUGCUAAUACCUCUCCCUAUACAACCAAGCAUUCUGCUAGCAUUUCCUGCUGCUCUAUUACAUUGUCUGCCUACCUUUAAGUCAUCAGAAACAAUCACCCCUAAAUCCCUUUCCUCAUAUGUUGAGGUUAGGACUCUAUCAAAUAUUCUGUACUCUGCCCUUGGGUUUUUACGCCCAAGAUGCAUUAUCUUGCACUUAUCCACAUUAAAUGUCAGUUGCCACAAUUCUGACCAUUUUUCUAGUUUACCUAAAUCAUUUGCCAUUUGGCUUAUCCCUCCUGGAACAUCAACCCUGUUACAUAUCUUAGUAUCAUCAGCAAAAAGACAUACCUUACCAUCAAGACCUUCUGCAAUAUCACUAAUAAAAUAUUAAAGAGAAUGGGUCCAAGUACAGAUCCCUGAGGUACCCCACUGGUAACAAGUCCAAGCUUCGAAUAUAUUCCAUUAACUACAACCCUCUGUUGCCUGUCACUCAGCCACUGCCUUACCCAUUCAACAAUAUUGGAAUCCAAACUUAAAGAUUGCAGUUUAUUGAUAAGCCUUCUAUGUGCAACAGUGUCAAAAGCCUUACUGAAAUCUAGGUAAGCAAUGUCUACUGCACCACCCUGAUCCAUAAUUUUAGUUACCCAAUCAAAAAAAUCAAUAAGAUUAGUUUGGCAUGAUCUCCCUGAAGUAAACCCAUGUUGUCUCUGAUUUUGAAAUCCACAUGUUUUUAGAUGUUCAUCAAUCCUAUCCUUUAACAUGGUUUCCAUCACUUUCCCCACUACUGAAGUAAGGCUUACUGGCCUAUAGUUGCCCGACUCCUCCCUAUUACCUUUCUUGUAAAUGGGCAGAACAUUCGCUAUCUUCCAAUCUUCUGGGACUACUCCUGUUAACAAUGAUUGUUAAAUAAAUCUGUUAAUGGUUUUGCUAGUACACCACUAAGCUCUUUUAAUAGCUUUGGGUGUAUUCCAUCAGGUCCCAUUGACUUAUUUGUCUUUAUGUUUGACAGUUGAAAUAGAACCUCUUCCUCUGUAAACUCACGUGUAAUAAAUGACUCAUUUAUCCUUUUUCUCAACUGAGGUCCCUUUCCUUCAUUUUCAUCUGUAAAUACAAAACAAAAAUAUUCAUUGAGGCAGUCAGCUAGACCUUUAUCCUCUUCUACAUACCUUCCUUCUUUUGUUUUUAAUCUAACUAAUCCUUGUUUUACUUUUCUUUUCUCAUUUAUGUAUCUAAAAAAUGUUUUAUCCCCUUUUUUACUGACUGUGCUAUUUUCUCUUCUGUGUGUGAUUUGGAAGCUCUUAUAACUUGCUUAGCCUCUUUCUGCCUAAUCUUAUAGAUCAUUUUGUCUUCCUCACUCUGGUUUUUUAUAAUUCCUAAAUGCUAACUUUUUGUUUUUAACUAUUUUGGCCACAUCUGUGGAGUACCACAGUGGUUUCUUGAAUUUUUUGCUUUUACUGACAAGCCUAAUGCAAUUUUCUGUUGCCUUCAAUAGUGCAACUUUUAAAUAAUCCCAUUUCUCUUGGACUCCAUUUAAAUUGCUCCAGUCUGAUAAUGACUCCUCUACACAUAUUCUAAUUUUAGAAAAGUCUGUUUUUCUAAAGUCUAAAACUUUUGUUUUUGUGUGGUGUGACUCAGUCACUGUUCUUAUAUUAAACCACACUGACUGAUGAUCACUGGAUCCUAAACUUUCACCUACAGUAAUAUCUGAUACCAAAUCUCCAUUUGUUAACACCAAAUCUAGUAUGGCCUCUUUACGAGUUGGCUCCUCAACAACUUGUUUUAGAGACAAUCCCAGUAGGGAGUUUAGAAUAUGUGUGCUCCUGGCAGAAGUAGCUAAUUUUGUUUCCAAUUUACAUCAGGAAGAUUAACGUCACCCAUGAUGAUAACUUCCCCUUCAUUGUCAUUUUAGCUAUUUCCUCAACUAGUAGAUUAUCUAACUCUUCAAUUUGUCCUGGGGGCCUAUAAAUCACACAUACAUGAGUUACUGUGUGAUUACCAAAUUUUAACGUAACCCAAACGGACUCUUUGUUUGCCUCACUAACUUUUAUUAGGCUAGAUUUUAUGCUAUCCUUCGCAUACAAGGCCACCCCUCCCCCUUUCUUGCCUUCCCUAUCUUUCUUAUAUAAAGAGUACCCUGGUAUUGCUAUGUCCCAGUCAUUUUUCUCAUUAUACCACGUCUCAGUAACAGCGACUAAAUCUACACUAUCAGUUGCCAUUAUUGCCACAAGUUCAUGGAUCUUAUUCCCUAAACUGCGAGCAUUUGUAGACAUGACUCUAAGCUUAUAAUUUUUUAACACACUUGCUACAGGCACCUUCUGUCCUUGUUUUGGGGGACAAUUGGAUUGAUGUUUUAUCACCCUUUUGCCCCCCCCUCCUAGUUUAAAUACUUCUUAGCAAAACCUCUGAACUGCUCACUGAGAACAUUUGUUCCCUUUUGAGAAAGAUGCAAACCAUCUUUUUUGUACAACUUAUCUCCAUUCCAAACAGAGCUACCAUGAGAAAUAAAGCCAAAUCCUUGCUCCCGACACAAUUCACCAAGCCACAAAUUAAAGUCCCUAAUACGCAUCCGCCUGUCGUUCUGAGUGUUAUGCACAGGCAGAACUUCAGAGAAUGACAGUGUGGAAGCAACCUGCCGUAUAUCAUUGGCAAAAACACUAAAAACUUCCUUAACCUCUGAAACCUCAUUGCAAGCCAAGUCAUUUGUCCCUAGAUGGACAAGUACAUCCAAUUCCCCUUCCUGCUUUGCUUGCUUAACAAUAUUACAGAUACGUCUCCUGUCUCUGUGAGCAGUAGCUCCGGGAAGACACCUCACAAGACCACCAUUGUCCAUCUCCACACCUCUUAUAAUGGAAUCCCCCAACAACAACGGCUUUCUAUUAGGUCUCACCAUAGUCUCCAAGCCAGUCUCCACAACACCACUAGCCUCAGUGCCUCUCUCCACAACACCACUAGCCUCAUUGCCUCUCUCCACAAUACCACUAGCCUCAGUGCCUCUCUCCACAACACCACUAGCAUCAUUGCCUCUCUCCACAAUACCACUAGCCUCAGUGCCUCUCUCCACAACACCAUUACACUCUGAAAGUGCAGAAAAUGAAUUAUGAAGAGCAACAGACUGUGCAAUAUGCCUUUUAUCCACAACUCUAAGUCUACCAGAUCCUACAGUAAUCUAUCUGCCAUUCCUAGUAUGUCUCUGCGGCAGUGGCUUUGCAGCAGUUCCAGUCUGAGUUUGUUCACCAGAUAAUUUACAAAUCUCAGACUUCAAAAAUACAAUCUCCUGCCGCAAAAUAGAGAACUGUCUACAGAUUAGACAACAACCAAACCUCCAAAAAGUGGAACGUGAAACAAAUGCAUAGCAACUAUUACACUGAACUAAGUCUGCCAUUCCAAUGAGGAGAAUAAUUUAAAUCAAACAAAUCUUAACUUUGUGUUUAUCCUCCUGAAUACCUCAGAUUACCUCCAGUUUAUAUCCAGAAUAUCUCCAACUACACACUUAGAAACAGCACUUAGAAGUAGCAACCAAGCUAUAUUAGCCAAGCUAAUGGCAACAGCCCUUAUAUAACUCCUAAAAUCACCACCCACUAGGAAUAUUUAACACCUGGGUAGGCCUCUGCUUAUUUGCAAACAAUAGCUAAUUUAAACAGCAAUCAAUAGCAAGUAAUCUAAUCAAAUGCCGUAUAAUUACUAACAGAAAUUCAAACCUUGUGCAAUCAGUAACCUUUUCCUACAGAUGAAUCUUACCUGUAACAGUAGAAAAGAAAGCUCUUAGCACAACUCUUAAACUGUUGAAGCUUCUGUAAAACUCUCCAGAAUAUCUCCAACUACACACUUAGAAACAGCACUUAGAAGUAGCAACCAAGCUAUAUAAAAUAACUUAGCUCUUUUGUUUACUUUGAAGCCCUACAAGUAUAAGGAUAUCCAGUGUCAGGCAAUUAUUUUGAUACUGUACUAGUACCUUGGGGAUACCUAGGUUUCAUAAAACCACUCAAAACAGUUUAAAAACAACCAAACUUUUAUUUUUUCGCCAUAAAAAACAAUCACAAUAUGUCUGUAAGCAGGUCUGCCGAGACAACUGAAUAUUUUAAUAUGUUGUUGCUAAUCUCCACCCCCUCAUAUUUUAAUAUUUUAAAUGUUAAUAUUGUAAAUGAUGUAUUUCUAACAUUAUAGUGUUUUACUAUACAUUUUGAUUACUGGUGUCCUUAAAACAUUAAUUAAAGCAGUUUUACUUUUUACCUUUUACCCCUCCUUACUCCAGUCUCAUUCAGCCCACCCUUUAUGCCUUGGCUGAAAUCAUCAGUGAUGAUGAUCUCAGCCAAUUACUGCCUCAUGUGCAUGUAAAGUAUUUGCCAUGCUGCCUUAAUGAGCCUCACUAAUGCUUUAGUUCAAUGUAUCUCUAUGUGGAGAGUUCCGAACCUUCAUGCAGAAUGAAGAUACCAAACAUCAGUCCUGCAAAGAUUGCUAGUGGCUGUGUCACAGUGAUAGCCACUACAGGUGUCCAUUUCUAUGCAAUGUAGACAGGUAGAGGCUCUUUACCUAAGUGAUUCAACUCUAAGCACACAGGUCUGCAAACUCUGUCACCAUACCCUGCAAAUAAUAGAGAUAACCCCUCUGUUCAGGAGUACAAGAAUUACCAAAAUAUUGUAUUCACAAUGUAAACUUGUUAAAGGCUAGGCCUUGUGGUGAAUUCCCAAAAUAUUUCAUUCACCACAUGGCCUAGCCUUUAACAAGUUUACAUUAAACUUGUAAUGACACAGUCACAGUAAUAUAUAAAAUCUAAAACCACAGUAGAACAUAUAUCCAAUAUCAGAAUAUAAUAAAAUAUCUCUUAGUAACUGGAGAGGUAAAUCAAGAACACACAGACAAACUGUAAAGUGUACCUGUAACAAUCUGAACAUUGAAAUAUAUGCAAAUUAGACAAUUUAAGCAUUCAUUGUUCUCACUGCAGUGCUGACAGAUAUAGAGUUUAAUGGCUGUGACACUCAAAGCGACAUCCCGUUGCAAUCUCCUCUAAAAAAGAGAUCUCUUUACUAAGAGGUUGUCUCAUUGGAGUACACAAAGGAAAUUUUAUUUAGUGUUUUGCUAUUAUAAAUUAGAAAGAAUAAACAUGGGUGUUUUGCCUUCUAGAUAAAAAUACAAAUAUUUAGAAAUUGAUGGGCCUUUAGAACUUGAUGUUAGCCAAUUUAUGCUAAAAGUGUGCUUACGUGUCUCAUUAAGAAUAAUGUGUACUAUAUGUUACAUUAAAUGCUGAUUACACUCAGGAGCAUACUGAUGCACUUGUGGGUUGAGGAAUAAAAGAAAUCUUUCAAAACUUUCCAAGGUCAUAGGAACCAACUCCUUAUCCUUUAGGGAUUCAGGCUGCUGAGCAGGCCCGGACUGGCCAUCGGGCACACCGGGCAAAUGCCCGGUGGGCCGCGAUGGCUGUGGGGCCGAGGCCGGCAAGGAGAUCACAGGAUCUCCCCUGCCGGCCCCUGCAGGGCCAGCGCUACCCGAGCGCCGGCCCCGCUGUGUGCCUCCAUGGGCCGGUGGGGAGAUCACAGAUCUCCCUCACCGGCCCAGAGGCACUGUUACAUGCGGCCGCCGGCUGGGGAGUGAGGGAGGGAGGCAGGAGAGAGGACCGACUGAGCUCUAACCAGCAGCUCCGCCGGGUCCUCUCGCGGGAUUCUAAGCGUUGCCGCGGUUACCGCGGCAACCCUCAGAUCUCGCGAGAGUGAACUGUAACCUGCAGGUUAGAGUUCACUCUCACCACUGGACCACCAGGGAAGGCAGCAUGGCUCCAACCCCCCAGGGAGAACGGAUCUUCUCCCUCCCCCCCCUCCCAGGAUAAAGGUAAGAAGGGAGGGGGACAUAACUUUUUUUUUUAAAUUAUUAAUAAUUAUUAAUUAUAAUGAUAUUAUAAUUAUUAAUAAAAUAAAAAAAUAUAUAUUUAAAAUAAUUUCCCUAACAGCCCCCCAGACACACAGAGCCCCCCCCAGACACACACAGCACCCCACAGACACACACAGCACCCCACAGACACACACAGCUACCCCACAGACACACACAAAGCUCUUCCCACAGACACACACAGCGACCCCUCAGACACACACACAGCACCCCACAGACACACACAGCCCCCCACAGACACACAGUACCCCACAGACACACACACAGCACCUCAUCACACACAGCAAUCUUACAGACACACAGCUCUACAGACACACACACACCCCACACACACACAGCUCCCCACAGACACACACAGCACCCUACAGACACACACAGCACUUCAGACACACACAGCACCCCACAGAUACACACAGCCCCCCACAGACACACACAGCACCCCAUAGACACACACAGCGCACCCCGAGACACACACAGCGCACCCCCAGACACACACAGCUCCCCACAGACACACACAGCACCCCACAGACACACACAGCACCCCACAGACACACACAGCGCACCCCCAGACACACACAGCACCCCCAGACGCACACAACACCCUCAGACAGACAGCACCCUCACUCCCACACAUAUACAGCACAUAUAUAUUAUAUAAAAUAACCCUCAGUUAGUUAACAGACAAAUAAAAUUAGAAACCCAGAAUGUGACGGCAGAUAAAAACACCCUUACACACAGCACCCCUCUUACACAAACACGCUGCGCACCUCACACAUACAAUACGUCCAAAUAUAUUUUAUAUAUAUAUAUAUAUAUAUAUAUAUAUAUAUACAUAUACAAAAAUCAAAACUGGGGAUGCACUCACAGGACUUGGUUAAAGUGAAAAAAAGGGACUUUUAAUUAUUCCAUGUGAAAUGUACAGAAAAAUCAAUUUUCCAUUCACAUGGAAUAAUUAAAAGUCCCUUUUUUUCACUUUAACCAAGUCCUGUGAGUGCAUCCUCAGUUUUGAUUUUUGUAUAUUUCUGACGUUUGGGAUAUAGCACCCAGGCUAUUAGUUCUUUCUUAUUACUUAAAGGAGAGUGCCAAGCAUCCUGUUUUUUUGCUCUAUAUAUAUAUAUAUAUAUAUAUAUAUACACACACACACACACACUACAGCAACACUACACACAUUACGCUCCAGAUACACGCUAGAUCCCUUACCCUAUAUGCACUCAUAAUCCUCUACACACACACAAUCUUCUAUACACACUAGAUCUCUUACACACACACUGCACCACCUACACACACACUACAUUCCUUGUAAGCAAACACAUACAACAUUCUCUAAACACACCCUCUCUACACACAGUAGUGUGUGUGUAUAAGUGACACACACUACGUCACCUAUACACACACACUACUGCCCGUAUGCACACACUCGCUACAUCCCCUAUAACACUAUGCCCCUAUACACGCACUCUCUACAGCCCCUAGCCACACAUAUUACACCACAAAAUUUACCUAUUUACACAAUACCACACCACACUCUACACACAGGCAAUCCCACAAGCAUGCGCCAAACACAUGCACCAUACACUUUCCUGGCCCUUUUGUCCUCUGGUAUCCCACUUGUGGGGACACCAGAGACAAUUUAAAAGCAAACACAGCGCAAGCAUGUUAUUACAUUUGCUUGCGCUGCGCAGAACAAAUACAGGGCCUUUUUCUAAUGCUAGAGCUCUUCAGGGGGGCUCUGCGCAUUGAACCAACAUGCUCACUUUCUCUGGCCCCGCCCCCUUUUUGGGGGGGCCGCUCUAAUUGAAAAAUGCCCGGGCCUAAUUUUUUUCCCAGUCCGGCCCUGCUGCUGAGUAUGCAAGUUUGUACAUUAUGCCCCUCCAAUAAAUAAAGUUGAUAGGUAACAUAAACCCUUGGAUAUAUUUUGUAGGAAUGCAGCAAUUCUUGAGUGCCUCAAGACAUUCUUCAAUAUUUAUACCUGUUAACAUGCAAAAAUAAAUUAUUUCCUAUGUAAUAAAAGUAAUAUUAAAAUAUCCAGUUGUCACCUUAAUGGAAACAAAAAAUUGAGCACACUACAUAUUCUAAAAGAAUAUACAGUGAUUACUUUUGUUUAAUACAAUUAUGGGAGCUAUUACAAUCAAUUUGGUGUCUUAAAUUUGGUUACAUUAAUAGAUUUGAACAAAAGCACUUUAUUUGGUUAUUCACUAAAUACAAAUCAGUUUACAAUGCAUCUAUUGUUCUCCUUUUUGCAUAUUCAAUUUGAUUACAUUCUGUAUAGUUGAAUAAUAAGCCAAAUUUUAAUGAGAAAUACUUUUAGAAAAUUGCAAGAAAUUUGAUAUACUUCGCAUCACCUCUGAUCGAGCAAAUGCGAUGUAAUGAGCUUUUACAGUCAAUCACAUUGCUGCUUUCAUAUGCCAUAGAUGUGUUGUGGUUUUUCAAUUUGGCUUUUAGUAAGUACUGUGAAUUACAGCUAUAUUGAGAAGAAAAAAAAAUUUAAAUAAAUUAUUGCUUAUCGCGCAGUGUAAACUACUUUUAGUAUUAUAUGAAACAGCUUUCUGCAGGUAAGAAACCUCUCAUAACGUAUACAUUACUUGACAUUCUGCAUAUAUUUGCUGUUUAAGGAGGACUUUAGAGUGUUGUAAAUGUUACCCGAGCCAUGUAUAACCAGCAUGUUUCGUAUAUUUCUGUUCAAAGACUGAUACAUGAGUGCAGAUCACUGUGGAGGCCCAGUAACUCUGCAGCGUUGGUAAGUGAGGAGGCUGCUAUGGCAAAUCUCUUGAUGUUGCUGCAAUGACAGAAUCUAAUUUUUAGAUCUAUUACAUAUAAAAAGCCUAUCACUGAACGAAGCAUGAGGAAUUGUUGCAGACCAGGUUCAUUUGCAUGCCUCAUGUGGGGUUUAAUGAGGCAUCUUGGCAUGGGUUUUAAAAAGUUAUUGACAUUUUAUUGCUAUGGUAAACACAGUGUAUUUUAUGCAUGCAUCUAUGAGAAAAAGAAACCAUCUUUAAAAAUGCUCAGAAUAAAUUCUGCAGGAACCGUUCUAGAAACCACACUAACAUACACAAGCAUGCACACACAUAUAAAUAUAUAAGAGAAAGCGGUGCUUCACCUUGAACUAGUCAUCUUCUGCCUAUUCCUUCUGGAUCUCAUCUAUUUUAACUUUCAGACAGAGCUAGAAUUGGAGAUGGCAGGACAAUGAAUCAAAAAUAGAAUCAAAUAGAUCACAAGCAUAGGAGACUUGUCCUUGUAGGUCUAGACUAGGCUUAUUUCAGAAUUGUUCAUUUCACAUAUAAAUAUCUAUUGCUGGAAAACUGAUCCUUUUUUAUAGUAUGCUUAAAAAGUAUCGAAUUUGUGUAGUCUUGAGUUUUCUGCAUUUCUGGAAUCUCUUUAGAUCAACUUUAUAGCUAAAUAUGAAGUGAUGAUUAUUGGAGCGCUCUUUUUAAAAAAAAGCAGUUUAGAGUUGAUAUGAUGAUAAUGUUGCUGCUUCAAAACACUCUGAUUGUGGUACCCUGGAACACACAAAUUUGACAACAGAAACAAGAUAAUUAAGAGUGGAGCAGUAUAUUAUAAGUGGCUAUUUAGGUGAUGUGUCCCUAACAUAUAUAGAUAUAUACAGUGUAAAAGGACAAAGGCAAUACAAAAAAUGAUACUGAUUGUUCAAGAAGAAAUCUUCUUAUAGCAAUUCCUCAGUUCAUGUAGGAGGAAAUACAAAGAAAACACAUAAUAGUGUAGAUUGUAUAAAGCAUUGUUCAAAAUACUUGAUCAGAAAAUAGAGGUACUCCCAUAGAUUAUACCCUCAUUGUGGGCUCAGGAAAUAUGUCUAUACAAAAAGCUCAAAAAGUGUAUAAAUAGUUUAUUCCAAUAAAAAGUAUUAAACACAUGGAAUUUUUUUCACACAGUGUACUAUAAACAAACUGACUCUUACAAGAGUGGCACGGCAUACGCCGCUACUCACUGCCAGAUAUUGUCACAGUCUGGAGCCGGAGACCCGGAUUGCAGUCACAGGGGUGCAGGCUAGAAUGCUUCUUCCCACGGCUGUAUGUCAGCGUAGUGAUUUGCUGUGGCUGUCCCCUGUCCUCUUUGGUGACGUCGUCUACGCGUUUCACCGGAUGCCCGGCUUCCUCAGGACGGUUGAAGCUGGAUGCGUAAAAAUCGCAGGACCACCUCAACAUCCCAGAGUCUGGAGUAUUUCGGUGUCGGUGGGCGUAAUAAGCAUAUACCUUUCAGUAGUCUGCAGAUCAAAGGAUCUUGACCCACUGGGAGACCCGGAACCGGAACAUGUGCAGCCGAGAAGGAAUGUAAAAAAUAAUUUAAGAUUAUAGGAUCAGAUGCUGUAAAGGGAUCAAAAUCCCUCUCCAAACAUUCGCUAGACCAUUUGUUCCACACUGCGAGAAAACAGCGUUUGGUGCCAGGUGCCCACUAGUCCCAUAAUAGAUCCUUAGUGACCUGUGAUAAUCCAUCUGUUAUCUUAGGAUCCCCUGAAAUCUUCCAGGCUACUAGUUCCAGACGUUCUUGUAGGACAAGGGGGUGAGGUUCCCCCUGCGGGUCGGUCAGCAGAAGUGGAAAUUACGGGAUGAUAUGUUGAUGUCGAAUGACAAUUCCAGAAGGUCCGGGAACCACGGUUGGCUCUGCCAUAGGGGUUUCAGUAAGAGUAAGGAGCAUCCUUGAGUCCACACCUGGUGGAUCACCCGUGUUUCGGCCAGUUCUGGAGAAAUGUGUCCAGCGCUUCGCAUUCGGGGUCUCAGAGCCUGGGAUCGAGCUCCUCCCAGGCGAUUUAUAUAUUGGACUGCUGAGAUGUUGUCCAUGCGUAGUAGUAUGCAGCAGUUGGACAUGUGACUGGCCCGCUAUCAACUCCAAGCAGUUCAUGUGCAAGUCCAUUUCUUCUUCCUACCAAAGACCACCUGUAGAGGAUCCUGCACAAUGAGCUCCCCAGCCCCAUAGGUUGGCGUCGGAUUCCAGCACGAAAUCCGGUGUGGGACCAAAUAUCGCUUUCCUGUUCCAGGCUUGCAUGUGGAGAUGCCACCAAUGAAGUUCCGUCCGAACUUCGGCCGUGAGGGGAAUCCGGUGAUUGUAAGACAGUCCAGAAUGCAAGGACAUGCAUGGCUCUGUAGUGCAGCGGUCCCAGAUAUAUCGCAUGAAUAGAGGCUGAUAGGAGUCCCACAACUCACGCUAGGAGACGCAAUGGAACGUGAUCCAUGCGUAACACUUUGCAAAUUUAUUUUCUCAUGGCAGCAAUCUUUUUGAUCGGCAGUCUGAGCGUACAGGAGGUUGAGUCUAUCUAGAACGAAAGAAAUUGGACUACUUAAGAGGGUAUCAUCGCGGACUUGUCUUGAUUCACCAUGAAACACAGGGAUUCAAGGAAGUCUACGACCAUUUGUCGUGACGGUGUAUCGCAAAACAGUAGCAAGUCGUCCAAGUAGAUGAUACAUCUUAUGCUAGCUAUCGAAGAUGGGCCAAGUCCGGCUUCAGGAGUUUCGUGAAACACCACAGGGCCGAGCUGAGUCCGAAAGGGAGGCAUGUGAAUUGGCAUGUUUGACCAUGCCAUCGGAAGCUUCGGAACUUGCGACAGGAUGGAGCCACUGAUAACGAAAGGUAAGCGUCUUUGAGGUCCAAUCGAGUGAACCAGUCAUCCUUUAGGAAGCAGGUGGAUCCCUCCCAUCUUGAAGUGAUGGUAUACCCCGAAGUAGUUGAGUUGCCGCAGGUUGAUGACAGGACGAAAGUCUCCUGUCCUCUUCUGAACUAAGAAUAUGUUGCCAAAGAAGCCAUUGUCUUCCUGCGUGUGUUCUACCGCACCUUUGGAGAAAAGGGUUCGGACAUCCUCAUCGAUCAGCUAUUUGUUGUCUGCGGAUGUACACAGGGAUGGUGGUGGGUGUGCCUGGUACGGUCGGUACUGUCGUGUAUGAAAUUCGAUCACUUAUGCCUGUACCGUACUUUAUGUCCUGAGGAAAGUUGUAAAUAGAACUGAAACGUUGACAGAUUGCUGGAAUAAACAAGAAGUUUCUUUGCAAGACCUAGAGUGCUGGCUUUUUUCAUUCAUCUAUUUACUGUGCAGCCGAGCACCAGGCAACAUUCUAAGGAUAGCUGGAGUGCAAAAUUAUUUGGUAUUAUAUAUAUAUAUAUAUAUAUAUAUAUAUAUAUAUAUAUAUGUGUGUGUGUAAUUUUACUCUAAGUGUAUUUUUAUAUUAAUAUAUGUAUAUAUUAAUAAAAAAAAUACACUUAGUAUGACAUUAUAUAUAAGAUAUACAUAUAUACAUAUUAUAUAUAAGUAGCAAGGGCUUGCACUACUGGUGUUGUUCUAUGGUGCCCGGUGCUGGUCUGGCAAAAUCAUGUAGAUGUAGCAGAAAUGACCACACUCUUUGUAGAAGUUUUCAAAUAAAAUUUGAGAAUGAGGGGGGGUUGUGAGGCAGAGGGAAUGGGGAGGAGGAAUGGAUGUUUUGGAGGUGCUCUAGAAGAUUUCUAUAUCUGUUGUUGUAUUUUAUGCACAGAAAUGACAUUGCAGACAUUCCAAGUCUCCCGGUAGGUCUGGGAGACUCCUGCAUGUUUAAUGAGGUUCCCGGACACCCGCACACCAUGUGUAAUAUCCCAGAAAUCAUACACACAAUCUAACAUACAAUGCAUGUCAGAUUGUGUGUUUGAUUUCCAGGAUAUUACACAUGUUAAAUGCCCCCUACUCAUUACCCACCUGAUGGGUAUUGUUCCUAAACAGGGGCCAGGUCGAGUGCCCGGCCCUUUAACUGCCGGCUAGGAGGAAGUGGUAUGCUGUCAUUUCCUCCCAGCUGAAAAAAACAGUCGUGUGGGAGGGAAAAGAAGGAGGAGGCAGCUUGAGGAGGAAGCUUGAGGCAGCACCAGAGAAGGCAGUAUGGAGAGGCUGGAGUGCGCUGCUGCUGCAAGCUUACUCCCAUCAGUCUCAGCCCAGACACCAAAAGGUAAGCUAACAGGUGGCUGCAGUGUAUGUCAGACUGUGCGUGUGUAUGUAUAUGUGCUAGUGUGUGUAUCUGAGUGUCUUUGCCAGUGUAUGUAUCUGUGUGUGUGUAUGUAUGUGCCAGUGUGAGUAUCAGAGUGUGUGUGUGUGUGUGUGCCUGCCAGUGUGGGUAUCUGUGUGUGUGCCAGUGUGGGUAUCUGUGUGUGUAAGUGCCGGUGUGCGUAUCUGAGUGUUGGUGUGUGUAUGUAUGUGCCAGGGUGGGUAUCUGAGUGUAUAUGUGUAUGUCUAGGUGUGUGCAUAUGUCUGUGUGUUAAUAGUUGUAAUAUGCUGUGUGUAACUGGGUCGGGGGGCCUGUGUGCGGGGGCACGCAUGGGGGGGGGGGGCUGCAGCCACCUACCUGAAAUUAGUUUUGGCAUGUUGGGAUGUCUGACAUUGCCAGAUCGGAAAAGAGUUCCAGGCUGCCAAUGUCACAUGUGCUAAAACAUACGGACAUACAGACUUCUGCAAACAUUACUGAAGUGGUCAUGAUGGUUGGAGUAACCCUUUACUGAGAAGCACUUGCAGAAGUGAAUCAAACAAGUAAGAACCUCCAUUUUUUUUCACACAAGUCCUUUUCGUUCAUGUUGAAUGAAUGAGCAUCGCUGAGUAUGGAACCCAUGGGAUGUCUUCAGUUUUACAAUAGACUCACAAACAACAGUUCAUGUGCAAGUGUACAAGGAUAAUGUGACAGGGAUAUUUUUAUGUCUCAAUAUACAAUCGAGACCAAGAGAGGAAUAAGUGAACUCCAAUCUGGUGUGUCCCUUCAAAUUUAGCAGUGUCCAAUGCUUUGAUAGACACUGCCAGAUUUAGCUGCUGUGCGGGAACUAAGUCCAUUUUAAUUAUAUCCGACAGGAUGGUUAAUGGGUUUUCACCAAAGAAUUAACUCAAUGUGGGCGUAUUCUGUCCAAUUUGGCUGUUCUAUUUACUAAUUACUAAUAGUGACACUUAAAUUGUGCCUGUCAGACAGUUAAUUUGUUCAUUUAUUUAAAAAAUCUGUUCAAUUUUAUAUACAUCAAUGGACUUCAGUAUAAUAUCUCAGUAUGAAUGAAGGACAGACAUUUCACAUGUGCAAAGGCUUCUACUAAAACACAUUUUAGCAUUGCAGUGUCUAAAAUAUUUUAUUUUAUUUAAAUUAGCAGAGGUAAGACUGAUUGUGAGAUGUAAACCAAUUGGUUAUAGCUCUCAGUCUAGUCUGCUAAUUGAUAUUUUAUUAUUUUCGGAGCACUGUUCUCUGUCCGUACAAAGUCUGAUUAUGGAGUAGCAAUCAAAUGCAAGCAUGUAACAGCAGCCCCCCUACAGCCAGCAUUUGCCAUUUAUAUUCAAUUGGCUAUUAUAUCUGUUGUAUAAUGUUCUGAGAUAAUGAGCUUGUGCCCGUUAUGAUGUCACUGAAGUGUGCAUUCCUUCCUAUUACUGUAGCUUAAUUUAAUUGACAGGUUAAGGGAGAUGUGAGCAGCAAUAGAGAGCAGCCAUGGGUGGCCCAAUGUUUCCCAGAAUAUUGGAAUUAUCAAAAGGGUCAUCAAGAGCAUUUUCCUUUAAGUGAAGGGAAUAUGGUGCCCAUUAGAUUUAGGGGUGUGGAAAUAAAAAAAAAAAUUACUCUACUCUACUGUACUUGUCCAGUGGACAGUGGCAGUCCAAUUGAAUCCAAAUGGAAAAACAGAAACAAAAAAAGCUGAUCUGAAAAAAUUCUCCAACACAGCAAUAGUCACAACAUUUUGCCUCCGUUUUUCCAUUGAGAUUUAAUUUGUGAAAAGUUUAGUGACUAACCUUUAAUGUUUAACCAUCUGUCCCCCAUACUAAAUGUGAGUGUACAUGCAGGCUGAGUGUAAUGUGUGUAGGUUGUGUUUAAUACAUGCCGUGUGUAUUGGAUAUUUAGUGUGCACCUGCUAUGUUUAGUGUUGGUCGGCUAGUGUGCCCCAGCAUGUCUCUCCCUCUAACCCACAAUAGUAUAUCUGCCGUAUCACUUCCACUAGUGUUCCUGCCCCUAAAAAGGUGUCCUUGAAAAAUCACUGGUAUCUGUUUUUUUCCCCUGUGUUGUACAAAACCUAAUUACACACUAGGAAAAAUGUGUGCAAUUUUACCGAUCUAUGAGCAUAACUCAUUUCAGCAAUCAACUAGUAGUGCAAAGUUAAGGUACAGUGCAAAACCCACUUUCACCCGAAAAUAAAUAUGUGAUGCUUAGUUGACAGCUUACAUCAUGAUAGAAAAUAUGACUGAUCAUUUUUCUGAUUGUAGAGCAUAACUCAUUUUAACUAUAAUCUACUAAUCUAUCACAGAAGUGGUAAAUGGUGUCCCUAGGGUUCUGUUCUGGGAUCUCUUCUAAUUUAAAAUAUCUAUAAAUUAUCUUGAAAUAAGCAUUUAAAGUCAUGUUCCAGUGAUUGCAGAUGACACACAAGUCUGUAACGUAAUACAAUAUAAGCAAGAUAUUACUUUGCUGCAGAGGUAUUUAUAUCAAUUGGAGGACUGGGCACUCAAAUGGCAGAUGCACUUUAAAUGAACACUAUAGGGUCAGGAACACAAACAUGUAUUCCUGACCAUAUAGUGUUAAAACCACCAUUUAGGUGGCUUGCCGCUCCUUGCCCCCUGAGAAAGUUAGAAGCUCACCUUAUUUCCAGCUCUACCCAGGUCUACAGGUACUGUCCCUCAUCCCUAAUCCGCCUCUUUGACUGACAUCAUCAGAAUUGAUGAUCUCAGCCAAUCCAAUGCUUCCCCACAGGGAAAGCAUUGGAUUGGCUGAGAUUCCCAAGGGGCGGGGCCAAACGCUACCCUGGCCAAUCAGCAUCUCUUUAUAGAGAUGCAUUGAAUCAAUGCAUUUCUAUGAGGAAAAUUCAGUGUCAGUGCUGCACACUGUGCAGUACUCUUCCGGAAACACCUCCAGUGGCCAUCUGAGUAAGUAUUAAAGGAACACUAUAGGGUCAGGAACACAAACAUGUAUUCCAGAUCCUAUAGUGUUAAAACCAACAUCUAACCCCUGCCUUACCUCCUUAAAUAUAGUAAAAUCUUACCUUCCAGUCGGUUUUGACCCGAUCCGCCUGCUGAAAAGACAGUGUUCACUGCAAAAAGCCUGCAGGGACUGAUUAUACUCACAAGAAUAACUAUAUUAGGCUGUAGUUGUUUUAGUGACUAUAGUGCCCCUUUAAUGUAGAAAAAAUCUAAGUUAUUCACUUCAUGGUAAAGAAUGCACAAGCAUCUAAGACCCUAAAUUGUAGUGAAUUAGGGAUAACAACACACAAGAAGUAUUUGGGAAUUGUUAUUGUUCAAUGUCAAUUAGCAGUGGCUAAGGAUAGCUAAAUAUCAUCAUGUUUAAAAAGGGGCUGUGACAAAGAUGCCUCUCCCACGAGCUCCUGGAGGAGCCUGCUGGAUAGCCUCCUGCCCAAGAACUAUGAAUCAUGUAACCGACCUUUUUAGUUCGUGUGGUUUCCAUUUUUAGUUCGGAAACCGAACAAAUGCACAAAUUGCGAACCACCUCUGGGCUUGUUAACUCCUAUUAACCUCUCCUGACACCUCCAUCAUCAUUUUCACACUCUGUAUCCUAAUUGUUCGGCUGGGCCGCCUUUUGCAUGCACAAACACGUGGGAACUGAGUUGGCGUCAUCUUGUCGCAGGAACGCAGGCACCGGUGUUUGGUCGUUGAGUGCAUGGAACUAAUAUCAGACACUCUAACUCGCGAACACCGCUGAACUUUGACAAAUGCCUGCUUCAUUUCUACUCAUGUCAGGAGAGAGCCGUUUAGUAGGAUUGUUACAUAGUUACAUAGUUACAUAGCUGAAAAGAGACUUGCUUCCAUCAAGUUCAGCCUUCCUCACAUAUGUUUUUGCUGUUGAUCCAGAAGAAGGCAAAAAACCCAGUCUGAAGCGCUUCCAAUUUUCCAUCAAACUAGGAAAAAAUUCCUUCUUGACCCCAAAAUAGCAGUCAGAUGUCUCUUGGAUCAAGCAGCUAUUACCCCACUAAGUAGUAAUUAUAUCCCUGUAGGUUAUGUUUUUGCAAGUAUUUANNNNNNNNNNNNNNNNNNNNNNNNNNNNNNNNNNNNNNNNNNNNNNNNNNNNNNNNNNNNNNNNNNNNNNNNNNNNNNNNNNNNNNNNNNNNNNNNNNNNGAGGGACAAGGGGGGAGAAGAGAGUGACAAGGGAGGGAGAGGGGGGAGAAUAGAGUGACAAGGGAGGGGGGAGAGAUUGACAUCCAUCACACACACACAAUCACACAAAAUGCACCACCUACACACAAAGACAAUGCACCCCUUGCACACAGAAAAACACACAAUGCAUUACACACACAAUGCAUUACACACACAGACACACACACAAGCAAUGCAACCCUUACACACACAGAAUCUCUAAUGUACCUCACAUUAAAGGGACACUAUAGUCCCCAGAACCACUGCAGCUUAAUGUAGGGGAUCUGGUGUCUAUAGCCUGUCUCUGCAGACCUUUUAAUGUAAACACGGCGGCAAAAAUCCUUGCACCGGCCCUGGGUGGGGUAUCUUGUUGAACCUAUUGUAUUCUUAUUGGAUUUUGUCCAAUGGGAUUCUUGAAGGGCACAGACUUGUACCCGAUUUUUUUUUAUCAAGAAAUCUAAAAUUAUAGACCUUUUACAGGGUGUGUUGAUCCCGCGGGCAUUUAUUGAAGUUAACUUAAAUUACAGUUUUCUAUCAGUUCUCAGAGCUCUCUCUCUAAAAGUUACCAUGUAUUUACUAAACCCUUAACGCCAUUACGGCUUUCUAUGCCAUCCCCAUUUAAAUGGGCUUUACAGAUGUUGCGGCUUGCCGCCCUAGAACCUCGGGAAUACUUACCUUCCCAGUGAUCCGCUUCAGGAGGACUGCCUGACAGCCCCUGGGGGCCAUGUGAUCGCUCUCAACGAGUGAUCACAUGGCCCCCUAUAGAUGGCUGUGGAUGUGCCAGCAGGGAGACUGUCUGGGCUGUCAGAAAGUCCCCCUGCUGGUGGCAGGUGUAAAAAAUAAUAAUUAUUAAACAUGUUUAAAAUAAAUUAAAUAUACAUAUAUAUUAAAUAUAUAAUAUAUAUACAUCUUAUAUAUAUGUAACGUCAUAUGUAGUGUAUUUUAAUAUUAAUAUAAGUACAUCUAUUAGUAUUAAAAUACACUUAGAAUGAAGUUACAUAUACGUAUAAUUACAAUAAUUAUAUAUACGUAUAAUUACAAUAAUAAAUAAAUUAAAUAAUAAAUAAAUAAAAUAUAUUUUUUUUAAAGAAAAUAAAUUAUAUAUACAUAUGUAAUUUCAUUCUAACUGUAUUUUGUUAUUAAUAUAUAUAGGUAACAAAAUACACUUAGAAUAACAUUCUCUAUAUAUCUAUCUAUAUAUAUAUAUUCCAUGUGUAUAUUUAAGUAAUCUUUUAGCAUAAUUAUGUGAUUUUAUUAAUUAAAAUUUGAAUGACAUGCCUGACAACCCAGGCAGAAAGUGCAGAGAAUUUAAUUUGCAAGCACUAUAUUUAACCAUGUAACUUUCCAAGACACCAUAAAACCUGUACAUGGGGGGUACUUUUUUACUCGGAAGACCUCGCUGAACACAAAUAUUAGUGUUUCAAAACAGUAAAAUGUAUUAAAUGAUGAUAUUGUCAGUGAAAGUGAUUUUUUUUGCAUUUUCACACACAAAUGGCACUUACACUGACAAUAUAAUUGUGAUACAUUUUACUGUUUUGAAAUACUAAUAUUUGUGUUCAGAGAAGUCUCCCAAGUAUUACAGUACCCCUCAUGUACAGGUUUUAUGGUGUUUUCAAAAUUUACAGAGUCAAAUAUAAGGCCUGCUUUUAAGUUUUUUCACAUUGAAAUUCGCCAGAUUGGUUACACUGCCUUUGAGACCCUAUGGUAGCCCAGAAAUGAAAAUCACCCCCAUGAUGGCAUACCAUUUGCAAUAGUAGACAACCCAAGAUAUUGCAAAAGGGGUAUGUCCACUCUUUUUUAGUAGUCACAAACACUGGCCAAAAUUGGCGCUCAAAUUAGUUUGUUGCAUUUUUCACACACAAACAAAUAUUAACACUAACUAUGGCUCAAUCUUUAUUUGUGUUUUUACAUAAAAAUAUGACUGGUUGUUCCAAAAAGUUGGAAUCAACCUAAGACCCAUAGGUGUGUACCUUUUUGUGUUGCUCUAUCUUCCCAUUAUUCUUAGUGUUUAUUUAAUGUGCAUUUUGUGUCAUUUCAUUCUUAAUUAUUGUGGACCCUUAUAUGAGGAUAAUUAUACUUCACUUUGUGCAUUGCUUUACUUGUUGCCUGUGCCCCAAUCAAUUUCCUAAUAUAUUUAUACUUUUUCCAUAUUCUUUACUUAUAUUUAUUUUAAGUUUUUAAUUUUACUUGCUUAUCUUUCCCCAUUCUCCCCCUGUGCUUCUAAACUAAAAAAAAGGACACUCUUGUGCAUAUGUAUAUUUAUCCGUGAUUCUUCUUAUUUCAUAUAUUCUUCUCUUUGGUCUCCCAUACUUGAGGAAUUAAGUUUCGCUAGUGCCAAUUUUUCUUCCCUUCUCUCUUUCUCUUUUUAUCCUUUCUUUUUACGUAGUUGGGCCCUCGCUGUUUAUUGACUGUUGAUUGGAGCUGCUUCUAUUUUGUUUGCAGUUAGCCAGCUUUUUACAUCUUCUGCUCGGUCUAUAGGAGUAAUCUUUUCUUCAUGUGAUAUAAUCAUUUUCGUGGGGAACCCCCAUCGGUAAUUAAUAUUAUUAUGUCUCAAAAUUAAUGUACCAUCAGAAAAGGAUUUCCUUUUUUGUCUGGUUGGCCAUGACAGGUCCUGAAAUAUUUUCAGGGUUUCAUAUUCUUCUGCACAUUUGUUACUUCUUGUAGCUCUCAAAUUUGCGUCUUAAGUUUGGAAGAGGCGCAGCAUAUCAAUACAUCUCUUGGAAGGUGGUCUGGGACACCUUUAGAUUUAUUCACUCUAUGGCAUCUCUCCAUCAUAGGGAUUCUGGUGUCCCAUUCCACAUACAGGUGUUUGAUAAAAUCUUCUAUAUAUGGCUCCAGAUUCUUUGCAAUUAUUUGUUCUGAUACUCCUCUGAUUCUUAACUUGUUCCAUCUUGACCGGUCCUUCAGAUCUAUCAACUUGUUCUCCAUGUCAGCCAUUUUCUUUUCUAGUGCCAAAUGUUCUUCUUUGUGGGCUUUUUCCUUGUAUUCCAUCCCAUUUCAUUUCUGUUCUAUCCCUCAUAGGCUAAUAUUCAGCAGUUCUUUCUUAAUAUCCAGGGUAUUAACUUGGAUUUCUUCUCUCAAUUUCCCAAAUUGUGUAUCUAGGUGUCUGAGUAGAUGGUCAUAUUCGUUUCUUUCUUCUCUGGACUCUUGAUUUUCCUCUGUUUGUCCUUUACUAAUAUCUCUUCUGUUGGGAUAUUUGAUAGGAGAGAUUCCUCCAGGUUUGACUUAUUACCUGGGGACAUGUGGUGAAAAAAAAGAAAGGCAUUUUUCUGUUUUUUUUUUUUUUGUUUUUUUUUUCAAAUGCUUGCCACUUUGUGUCUUUUUAGUAGCCAUUUUGUUUCUUGGUUUGUUUGAUCCCUCUCUAGAGAUUAUAUACUUUUCGGAAUAAUGAUAAUGGAUAAUGAUGUAUAUAACAUAAAUAAAAUAAAUAAAUAAAUCGAACCAACAAAAAACACCACAGGGAGUAUUAACCCGACCCACUUAAGACUGUCAGGCAGUCGCCACUGUGAGCAAAAUUAAAUUAUAUAAUAUAUAUAUAUUGCUCCCUGAAUUUUGCUCUUUAUAGUGUCCUAUGUAUUCCCCUCUUUCUCAAGAGCCCUUUAGUAAUCAAAUUACUAAAUAUUUAUGCUAUCAUGUUUGUACAAUCUCCUACAGACUAUGCGCAUACACUUUGUAACAUUGGGCACUUUUGGUGAAGUACUUAAGACCUGCUUUAUUGCAGCUUGCUGUUUUCUCCUGCUAUCAGUGUGUUGGGUAUUCAAUGGUUGUACUCCCUUGAUAACUUUAUCCGUGGAGAAACUGGCUGUAGUACAUAGCUCUGUCCGGCAGAAAGAUGAGUAGCUCCCUACUUCUCAGCCCAGCAUCUGGCCCUUUUUGACAGUUAUGUGGGGAAUCCGUGGAGCACCCCAGGUAAUACGCCGGGUAGAUCGAGCCGUCCCCUCAGCUCUUUGUCGGCUCCCUUGAUCGGCCCCUCAGCCGCAUCCCAUGAGGACGUUGUGACAAGACCAAUCUCGCCACAUUGCAUUGGAGAAGCCUGGUUGCUCGCCUGCUGCCUUUGGACUAUGGCCCCCUUUUAAAAGACUUUAUUUUUCCAUGCAGAAAAGCUGUAUUCGCGCUUUUCUGCCGGUUGUUCGGUAGUUUCAAUCUACCGAACCACCGUACGAAUGACUGGACCACCUGGGAGCUGGAGUGUGCCGGCAAUUAACCUCCUUGAAGCUGCGGUUAACCGCAGCUUAAUUGAUGAACGCUGGGUGGCCGCCGUUCGUAUCCCGAACACGAGGUCGCGGCCAUUUUAAACCAUACGAAUGAACAGCGGUGUUCGCCUCUAUUUUCAUGGAACUAAAAUCGGACACAGUUUUGCGCGAACACCGCUGAAACCGCCGACCUCCCUUCUUGUUUGGUGAAAGUGCACGAACGGCCCGGUGUUCAGUAUUUUUGUUCAAAUAUGUUAUACCCCAGAUAGGAAUCCCAUGGAGCCCAUUCGUAUGAAACUGACUGUAAGGACUUUGGCUCCAUGGCGAUUAAACUGUAUUCGUGUGGUCUGAGCGCCAUUCACUUAAUAAUGUGCGCUCAGACCUGAGCUAUCUGGGGAUAUGUUACAUGUCUGUGUUUUAUGUAUAAAAGGUGACUUUAUGUAUUUUAAAGUGUUUUGUGUCUUUUUGCAACCAUGUGCUUAAUGGAGUCUUGUGUCUGUCCUGGGAGAUAAUUGAAUUACUCUCCAGGAUAGAAGACUCUGAAACUGGUUUGAGCCAGAAAGCCAUGCUUCAUUUAGUCACAAAGGACUUUUUACUAACUUUUGAACCCCUGGUCUGAUACAUGCCAUUUUUUAAUAUGUUGUUCCCCUGAAUGGAUUGAUUGUAAAUAUGUAAUUUUAUGUGAAUGUGAUGUAUGGUUUUGGAGUUAUGAAAGUUGGGUAGAAAGUAUGUUUUAACUGUUUGUAUAAUUGAGUUUCCUCUCAGGAUAAGGGGAGGGAAUAUGUGGGAUGUAACUGUGAUGUGAUUGGUUGUUUUAUACCUCCCUGUGGGCGGUCCUGUAUUUGCAAGACUGUAAUAAAAACCAGGCUGGGUGUGCCAGCACCUCAGACCACUACUUGACCCUCAACACGGAGCCUUGUCUCGUCUUUGGGGGGAUUUACUGUAUGCUGCUAAGGACUGAUUGCCAGGAGUGUAAGCCGCUUGGGAGCUUUUCCUGUUCGCCUGCUAGCAGCUAUUCGUAUGGUUCCUGUUCGUUUAUUUGAAGUGCUACCUUAUUCCCUUGUAUGCCGUUCGGGAGUUUGGAGCAUUCACUUAUUGGCGGUUCGUGAGUUUUGGUGAUUAUACCGUAGCUGUGCCUGUCUCUGAAAAGGGGGAUUAUCGUCUAAGUGGUUUUUUCCCCUUUUAUGCUAAACGGUCCGUUACAAUUGGUGGCAAGCGGCGGGAUCGUUCCCAUGGACUACAGGACAGCUACAGGCAACACCAUUCCGUGGAUUUACAAUUUGAGGGCAACGCAUGUCUGAGUACAGCGACCCUGACAGCAACAGCAUGGAACCAGCAGUGUCAUACGAGGAGGAGGACCUGGAUGGCCGGGAUGCAUUAAGGAAAGGCAUCUGGUACCAGGCCCUGGAUAAUGUACAGUACCAGCGGGGUGAGAGUCUCCCCAGUGAAGAGCAGCGGUUGCAGAAGAAAGUGGCCCUGCGGAUGCCCUUCCUGGGAGAGCAGCCCCUGGAUGAAUGGGUGAACGAAUUGGAGCACCUGGUAUGGCAGGAGAUUUGGCUGGAAGAUGCCUACCAGGCGCUCUGGUGGUAUGGGGCACAGUACCUGCCCUGGACAGCCGAGCAUGACAAGCCAGAGGGAAAGGAGUUUGAUGGUCCUGGCUUGUUAUGGGAGGCUUUUUCAGAACCUGAAUUUGGGAGCCCUACACAAGCCCGGUUCAGUGAUCUCUUGGAGUGGAGGGAGAGCAGGUAUGACUGGGUCGACACUCACGACAUUGAGCAAGACCUGGCUCACCUAGCAACCCUGGAGUGGGAACUGGAGCAGGACUACCGAGAUCUCUUCCACUCCAUUGAGAAGAUUCAGCAGGACAGCAAGGUGACAGAGCCAGAACCAGACCCAUUCAGCUGGGAAGAUAUUGUGGAGAUUUCUGGGAAGAACCCCGGCCAGAGUGGCGGGUGCCUGAGAUUGGAGACCGAGGUCUCUCCACAGCAAUAUUGCAGGGAAUUGGGAGCCCGAGCUCCAUUCCCCAGCGGGAGAAUAUUGCAGGGAAUUGGGAGCCCGAGCUCCAUUCCCCAGCGGGAGAUAUUGCAGGGAAUUGGGAGCCUGAGCUCCAUUCCCCAGCGGCAGGCUGAGUUACAGGGGACAGAGAUAGUUGCUCCAGUGUGAUACCAGCAGCAGAGUGAAUUGCGGGGAAUUGGGAGCCCAGUCUCCAUUUCCCAGCGGCAGAAUGAUUAGGGAAUUGGGAGCCCAGUUCCAUUCCCCAGCGGCAGGAAUUGGGAAUUGGGGGCCCAGUCUCCAUUCCCCAGCGGCAGAGUGUCCUACCGGGAAUAGAGAGCCCAGUCUCCUUUCCCCAGCAGCAGGACUCUGUAUUGGGAGCAGAGACAGUCGGUCUCCCUCUCCCGCAGCUGGAAGUAUGUAUGGGAGAGGAGCUUGUUACCCCCUCUCCCCAGCGGCAGCUUAAUGUACCAGGGGGAGACAGUAAGCCCCACAACUGUGCAGAUGGGACCGUAGUCUCUACACUGCCAGCACAGGGGGUAGGGACGGUCGGUUCUGCCCCCCAGCGACAGGGCUGUUUAGCCAAAGGGGAGACAGUCGGUCUCCCCCUCCAGCAGCAGAGAUGGGUAACCAAAGGGGAGACGGUCGGUCUCCAGCAGCAGGACUGUGCAUCUAAAGGGGAGACAGUCAGUCUCCAGCAGCAGCAGCAGAGCGGUGUAUUUAAAGGGGAGACAGUCGGUCUCCCCCUCCAACAACCAGGCUUCCACCAGGCUACCCUCCCAGUAGCGCUGGCAACAGGGCAGAGUGCCGCUGGUCUCUGCCCACGCAGCAACCCACCAAGUCAGCGUACCCGUACCCAGCACAGCCGUGGUGAGGCACCUGGACAUGGACAAGCUUCUUCUCUACCCAGGUGUAGUAACCAUUUAUUGUGGGUGGGCUGUGCUGUUGAUUAUUUGUUGUGGGUGGGCUGCUGGACUAACAAGGGCACUGACCGGCAGGAGGUCAGAUACCCUGUUAGUCUGUUGGGAAAAGGGGAGAGAUGUGACGAGACCAAUCUCGCCACAUUGCAUUGGAGAAGCCUGGUUGCUCGCCUGCUGCCUUUGGACUAUGGCCCCCUUUUAAAAGACUUUAUUUUUCCAUGCAGAAAAGCUGUAUUCGUGCUUUUCUGCCGGUUGUUCGGUAGUUUCAAUCUACCGAACAACCGUACGAAUGACUGGACCACCUGGGAGCUGGAGUGUGCCGGCAAUUAACCUCCCUGAAGCUGCGGUUAACCGCAGCUUAAUUGAUGAACGCUGGGUGGCCGCCGUUCGUAUCCCGAACACGAGGUCGCGGCCAUUUUAAACCAUACGAAUGAACAGCGGUGUUCGCCUCUAUUUUCAUGGAACUAAAAUCGGACACAGUUUUGCGCGAACACCGCUGAAGCCGCCGACCUCCCUUCUUGUUCGGUGAAAGCACACGAAUGACCCGGUGUUCGGUAUUUUUGUGUGAAUGUCUUAUACCCCAGAUAGGAAUCCCAUGGAGCCCAUUCGUAUGAAACUGACUGUAAAGACUUUGGCUCCAUGGCGAUUAAACUGUAUUUGUGUGGUCCGAGCGCCAUUCACUUAAUAAUGUGCGCUCAGACCUGAGCUAUCUGGGGAUAUGUGAAAUGUCUGUGUUUUAUGUAUAAAAGGUGACUUUAUGUAUUUUAAAGUGUUUUGUGUCUUUUUGCAACCAUGUGCUUAAUGGAGUCUUGUGUCUGUCCUGGGAGAUAAUUGAAUUACUUAUCUCCAUGAUAGAAGACUCUGAAACUGGUUUGGGCCAGAAAGCCAUGCUUCAUUUAGUCACAAAGGACUUUUUACUAACUUUUGAACCCCUUGUCUGAUUUGUGCCAUUUUUGAAUAUGUUGUUCCCCUGAAUGGAUUGAUUGAGAAUAUGUAAUUUUAUGUGAAUGUGAUGUAUGGUUUUGGAGUUAUGAAAGUUGGGUAGAAAGUAUGUUUUAACUGUUUGUAUAAUUGAGUUUCCUCUCAGGAUAAGGGGAGGGAAUAUGUGGGAUGUAACUGUGAUAUGAUUGGUUGUUUUAUCCCUCCCUGUGGGUGGUCCUGUAUUUGAAACACUGUAAUAAAAACCAGGCUGGGUGUGCCAGCACCUCAGACCACUGCUUGACCCUCAACACGGAGCCUUGUCUCGUCUUUGGGGGGAUUUACUGUAUGCUGCUAAGGACUGAUUGCCAGGAGUGUAAGCCGCUUGGAAGCUUUUCCUGUUCGCCUGCUAGCAGCUAUUCGUAUGGUUCCUGUUCGUUUAUUUGAAGUGCUACCUUAUUCCCUUGUAUGCCGUUCGGGAGUUUGGAGCAUUCACUUAUUGGCGGUUCGUGAGUUUUGGUGAUUAUACCGUAGCUGUGCCUGUCUCUGAAAGGGGGGAUUAUCGUCUAAGUGGUUUUUUCCCCUUUUAUGCUAAACGGUCCGUUACAGACGUACACUACAUCAUCACUCCACCCCUGUUCAAAUCCAGAGAAAAUUAAUAAGAAUGAUAAAAUAUUCAUGAGAAAGUGAUCAAUAGAACAAGAAAUACAUAUAAUUGUGUAAAUUCCCAGCCUGAGAUUAUGGAAUAAACAAGCUGUAGCUUGAGCCUAUUACCUUUCUUCUAAUAAUAGUUUUAAACAUAUGAAACACAAAAAUAAUAAAAUAUGGAUUUAUGUGUAAUUGAAUUAUAACAUUAAAAUAUAUAUAUCUUGUGGAGUUUUCAAAAAAAUAAAUAUUAAUACAAUAGUAUUGUUAUCCAUUGGUAUACAAUUAAACUGUGGUUCAUCAAGAAUAAAAUUUUUACCGUUCUUUUAUAGAUCAUUUGCAUAUAUUAGCCAUGGACCAUUAUGUGCAUAAAUUUAUAAAUGGGAAUGCAGCUUUUCAACUGACAAAUAGCAGUCUGCUCUCUGAUCUUACUGCUCAGCUCCCUCGCACGCCGCUUAGUGAUGCCGGGAGCCGGUCUGACAUCAUAUUCCAGCUCCCGGCAUCACUAAGUGGAGUUCGUGGAAGCUGAGCAGUAAAAGCCUGCAAUAGAAGCUGCCGCCGGCCUUGUGGGGGGCCCAAAGAUGGCUAAGAAGGCAGUGCCGCCCAAGGAAAAUGUCUUGUUAGCCUCGUGGUGAAUAUACCACUGGACACCCUACCAGCAACCUUUGGCCGCGUGCCCACAGAGAGGUCUCGGCGUGCCAGCUGUGGCACACUUGCCAUAGGUUCGCCAUCACUGACCUAGGAGCUUGGAUUCCAAGCCUUGGAGACUUUAACCUGGGGUCAUAUGUUAAUGAAACAGAGGGAAAAUUAAUAAAAUAUGGUUCCCCUUUUUAACGCAUACUAUAUGAGGCAUUCAAGUACAUACACAUCAAUGCAGCUAGCUUGGUUCUGUGCAUUUUUUAUCUAGAACCAGUACAGGACAAUCGUAUAUUUAAGUAUCUGGAAAGUAGAAAUCUGCUAGCUAAUAUGGCACUCUGUCAUGCUUGACAGAGUCCCUUUUAAAAGCAAAGAGGGAUAAGGUUAUAGAAGAAGUGCAUAUUAGAAAGCUAAGCCUUAUGUAUUUCUAAUUUCAAAGUAUGACUACAGAAUUUUACAUUUUUAAACACAUUUUCUUAAAACAGCCAAGCAGAACUUAGAUGUCACCUUGAACUUAAAACAAUGUGUAAGUGAAGAAAGAGACAAUUUCCGUGGCAUUAUCACAAUUUCCCCUAUAGGUAUUAAUUUAAUUUAAGUCACUAGUUGUGAUGUUGUGUUCCAUGCUUAAAAGGAAUAUCUGGUUGUCAUGCCAAGGGUGCAUGAUUCAUUGUUGCACUAUAGAAUAUGGCUAUUUAAUGUGAUUUGUGUAGUGCAUACGUGAAUUGGCUACUUGGUAGAGGUGGUAUGGCCAAUUUGAUUGUGAAGGACAGAUGUUAAAGGGGGUUAAUUUACAGUAUAUAGGAAUGUGAUAGAUGUCAGAAGGUUUACAACUCUAAUAGCCCCUUCCCGACCUCGGACGUACCAGGUACGUUCAACAAAAAAAUGGUCAUUAAUGACCUCGGAAGUACCUGUACAUCCGAUAGCAAAAAGGCACUUACCUGAUCGCUGGCGAUCCCCCGCCGGCGAUCGCGAUUUCGAGACUUGCUUGGCAUCCCAAGCAGUCCCCGUGCGUGUGAUCUGGCCCUCCCUGCCCGGGCCAUGUGAUCGCGGGGUCCUUGCGAUCACAUGGCCAGAAUAGCCGGCUAGUGUCGUGCCUACAGGGGGCCUCUCUGAGCUCUCAGGCAGUCCCCCCAAUGCCUACAGAAAUGUUUUCCAAAGUUUGUAAAACUUAAAUAAAAGUUUAAAAAAGUAAAUAAAAGUACUUACAUCAUAUAUAUCAUUUUAUAUAUACAUAUAUAACUAUAUAUAUAUAUAUAUAUAUAUAUAUGUUCUAAGUGCUUUUAUAUACACAUACACACAUCAUUAUUAAAAGUGUAUUAUAAUAUUAAUCUAUAUAAUUAUAUAUAUUAUUAAAAUACACUUAGAAUAACAAUAAUUUUAUUUAUUUUUAUAUAUAUAUAUAUAUAUAUAUAUAUAUAUAUAUAUAUAUAUAUAUAUAUAUAUUAGGGAUCGACCGAUUAUCGGUCUGGCCGAUAUUAUAGGCUGAUAUUUUUGGCAAUAUCGGUAUCGGCCUAUAGAGAUACCGAUAUUGCCGACAAUACAUACCAGUAUCGCUGGGCCUAUUACAAGCCCGCAGCAAGCACUUACUUACCUUCCAAGCAGCUCCCUUCAGCUCCCUGUGUAAAUCUUGCGAGUCUCGCGGCCGUCAGAGUGUUGACACUGGUUAACAUGGCAAGGCUCCACGCAGCACACAGGCCACAAGAUUUACACAGGAAGCUGAAGGGGGCUGCUUGGAAGGUAAGUAAACGCUUGCUGCGGUCCCCCACUGCACAGUCCAUGCCACCGGACCACCAGGGAAAGCUGUAUCCCUCUCUCCCUGGCUGUAACGAAAAUAUACCCCAACACGCAGGAUUUAAGCUAAACAAAUGUCAGCACAGAGGGAAGGUACGUCUACCGGACCUUAGAGUGGCCGGACUCGACGUAAAGGAGAGCGAUACAGAGUCAGGAGCGAUCCGAGGUCAAGGGCACAAAGAGACAGCAUAAACUUGGACUAGCCGGGGUCUGGUACACAGAAAACAGCAAGCCGGCAAACAGAACAGAUAAGGAUAAAGAGAUAACGUAGUCAGAAACAAAGCCAAAGUCAAGUCAAAGGAACACAACUGAACACAACAAGCGCUAAAGGGAACUGAAACAGAAACCACGAUAGGGCAAGGAACUAAGGGAAAAAGGUGAGUAUAUAUACCUAAACAUCUAAUAUGAUUGGUCCCUGUCACAUCCACGCCCCCAAAAGAUAGGUGUAUGGGGAGUGUGGCAUGACAGGGACCAAUGGGACGCCUUUUCCAAUUUAGGCUCCCACUGUCUCUUUAAGAGCGCGCCCGAGACCCGCGGCGCACUCUUAGAGUUAGGCGGGACACGUGUCCACUUCUCGCGGUCACUGCCCGCCUUCCUGUUACAGCCGUCGGAUGAGCCGCGCGCGGCUCGUGCAGCAGCAGGACCGCGCGCGGCUGAACAGAGGACCCCGGCCGGCCCCUGGAAAGGGUAAGUACCGCUACAGUACCCCCCCUGAGGACACGCCCUCUGGGCGGGGAGGGCCAGGCCUGGCAGGAAAACGAGAAUGGAAAGAGCGCACAAGACGAGGAGCGUGAACCGCGUCAGCGGAAAUCCAACUGUGCUCCUCAGGCCCAUAGCCCUUCCAAUGCACCAGGUACUGAAGCCGACCUCUAAGGAAAUGAGAGUCAAGAACAGCAGAAACUUCAAAUUCCUCAUGACCCUCCACAGAGACAGGACGGGGAGGAGGAGUAUGCCGGGUAUAGCGGUUGCGUACGAAAGGCUUCAACAACGAGGUGUGAAAGACAUUAGGAAUACGCAGAUUCUUAGGGAGACCCAAGGCAUACGAAACAGGAUUAACCUUAUGCAGAAUACGAUAAGGACCAAUAAAGCAGGGAGGCAAUUUCAUAGAAGGCACCCGGAGGCGAAUGUUUCAGGUGGAAAGCAGAACCCUGUCCCCCACGACAUAAGAAGGAGCCGCCCUGCGAUGCUUGUCAGCCUGCACCUUCUGGCGAGUAGCGGAAUCCACCAAAGAACGCUGAACCUGCUCCCAAGUAUUACGCAAAUUUGCCAAAUGUUCAUCCAGAACUGGCAUGCCCUGUGAGGAGAAAGCAGCCGGAAGAACAACAGGAUGUUGGCCAUAGACAACGUAAAAAGGACUCUUGCCAGAAGAAUCAUGAGUAGCGUUAUUCCGAGCAAACUCAGCCCAAGGAAGAAGGUCAGACCAAUUGUUCUGAUGGUGGGAUACGAAACAACGAAGGUACUGCUCCAGAGAUUGAUUGGCACGUUCAGCAGCUCCAUUAGACUGGUGGUGGUAAGCGGAAGAAAAUGAGAGAGAAAUACCCAUUUCCAAACAAAAGGCUUUCCAGAACCUGGAAAUAAAUUGGCUACCCCUAUCGGACACAAUAGAUACGGGAAUGCCAUGUAAUCGAAACACCUCUCUGGCGAAAAUAACUGCUAGUUCCCUGGACGUGGGCAGCUUGUGAAGAGACACAAAGUGAGCCAUCUUGGAAAACCAAUCCACUAUCAUUAGGAUAACUGUGUUACCAUUCGAAGGGGGUAAUUCAACAAUAAAAUCCAUGGACAGGUUAGACCAAGGUCUCUCGGGAAUGGGUAACGGAUGCAACAGCCCACAAGGAACCCUACGAGAAGAUUUCAUACAGGCACAAGUAGUACAAGCACCUAUAUAGUCGGUGACAUCUUUGCGUAAGGAAUCCCACCAAAAAUACAGAGAAACAGCUGACACCGUUUUGGAAAUACCAGGAUGUCCAGCAGUCUUAGUGUCAUGAUACAACGACAGAAUCUCCCGUCUUUCGGGAACAUCAACGAACAGUUUAUCAGUAGGUCUCUCCCUAGUUGCCAUGCUUUGUUUCGCUCGUAUGGCCUGCAAGAGGGACGAAGAAAUAGACAAAAUAGUGGUAGCUAUUAUCCUUUCUGGGGGAAUUACAGGAGUAACAUCAAUCUCCUGUUUGUCAGCAGUUUCGAACUGUCUGGACAGAGCGUCUGCUUUAGUGUUGCGGUCACCUGGCCUAUAGGUAAUAAUGUAAUUGAAAUGAGACAAAAACAGUGACCACCUAGCCUGCCUAGAAGACAAUCUUUUAGCCUCACUAAGGUAGGAUAGGUUCUUGGGAUCCGUAAAUACGAGGAUAGGAUCCUUAGUUCCUUCUAACAAAUGUCUCCAUUCUUUCAGUGCUAAAAUAAUAGCAAGGAGUUCGCGAUUACCCACAUCAUAAUUCUUUUCUGCUUUGAACAUUUGUUUGGAGAAGAAGCCACAAGGAUGCAAUGGCUUCUCAGGCGACUCUCUUUGGGAUAAGACAGCACCUACCCCAAUAUCAGAAGCAUCAACUUCAAGAAUAUAGGGCAGUGUGGGGAUAGGAUGCUGUAAAAUAGGUGCAGAAGCGAACUUAGUUUUAAGAAAUUCAAAAGCCUGAAGUGCCUCGAGCAUCAUAUUCUGGCUCCCUCGGCAUCAGCAAACAUCACACGAGGGAGCAGAGCAGACAGGUUAGAUCUCCCUCGCCGCCUUGGAUUAGAACUCUGCCAUACCAGGAGGUCCAGAAGGUGGCCUGACAGGAGGGAGCACUUCCCUCCUGCCGGUCACUGAAAACUUGUGCCCGCAGAGCCGCUCGUGUCCGCCUGCCCACCCAAAAGGAGAAAUCCUCUCAGAAAGAGGAUUUAGCCGCCGAAAUGCCUACCGCCCACCUGGAAUCCUGAAACGCCCACUAGUGGGCGGUAGGGCCAGAUUGACGACCCAUGCACUACACAAACACUGCAUUCACUAUACACACUACACAAACACACACAGCUCCCCUGUCUAAACACACUGCAUCCACUACACGUGGCAUGUAUAUUUUGUGCAUUUACCUUUUAGAAAUAGUUUAUUUUUUCAAAAUGGUAAAUGUACAGAAUAUCGGUAAGUUAUCGGCUAUCGGCCUGAAAGUUAUCGAUAUCGGCUCUAAAAAAUCAAUAUCGGUCAAUCCCUAAAUAUAUAUAUAAUUAUUGUUAUUCUAAGUGUAUCUUAAUAUAUAAUAAUAUGAAUGUGUGUGUGUGUGUGUGUGUGUGUGUGUGUAUGUGUGUAGAAACAAUCACAGUCCUGGGACUUGGUUGAAGUAGUAAAAUUUAGCUUUUAUUUAUUCCAUAUAAAAUAUUAACAUUUCAGCUCCAACAUAACUUUCAUGAGGACAGGUAACAUGUAACAAAGGUGCAGACAAGAGAAUAUAUACCCCAGAUCCCUCCAAAACAAAUUGAACAAUCAAAUUAAAAUAAGUAUGCACCACUGCAGUGUACUUACUGAAUCAGUGUUCGGAUGUAGCACAGCUGGCCAAGGCUAACUCCCCACUCUGUCCUUGUAUCUGCAUAAUUGUGGUUUGGAGGGGGGAGGGGAGAGUUUGUGUUCCAAACAGUUGCCAAGCAACAUCCAGUAUAAAUAAAUUAAAAAAAUAAAAUAAAUGUAAUUAUAUGUAAAAACAAAAAUUAUAUACCGGUUUAAAUUUGUUCUAACUGUAUUUUGAUAUUAAUAUACAUAUAUAUUUAAAAAUACAGUUAGAAUUACGUUAUCAAUACAUAUAUCCCCUUAACGACCGCUGAAGUACUAGGUACCUCCGACAAAAAACAGUUGUUAAGGCAAAUAGUGGCCCUGAACUUACCUGAACUGACGAUCCGCGGCGAUCACGGACCCCAGCAAUCCCCCUGCAGCAGCUCCGGCCCUCCAGGGCCAUGUGAUCACCAUGAUCACCAUGAUCACCAUGAUCACAUGGCCGCAAUAGGAGUCUUUGGAGCUGACAGCAGGGGGACUGUCUGAACUGCCAGACGGACCCCCAGGCUGCUAAAAAGUAAAAAAAAAAAUGACAAUAAAAUAAAUAUAUUAUACAUAUAUUAUAUAUGUAUAAUAUAUUGUAAAAUAAUUAAAGCAUUUUAUAAUAUAUAUAUAUAUAUAUAUAUAUAAUUUCAUUAUAGGUGUACUUUGAGAUACAUUUAUAAUGAAAUCAUAUAUAUGCAUUAUAUAUGUAUAAUAUAUUAUAAAAUGCUUUAAUUAUUUUAUAAUAUAUUAUACAUAUAUAGGAAAUAAAAGUGUGUGUGUGUGUAUAAUACGUGUUUAUAUAACACACAUAUUAUAUACACACAUAUUAUAUGUAUAUGUGUGUGUAUAUAUAUUUAUAUACAUAUACAUACACACACGAAUUAUAUAUAUAUAUUAAUCCCUUAAGGACGGCGGGCGUGCUAUGGACCGUCUCUUAACGCCGGGGGCGGCAUAGCACCUCCCCCCCAUCCUUCCCACUUACCCACUUAUGCCGGCGAUCGCGGUAGUCCGCCUCCUUCCGUUUUGGCCCCCUGGGCCAUGUGAUCGCGAGGUCCUUGCGAGGACCUCACGAUCACAUGGACGGCAUAUGUGUGUUAGGCCAGAGUGUUAGCAUGUGAUGUUGAAUGCCUGUAAGAUAUAAUUUAAUUGUGUUGUAAGAUAAGUGUAAUUUAAGGUGACAAAAAGAAGCGAAGGCUAUGAUAGAUUUCAUGGCAAAAGGUUGGGAUAUGUCGUGGUCCGCUAGAAAUCUUGUAAACAGUGUGAAGGCUCUGUUGUAUGUUUUGCGAGUGUUGGAUGAUAGUGCUAGUUUGGACAGAUCCCUGCUGUGUUGCAUAAUUAAUUCCAAUCCAUGAUUAGCUGUUGGAAAGAAGGGGUGGCUGUGGCUGCUUGAGCGGCUGAAGGAAGUGCUUGAUGAAAAGCCUGAAAAUUGAAACGAGACAGUCUGUCAGCUGCUAUGUUACAAAUGCCUGGAACAUGUAAGCAAACCAAGAAGAAAUUGUGACAUGCUGCCAACCAAAUGAGUUUCCUGAGAAAUCUUAUGGUUGUUUGGGAUGAUGAGCGGCCUUUGUUAAUGAUGUGACAUGUGGCCUGGUUGUCUCAGUAGCAACGAACUGACAAUCCUGACCAUGAAUACCCCCAUGCCACAGCAGCUGCUACCAUGAGGUAGAUCUCAAAAAGAGCUGAGGUCGUAAAAAAGCCUUCCAAGUCUUGGACUUCUUCAGACCACCUAACCCAAAGCCAUUUGUUCCCAAAGAUUGCUGCAAAACCCGUGGUAGAUGCUGCGUCUGACCAUAUGGUUGGUGACGUGUCAGACAAUCCUGGGAGGAACAAGCUUUUACGGGUGGCUAAGAAUUCCUUCCACAUGUGCAGGUCUGAUGUGGCCUGCAUAUCCAUGGACAGUCUAUGGUCGUUGUGUCAAAAAUGUGGAAAAAGACAAAGAAGUCUGGAUAUGAAAGCCUGACCUUGUGGAAUGAUGCGCAUGGCAAAGUUUAAGGAACCUAUGAGAGACUGAAUGAAGUUCCUUGCAGUUGCAAGUACCCAGCAUGAUGUAGUGAUUGAUGCUUGAGAAUGUUUGUAAUUUUCUCUUGUGGUAAGCUUGCUUGCAUGGAUGUUGAGUCAAGUUGAAUGCCCAGAAAUGUAAUGAUGGCGUCUGGACCUUCGGUUUUCUUAGGGUAUACUGGGACACCCAAGUGGUCGAAUAGACUAAUGGCUUCUUUUAGGCUUUUGGGGGAAAAUUUGUUUUCUUCGACCAGCAGAAAGUCAUCUAGAUAAUGUAUGACUGUGGGGCAUCUGGAGAUAUUUAGUAUCAGCCAGCAAAGUGUUUCUGCAAAUGUGUCGAAGAUUUUGGGGCUACUUUUUAACCCAAAGGGUCUACAAGGAGCAGGAGGGAUCUGCAAGGAGCAGGAAGGGGUAGCAAGGAGCAGGAAGGGGCAGCAAGGAGCAGGAAGGGCUUGCAAGGAGUAGAAAGGGAUCAGAGAGAGAAAGGAGCAGAAGGGCGCAAAAUAAGCAGAAAGUAGCAGAAAGGUAAAGGAGCAGGAGGAGCCAAGGAGGAAAAAAGACUGUUUCAGAAGAAAAAGAAAACUGUGUCAAAUGAAGGAGAAGAAAAUGAGAUUGGAGCACUUCAUUCUGGACACCACAUCAUAAGGUGGUACCUGGGCCUGGCAGGGGAACUUUGGACCUUCUCAUCUCCCCAGGUAAAAAAAAUAUCAGUGUUAAUGUGUUCACUUUUAUUUACUGAGUGUCAGGAAGCACAGAGGGCCGCUGGGUAGGGGUGCCGCUGAUUGGCUAGAGGGUCAACUGGCAUUCUAAGCCAAUCAGUAGCUACCCAUGCAUAAAAACUUAAGACCUUUUUAUGAAUCAGGAACUGUGGAAUCCCUCUGAAAAUCCAGUCAUGAGAAAAUCUACCAAAUGUCUGGAAGGGUGAUUAGUUAGUAGUGCUGAGAAAAGCAUAAAUGUUAACAGACGCUAGGUACGGUUUUGGGUACAUUUUAUUUGGGCACAUGGUUUUUGCAUGUGCCCUAAAACAUUGAAACAUGAACAUAUAUGCAAUAGUUUGCAAGCACCAAGGUCUUGAGAAAAGUCUAUUGUGACUGAAACGUCGACAUUUUUGUAUUCUGCACAAUAAAGCAGUAUUUAUUUUGAUAUAAAACGAAGACUCCCGAGUGCUCUCUACUUGGAUGCUAUAUAUUGGUCAGAGAUUACUUGCACCGGAGCAUGGAAAAGACCGGGAACAUUGAGUGCUGGGACCUGGGAAAAAAUAAUAUAUAUAUAUAUAUAUAUAUAUAUAUAUAUAUAUAUACAUAUAUUUAUAUACACACAUAUAUAUGUAUAAUAAUUCUACGUAUAUAUUUAUGUAUUAAUUUUACAUAAUUAGGUUUUUUAGUAGCAACUUAGUCACAAAGACUGGCCAAAAUUGACGUUCAAAUUAGUUUUUUGCAUUUUCAAAUAUUAACACUAACUUUGGCCAGUGUUUGUGACCAAGUGGCUACUAAAAAAGCCUGGGCAUACCCCAUUUGCAAUACCUUGGGUUGUUUACUUUUGCAAAUGGUAUGCCAUCAUGGAGGUAAUUCUCAUUCCUGGUCUACCAUACGGUCUCAAAGGCAACGUAACCAAUCUGGCGAAUUUCAAUGUGAAAAAACUGAAAAAUUUAACAUGCUAUAUUUGACCCUGUAACUUCCCAAAACACCAUAAAACCUGUACAUAGGGGGUACUAUUUUACACGUGAGACAUCGCUGAAUACAGAUAUGUGUAUUUUAUUGCAGUAAAAUCAAACAGUAUUAAGACAUUCACAGUUAGAAUGUCACGUAGAACUUAAAAAAUUUUUAAAAUUCUUAUUUUCUCCCAUUUUUUUAUAUUUUAUUCAUAUUAAAUUAUGUUUUAUACCUAAAUAUUUGAUGUUAAAUGAAAGCCCUGUUUCCCCUGAAUAAAAUUGUAUAUAAUAAGUGUGGGUGCACAUAAUAUGAAAGAGAUGAAUUACGCCUGAACAGACAUAUAUUGCAAAUUCAAGUUUUUGUUUACGUUUUGUUUUGAUCACAACGUGUACAUUUGGCUCAGUCCUUAAGGGGUUAAUACCUUAGGUUGUCUUCUUUAAAAAUGUAUUUACAUGUGAAGGGUUUUUGGAGAUUCCUGACAGAUAUCAGUGUUACAAUGUAAUUUUUGUUAGUUUGAAAAAAAAAAAUGGUUUAUAAAUAGCAAAGUAUUACUUGUACUUAUUGCCAUAUAACUUUGCAAAAAAAAAAUCCAAGAAUAUGUUAACAUUGGGUGUUUCUAAACUCAGGACAACAUUUUGAAACUUUUGGCGGUUGUAGAAGCUUAACAGAUUUUGGGGGUCAAAGUUAGAAAAAGUGUGUUUUUUAUACAAAUGUUUUCGUAAAUUAUAUGAUAUGACGAAAAUAAUGGUAUCUUUAGAAAGACCAUUUAAUGCAGAGAAAAAUUGUAUAUAAUAUGUGUGGGUACAGUAAAUGAGGAAGAGGAAACACUGCAGAAAUGUAAAAACAGCCCUGGUCCUUAACUGUAAUAAAAUUGAGAAAGGGUGUGAUCACUAAGGGGUUAAAGAUGUGACUCCAGAACCCCGUCUGCAUGGUGUAAAAUGUUACACAUGAGUUGCCUAGCUUUAUUGCAAACUAACACUCUAAUUUAUCAAAAGCCUAUACGCCCUCUUAGAUAGUGGCGUCUAUUGAUGCUGACCAUCAGGGCCGGCGCUACCAUAAGGCGGCACAGGCGGCUGCCUUAGGGCGCACCGGCCUGGGGGUGCAAAUAUUCGGUUGACCAGCAGGAUAGAUGUGCACAGCGCUCCUCUCCUGACGGUCAUUUCCUGUAACGUGGCUGAGCGCAGGAGGAAAGGGUCAACAAAGGAGCUCCGAUCCAGAUUUCCUGUAUAGCUCCCUCGUGCGCGUUGUAGAGGUCCUAAGAGCUGGAAUGUGACGUCAUAUUCCGACUCCCAGGCACCACUACAGGGCGCACAAGGAUCAGAGCUCUCCGAGGAGCACUGUGACAGCCCACUGGACUCCAGGCUGUGGAACCACUCCAGUUCUCCAGAAGGUGGGGAGACUGGGUGGAUGGGUGGAGUUGUCUGACUGUGUCUCUAAGCCCCACUCCUCCACAAGACUGUCCCGUCCACCAUAGCCUCAGUCCCUCACACUACUGCCCUGCUUCCUCAAUACAGUUGCUAUCCCCCCCACCAGGGCCGGACUGGGAGAAAAAUUCGGCCAGGGCAUUUUUUUAACACAGCGGCCCACUAAAAAGGGGGCGGGGCAGAGGAGGUGUGUUUUGUCAUCACCAAUGACAAACACGCCUCCUCUCAAAGUGAGCAUGUUGGUUCAAUGCUCUUCCAGGGCAGACCAUGCGCAGAGCCCUGCUGAAGAGCUCUAGCAUGAGAAAAAAGCUCUGUAUUUGUUCUGCACAGUGCAAGCAAAUUUAAUAACAUGCUUGCACUGUGUUUCCUUGCAACUUGUCUCUGGUGUCUCUAUAAAUGGAUACCAGGAGACAAAAGGCCAGGACAGAGUAUUGUGCAUGUGUUUGGAGCCUGCUUGUGGAAUUGCGUGUGUGUAGAGUGAGCUGGUCGUGGUGUGGUAUUGUGUAAUAAGGUCGGUUUUAGUCGUGUUGUGUUUGUGGUGUAAUGUGAUGCAUAUGUGGUUCAGGGACCCCCUCCCGCCCGGCUCUGGAAAGGGGUUAAAACUUACCUUUUUCCAGCGCCGGGCGGGGAGCUCUCCUCCUCCGAUCCGCCCCGUCGGCUGAAUGCGCACGUGCGGCAAGAGCUGCGCACGCAUUCAGCCGGUCGCAUAGAAAAAGCAUUUAUAAUGCUUUCCUAUGGACGCUUGCGUGCUCUCACUGUGAUUUUCACAGUGAAAAGCACGCAAGCACCUCUAGCGGCUGUCAAUGAGACAGCUGCUAGAGGUUUUGGGGGAAGGCUUAACCCAUUGAUAAACAUAGCAGUUUCUCUGAAACUGCUAUGUUUAUAAAACAAUGGGUUAACCCUAGAAGGACCUGGCACCAAGACCACUUCAUUAAGCUGAAGUGGUCUGGGUGGCUAGAGUGGUCCUUUAAGAGUGUAGUGUGUGUGUGUAUGUAUAUGUAUAUGUGUGUAUAUAUAUAUAUAUAUUUGGAAGUAUUGUGUAUGUGUGUGGUGCAGUGUGUUGGGGGGGUUCUGUGUGUAUGUGAGGGGUGCAGUAUGUGUGUGUGUGAGGGUGCGGUGUAUGUGUGUGUGAGGGUGCGGUGUAUGUGUCUGUGUGAGGGUGCGGUGUGUGAGUGAUGGGUGUGAGAGUGCCGUGUGUGAGUGAUGGGUGUGAGAGUGCCGUGUGUGAGUGAUGGGUGUGAGAGUGCUGUGUGAGAUGGGUGUGAGAGAGUGCUCUGUGAGAGUGCUGUGAGAGAGUGCUGUGUGUGUGUGAAAGUGCUGUGUGUGAUGGGUGUGAGAAUGCUGUGUGUGUGUGAGUGCUCUGUGAGAGUGCGCUGUGUGUGAUGGUGUGAGAGUGCUGGGUGUGAGAGUGCUGUGUGUGAUGGGUAAGAGAGUGCUGGGUGUGAGUGCUGGGUGUGAGAGUGCUGUGUGAGAGUGAUGUGUGUGAUGGGUGUGAGAGUGCUGUGUGAGAGAGUGCUGUGUGUAAUGUGUGUGAGAGUGCUGUGUGUGAGAGUGCUGUGUGUAAUGUGUGUGAGAGUGCUGUGUGAGAGUGCUGUGUGAGAGUGCUGUGUGUAAUGUGUGUGAGAGUGCUGUGUGUGAUGGGUGUGAGAGUGCUGUGGGAGAGAGUGCUGUGUGUGAUGGGUGUGAGAGUGCUGUGGGAGAGAGUGCUGUGUGUGAUGGGUGUGAGAGUGCUGUGGGAGAGAGUGCUGUGUGUGAUGUGGGAGAGAGUGCUGUGUGUGAUGGGUGUGAGAGUGCUGUAUAAAUGUUAUUGUGUGUGUGUGUAGGGGGGGUAAAUAAAAUAAAAAUAAAAAAAAGUUAUUAUUUCCCCCCCUCCCUUCUUACCUUUAGCCUGGGAGGGGGGGGGACCGGCACGCUGGGACUGGGAGGGGGGGUCCGGCACGCGGUGUUCCCUGGUGGUCCUCGUGGGUGAGUGAACUCUAGUCUGUGAGGCUAGAGUUCACUCUCGCGAGAUCCGGUCGUUGCCAUGGCAACGCGCCGGAUCUCGCGAGAGGAACCCGGCGGAGCUGCAAGUUAGAGCUCCGCCGGGUCCUCUCUCCAGGCUGGCUGGCUGUCUCCCUCCCUCCCUCCCCGCCGGCGGCCGCAUGUGGGCCGGUCAGGGAGAUCCUUGAUCCCCCCACCGGCCCGUCGUGACAAACAGCGGGGCCGGCGCUAGGAGAGUGCCGGCCCUGCAUAGACCGCAGGGGAGAUCCUGUGAUCUCCCCUGCCGGCCUCGGCCCAUGGCCACCGCGGCCCACCGGGCAUUUGCCCGGUGUGCCCGAUGGCCAGUCCGGGCCUGCCCCCCACCAUAACCCCAGUCCCCCACAAUACUGCCCCUACCCUCCACAAUACCGUCACUAUGCCCCCGCACACUAUAGCCCCUGCCCCCCACAAUACUGUCCAUAUUCCCCCACCAUAGCCCCAGUCCCCCACAAUGCUACGCUACCCCCCACUAAAGCUCCAACUCCCACAAUACUGUUCCUAUACCCCAUCAUAGUUCCAGAUCCCACAAUACUGUUCCUACCAUAGACCCAAUUCCCUACAAUACUGUUCCUAUCCCCUCACAAAAUACUGCCACUAUCCUCACAAUACUGCCCUUAUCCCACCACACUAAAGCCCAAUACCCACAAUACUGUUCCUAACCCUACCACUAACACCCCAAUCCCCAAUAAUACUACCCCUAUCCCCUCACACUAAAAAAUAAAUCCCCCACAUGAUGGCCCCUUUCCCCAUACUAAAGAAUCAAUCGGCCACAAUACUGCACCUGCCCCAUCACAAUAAAGCCCCAAUCCCCCACAAUACUGCUCCUAUUCCCCACUCGCUAGAGUCCUUAUCCCUCCCACAAUACUGCCUCUAUUCCCCAAGACUACCCCUAUCUCCCCUUGACUAUAGCUCCUGUCCAACACACACUAUAUUUACCCUAUCACCCACACUAAAGCCCUAUUGUACAGCACUACAGAAUUUGUUGGCGCUAUAUAAAUAAUAAUAACAAUAAUAAAAAGUCCCUACCUCACACAAUUCGGCCCCUAUUUCACACAAUAAAGCACAGUGACACAGGAAGGGGCUGGUGGGCAAGUAAGAGACACAGGGAGGAGCAAGACACUAAAGGGGGAUAUAAUACACUAAGGGGGGUGUAACACACACACAAAGGGGUAACACAUUCAAGAGUGGUUUAAGAGAACCAUUGUGUUUCUGUGUCAUAUCCAAAAGAAACAUUAAUGAUAAAAACUCACAGAUGAACAAUCAUGUCUCCCUUGUGCAUAUUUAGAACAUAUGGGGACAGCACAACCUACAAAAAGAGUAUAAAUACUGCUAGGGCAGCUUACGCCGUUUAAAAGGAAUUAUAAAGUCCAUUGUAUUAGGUCAUAAGUAGGAAGCUAAGCCAGAAUUAUGGUCAGACUUACACCAUGCCAAAUUAUACCAGCAGUAGCGAGCAGUGGUCGACUGAGAGUUCUGUCAGAUCUAAACAUCGAAAUGCAGGUUAAAGGGACACUAUAGUCACCAGAACAACUACAGCUUAAUGUAGCUGUUUUAGUGAGUAUUGUCAGUCCCUGCAGACUUUUUGCACUAAACAAUGCCUUUUCAGAGAAAAGACAGUACUUACAAUAUUUACAUUGCUCUCACAACAUCAGACAUAGUGGUUCAGGGGGUCAUAGCUGUAUGCAGAAGUUGUAUGCUUGGGCUGACUAAAUCUAAGCCCUGUUGACUGAUGGAAGCCCCAGUAUUAUUUUAUAUCUGGAUCUUCCUAGUGUGAGCCAGGUUUUAAAGAUACACUCUAGUCCACCGGGUUCCAAACUUUGGCGCUGCGAUGUGCACACAGGAGUACCGCGGAAUGUUUCCCCAUUACUGCUGAACAGGGGCCCAGUUGGGUGCCCGGCCCCUGUAAUGUCGGCCAGCUGGGAGGAAGUGACAGCCUGUCACGUCCUCCCAGCUUUGUACAGAGAGACUGUGCAGGUGGGAGAGGAGGCAGCCACAGCAUGAGGGGAGAGGAGCUUUCCAGAAGCUGCUCCGGACCCCUCACUCCCAUCAGCCAGCAGGACUCCAAGCCACCCUCCUGGACAUUCAAGGUAAGCUAACAGGUGGGUGGCUGGAGAUAUAAGAAAUAUUGUGUGUGUAUGUGUGUGUGUGUAUGAGUGUAUGUCAGGGUAUGUGUAUGGGUGUGUGUGUGUGUGUGUGUCAGAGAGUGUGUGUGUGUGUCAGGGUGUGUGUGUAUGAGUGUGUGUCAGGGUAUGCAUCUGUGUGUGUGUCAGGGUGUGCUUCUGUGUGAGUGUGUGUGUCUGUGUGUGUGCACACAUCUGUGUGUCAGGAUGCAUCUGUAUAUGUGCAUCUGUUUGUCAUGGUGUGUGUUUUUAUGUCAGUAUUUGUAUCUGGGUCAUGGUGUAUGCAUGUAUCAUCGUUUGUGUGUGUCAGGGUGUGUGUGUAUAUGUCAGUGUAUGCAUUUGUUAAGGUGUGUCUAUAUAAAUUUGUGUGUAUGUGUCGUGUAUUUAUAUGUAUCUGUGUGUUAAUGUGCAUGUAUAUCUGUGUAAGUAUGUAUGUAUAUAUGUGGUAGUGUAUGUGCAUACAUCCAAGCAGUCAAACACCAGCACAACCAGUAUAACUUUGUCCCUUUUUUUAAUUUAUAUUUUUCUCUUUGCUGUUUUAAUUUAAAACUUUUUCCCUCUUUUUUUCUCUUGCUGUUUAUAUUCCCCUCCUUGUGGGUGCUGCUGCUGCUGCUGCCAAGCUAAUUAGGGGGAGUGCCCCUUAAUUUCUAUCUGUGUGGGAUUUGAAUUGCCAAUAUCAACCCACUACUGAUUCACAGAGUUUGCCCACUGGAGUUUGCUUGAAAGUAGUCUAUUUUAAGUAGGAGUUGAAACAACAGGAUUUUCAACUAUAAGCAAGUUUAAACCAAGAGGGUAAAUAUAGUUUUGCUCACUUGUGUUUUUGGUAACUGGGGAUGAGUGCUAGCAAGAUUGCGAGUUUUACUCAGUGCACAUCCUGCUGCAUGUAUGCAUGCAUGAAUGAAUCUGUCCAGGGUCCAUACCUCUGUGGUGCUUGUGAGCGAGUGGGUUUUCUGGAAGCAUUUGAUACGCAUACUCAAACUACGCUACUUCGGACACAUCUUUGUGGCCUUUGUUAAAAACUUACAACACAACCCAACUGCUUGCAUCACGACAAAGGGACUAGACUUUCCAUAUUUCACGCUGGGACGAGUGGUACGGCAGGGAUACCCCUUAUCACCACUACCACCACAUAUUUAACCUAGCCAUAGAUCCCCUGUUGCAAGCUAUUGAGUCACUACCUGGCUACAGGGGGAUGUCACUAUGAAGGUCUCGGCUUUUGACGGUGACCUUCUCCUAUAUACCUCGGAGCCAGCCUUUUCUAUACCACCCCUCCUUGACCUACUUGACAAAUGCCAUGCCCUGGCAGGACUUAACUUGUCGAAAUCCAGUGCGCUACAUCUGGGGAGGGGACUGUCUCCUAGGUUGCCAAGGGGUGUCCCAUUGAAAUGGCAAGCAUCGGCCUUACAAUAUCUAGGGAUCAAGAUCCCAAGAAACAUUGGCCUACUGUAUAAAUUAAAUAUUCCUCCUGUUCUCUCCUCUAUUUUUAAUGAAUUGAAACACUGGCACAAAUUGCCACUCUCAGACAUAGGACGAGCCAAUCUCUAUAAACUAGUUAGUUUCCCACUUAAAGUACUCCCAGUCUUACUCUCCAAAAAAGAAGAAUGUCUUUUAAACAAAAUGCUGAGACACUUUCUUUGUCAGGGGUCGAGGGCCAUGCUGAGCCUAACUAAACUUCACCAAACCAAAUGCAAUGGAGGACUAAUCUUCCAGUGACUACAGUUUGAUGGCUCAACUCCAGCAUGCACUCGAUUGGAUCCAAUCGCAGUCAAGAUACUCAGAUCUAGCCUUGGACUCCUUUCUGGCGCAGCCAGACUCCCUACCAGUACACAAACCACACAACCUGCUUUCAGAUGAUAUUCUCCCAAACCCUCUCCUGGCCGUCCCGAUUAAGGAAGAUGGCUCGGGCCAGCUUGGGGGCAAGCCCGCUAUGUUCAAUACACUUGACUCUGCUCAGGAAUCCAGAGUUCCAGGAUGGAUCCAACACAUAUCCAUUCACGAUGUGGUCAGGGCAGGGUCUCGGGUCUUUGAGUUCCUUUGUAGACACAAAAAUAUCUUACCAUAGGUUGCCUGACCCUCCCAUACCCUGGUUUGCAUAGUUUCUAGUACGACAUUAUUUUUACACUAUAAGUCAGCGCCUCCUGGUCUCCGAUUGGAGUAAUUCUUUGGAUCAUCUUUUAUGCACCACAAAUCCAGCAUUUUACUCCAUCUCUACCCUAUAUGCCCUUUUACGAUACACACUUGAUUGGAACACACUACAAACGGGUCUGGGGAAAUGGAAGAUUUACUUCCCUGAUAUCACACCUGAGAACAUCCUAAACUCUCACUACCUUCAAAGUCAACUGCUCCCCAUGGUUUCUUAUCGAGACAUGUUCCUGAAAACCACACAUUAAACAUAUUUUACCCCGCAUAGACUACAUCUCAUGGCAAGGAAUGACUCUUCUACCUGCUUUAAAUGCACCCACACCAAAGCGGAUAUGUAUCACUGUCUGUGGGAGUGUCCCAUGAUUCAGACCUUCUGGAGAGAGGUUGUGCAAUACUUAACGUAUAACAAUAUGAUGCCCUUACCAUUAAAUCCCAGUUUCCUAUUAUUUAUAUCCAUUUAUGGUGAUUCCGUGCCUAAUAGACGCUUUUCUAUGAUCAUAGCAGCGAUGGACCGCAGAACCAUUCUUCAGGUUUGGAACCAGCCGGGUACUUCACCACUUACUUUAUUCUUAACCAAACUCAAAUUCCUUUUUAAAAUGGAUUGGCUUUAUAUCCUAGCCAACAAGGAACUUCUGGUAAAAAAAAGAUUUCCUCACAUGGAAUGUUUCUACGCUGGACACCUAAUUCCAAUCUAGACUUAGAGCAACUUUGGAGUGCACGGCAUGGUUCUCAACCGAGGUGGUGGCGGGACGGAACCCAUUGGGUGUGCCCAGUGCUACUCACCCAUAACUCCAUUUACUGUUCUUGGGGGGCGGGAAUGUUCAGUGGACCGGUAAUUGUAAAUAGUUAUUGACUUUGAAAAAGUCUGAAGGGUGGAAAAGACCAACAUAUAUAGAUUCAUGGGUUGCAGAACAAUCAAAGCAACGUGGAUAUAAUGAGCAUACUACUAUUAGAAAAACAUAUCUAGAGCAAAUUUAUCAAAUAUAGUAAAGUAGUUAAAUUCUUGACAUUCAGUAUAAAAAGGCAUUAUGACAUGUAAUGCUGAUUAUAUGGUUACUACUUUCAUUGUUAUACACGGUUCUUUACCCACUCAAUGCGUACGGAUGCUGAUCACAUCUCACGUGCAUAUCACAUCCUAUGACAACAAUACACUACCAAAGUCAUUGAAUAACACUGCAACAAACAGAACCCCGCUCCUACAUGGUAUGUUAAAUACAAUACUUUCUAAGGUUAUUUGUUUUCUGUUAUUGUUCUUCUUUUACUAUAAAAAAAAACUAAACUCUGGCGAUUGCGACCAAGUCGAUCACCACAACAUGAAGAAAUGCCUUAACAAAAUAACUCUCGACUUUCUUUUUCUUUCUGUAAUACAUUGUCAACAUAUGUACUAUGAUAUGGCUUUUGUGAAGCCUAACAAUGAUAAAUGGAAACUAUUCAGACAAAUAUUAGAGAAGUACAUUUCUCAUUAUGUACCAUAAGUAAAACAAGAAAUUAAAAAUAAGAAAAGGGCAUUUAAAGCAUUUAAAUGAGACAAAUCAGAGGCAUCCUAUACAAGAUAUAAGGAAGCCAAUAAUUCUUUCAAAAAGUCAAUUAAAGUGUUUAAACUAGAAAAGGAGAAAUUGAUAGCCAAAUAAUGCAAAACCAACCCCAAAACUUUUUUCCAGUACAUCAAGGAUACGGCAGAAAUUUUAAAUAACUAUUUUUCUUUCAGUAUAUAUUAAUGAGAAUCCUAUGGCAAAAGAUAUGCAAAUGAUUGCUGCAAAAAACUUUCAGAUAACUUGUGAUUGGAUUACUAGAGACAAGGUGCUAUAGCAGUUAAAGAAAAUUAAUGUAAAUAAAGCUCUGGUGCCUAAUGGUAUUCAUCCACGAGUACUUAAGGAACUAAGUAGGGAAAUAAGUGAACCUCUGUAUUUAAUUUUCCAAGAUACAUUUGUUUCAGGUAUUGUACCGGAGGACUGGAGGAAGGCAGAUGUUGUUCCUAUAUUUAAAAAGGGUUCAAAAUCCUUGCCUGGAAAUUAUAGACCGGUGAGCUUAACUUCUGUGACUGGGCAAAUAUUUGAAGGGCUAUUAAGGGAUAAUAUUCAGGAAUUCAUUGGGAAGAACUUUGUUAUUAGCAAAAAUCAGCAUUGUUUUAUGAAACAUAGGUCAUGUCAAACUAACCUAAUUGCAUUCUACGAAGAAGUCAGUAGAAGUAUGGAUCAGGGUGUUUCAGUGGAUGUGAUCUACUUGGAUUUUGCCAAGGCGUUUGAUACGGUUCCUCACAAUAGGUAAAUUUUUAAACUAAAAGAAAUUGGUCUAGAUGAAUAUUCUUGUUCUUGGGUAGAAGAUUGGUUUAAGGAUAGAGUAUAACGGGUUGUCAUUAAUGGUAAAUUUUCAGGCUGGACAAAAGGGGUAACUGUUGUCCCUCAGUGUUCUGUUUUUUGGACCGCUUCUAUUUAACAUCUUUAUAAAUGAUCUUGAAAUAGGCAUUGAAAGCCAUGUUUCAGUGUUCGCAGAUGACACAAAACUUUGUAAAGUAAUAAAAUGUGAGCAGGAUAUUGCUUUGCUGCAGAGGGAUUUGGAUAGAUUGGGGGACUGGGCACUAAAAUGGCAGAUUAAAUAUAAUGUAGAGAAAUGCAAAUUUAUGCAUUUUGGAGUUUAAGAAUGCACAAGCAACUAACACCCUAAAUGGUAGUGAAUUAGGGAUAACCACAUACGAGAAGGAUUUGGGAAUUGUUAUAGACAACAAAUUAGGCAGCAAUAUGCAAUGUCAAUCUGCAGUUGCUAAGGCCAGUAAGAUUUUGUCAUGUAUAAAUAGGGGCAUAAAUUCUCAGGAUAAAAAUAUAAUUUUGCCUCUUUAUAAAUUGCUGGUAAGACUACACCUUGAAUAUGCUGUGCAAUUUUGGGCACCACUUUUAAAGAAGGAUAUCAUGACACUAGAAAAAGUGCAGAGACAAGCUACAAAAUUGAUAAAAAAUGAAUGGAGCAUUUAAGUUACGAAUAAAGGUUAAAAAAUGUAAAUCUCUACAGUUUGGAAAAACGGCGCCUCAGAAGGGAUAUGAUAAAAUUAUACAAAUAUAUUCGGGGCGAAGUACUAACCAUUAUCUGGAAAUCUCUUCAUACACAGGGCUAUACAAAGGUGGGGUAAUAGCUGCUUGAUCCAAUCAAACAUCUGACUGCUAUUUUGGGGUUCAGAAGGAAUUUUUGUCUGUCUGUCAGUGAGUGCAUCUGUCUGUCAGUGAGUGCGUCUGUCAGUGAGUGAGUGUGUGCGUCUGUCUGUCAGUGAGUGUGUCUGUGUCUGUCAGGAUGUGUCUUUGUAUUUUAGUGAGUAUGUCUGUGACUGUCAGUGAGUAUGUCUGUGUCUGUCACUCUGUCUGUCUGUGUAUGUGUAUGUCAGUGUGUGUGUGUAGCUGUCAGUGUGUGUCUGUGUGUGAGUGAAUGUGUGUAUGUCAGUGUAAGGAUGUUUGUGUCAGUGUGUGUCUUUCAGUGACUGUAUGUCAGUUUAUGUGUAUCUGAGAGUGUGUGUCUGUCAGUGAGUGGGUGUGUAGUGUGUGUGUCUGUUAGUGAAAGUGGGGGUUGUUUAACCCCUUAAGGUCACAUGACAUGUGUGACAUGUCAUGAUUCCCUUUUAUUCCAGAAGUUUGGUCCUUAAGAGGUUAAACAAUGUGUGUGCCAAUGACUGUGUAUCUGUCAGUGAGUGUAUGUCAGUGCAUGUGUCAAUGAGGCUGUGCAUCUGUCAGUCAAAAAAGUAGCCUUGACAUGAAGUGGUGGUACAAAUUUAGAUUAGGGGAGUGCCUGUAUUUAGUCGUGCCUAGGGCAGCACAAAUCCAAGAUACACCACUGCAUGUAGCACAAGCAAUUUUUGCUGUGUGUGUGUUCAACUCCAAUUUCCAUUUUUCUUAUUUAUUAAACCAGCACAUAUUAUAUACCUUUUUUAAAGAACAAAGAGGGCUUUAAUUUGAUGUGGCAAAUGCAUUAAUAAAUUCUCAUUUAUUGCAUACAAACACAUUUUUUUACAGUUUUGGUAAUAAUAAUGUGCACAUAAUUUGAGCAGCUUAAAUGGACACUAUAGUUACCAAAACAACUGUUGCUUAAUGAAGCAGUUUUUGUGUAUAGAUCAUGCCUCUGAAGUUUCACCGCUCAAUUCUCAUUCAGGAGUUAAGCAACUGUUGAUCUGUUUGUGCAGCCCUAGCCACACCUACUGCAUGAAAACAAAAUGGUUUAUUUUUCAAUCCGAUGUAUCUUACUUUAAAAGUUUUUAUCUCCUGCUCUGUAAAUUGCUCUUUAAUUGCAAGCUAUUAACAGUAGGAGAUAAGAAAUUCUAAAUUAAACAGAACUUAAAAAAAAAGGACGUGUUAACAUUAAACAACUCUUACAGGAAGUUUUUAGGAGGGUUGUGCAAGUCACAUGCAGGGAGGUGUGACUAGGGCUGCAUAAACAAAAUGAUUUAACUCCUAAAUGGCAGAGAAUUGAGCAGUGAGACUGUGGGGGCAUGAUCUAUACCAAAACUGCUUCAUUAAGAUAAAGUUGUUUUGCUGACUGUAGUGUCCCUUUAUGAAAAGUAGUUCAAAAUAAAUCCAUUUAUUUGCCCUGAGAUACUGAUUACAUCAUAUGUCUAGGAUUUCAGUUUAUUUUUGGUAGUUACAAUUCACAAAAUACAAGGAGUAAAUUACAAUCUUAAUGUGGAAUGCUGCAUACAGCUUAUUGUUUAGCAUGAGGCCACUAAUUCUGGUUCUAUUUGACAUGGGGUAGCCCCACGUAUCAAGUCUUACCCUUGGUUCCACAGUAACCAGCAGGGAACUGGCCAUUGCUGGUUAAAUACUCUGUGAUGGAAUUAUUUUUUCAUUGGUCCCUUAGGAUGGGACAACUAUGAUGGAAUAAUUCAGUCAUCGGUCUCAAAGGGGUUAUUUUUAGUGGUUUUAAUAUAUUUCGACUAUGAUUUGGUUUUACUGAUUUAUGGUAAACUGCUGCCUCAUUACAAGUGGGGUACUCAAGCUUGUUGGGUUGCGUGACCAUCACUUUAAAGAGACAGGGUUUGGAUGGUGUGUUAGUUUCUUCCAUUUCGAGCAGCAUGUCUGUCUAGCCAAGUCUCAUUACAGGUAGAAAAUGACACUAAGCAGCAGGCUUCUCCUGCAAACUGAAACACUUUCUGACUUUUGUCUUUCAAUUACUGCAUUUUAAGUCCUCUGAAAUGACUUUUCAGCAGGUGAUUUUGUAAAAAAGAAAAACAAAAGAAAGAAAAAGAAACAUUAUAAAUAUGCUGCUUUGUUCUUCCUGUGCUUUAAUGGCUUGUAAAACAAAUGGCAAAGCUAAUGGAUUUGAGCUUGUUCAGAACCUGCAGAGACUGUGCUUUAUUUUUUUUUAUUUUUUUUAUAUAUAUAUCUACCAUGACCCUUGUAUGCAUGGAGUUAAACCCUAUAGAUGAAUAGAUGACUUGCUGGGUACCAAUAUUCCUUGUAUGGUGAGAUUUAAAGAAAUACCGCUCUUUACACUUUCAUAGUAAUGAUGGGUGUCUAGUCUUUGCAGCAAAACAGCUCAUCUUAAUUACAGUUUGAGGAAACUGAAGUCAUACAACAACUGGUGAAAGCUUUAAAUGGCUUCAUCAUCAUCAUCAGGUCUUGGAUGGCUGAUAAUAAUAGAAGUUACAAUCUAAACAAAACACAGAUAAUUAUGCCAGUUUCCCAUAAGCAGGGCCGGUGCAAGGAUUUUUGCCGCCCUAGGCAAAAGAAAGAUUUGCCGCCCCCCCCGCCGGGGCCUCGCAAUGCCCCACCCAUAUGAUCUGCCAUAUGAACUAGUGCCAGUGCUGCACACAGUGUGUGUUUACAUUAAAAAGCCUGCAGGGACAAACUAUAGAAACCAGAACAACUUUAUUAAGCUGCAGUGGUUCUGGGGACUAUAUUGUCGAUUUAAUGUGAGGUAAAUUAGAGAUUAGUGUCACUAAUAAUAUACUAGAUUGCCUACUUACAAUCAGAUGAGGAUGAUGAUGGGCUGUGGCUGCAGUCUGGCUCCACUGGUCUGGUGUAGAACAGGAUAUCUGGAGGCUGCUUGUAACUGUGGUCACAAAAUUCAAUGUUCUGGGAGAACGGGAAGCAGCUCAAUUUUGUGGGGCCUCUUACAUAGCUCAAGGUCUGGGCCCCAGGGCCUGACGGUGAGUAUGCCCAUAAAGCCCACCCAUAAGUCCACCAACAUGAGUCCGCUCACAGGGAGUAGAGUGUGUAGGGGAUGUGUUAUGUGUUACUGUAGAGGAUCUAAUGUGUGUGCUUAUGGAAUGUAGUGUAUAGGGAUACCAGUUUGAGUAGGUGAUGCAGUGUGUUUGUGUGUAAGGGAUAGAAAGCAGUGAGUGUUUGUGUAUACGGGAUGUAUUGUGUGUUUGUCUGUAAGGGGUGCGUUGAGUGUGUGUAAGAGAUGCAUUGUGUUUCUGUGUGUGUGUAAGAGAAUCAGUGUGUGUUUGCAUAUGUGUGUAAGGGAUGCAUUGUGUGUUUCUGUGUAUGUGUGCAAAGGAUGCAUUGUCUUUAUGUCUAAGGGUUGCAUUGUGUGUUUCUCUGUGUGUAAGGGAAGCAUGUUGUGUUUGUGUGUGUAUAGGGAUGCAUUGUGUGUGUGUGUGUGUGUGCGCGUGGUGUGAAAGAGCUCCCUGUCCUGCCCCCUGUCCUAUAGAGCUCUCCCUUAGAGAUCUCCCCCGCCCCUUAGUGGUCUCUCCUCUCCCCCCCCCACCUCCCUUAGUGGUCUCCUUUUCUCCCCGACUUUCCAUUAGUGGUCCCUCCUCUCCCCCCACCCUCCCCUAGUGGUCUAUCCUCCACCCCCCUCCUUUAGCGGUCUCUCCACCGCCCCCUCCCUCCUUUAGUGGUCUCUCCCUCCCCUACGUUCUCAUCUCCCACCCCCCGUGUUCUCCUCUUAUUCCCCCCUCCCCGUGUUCUCCUCUUCUUCUCCCCUGUAAUCUUCUCUUCUUCUCCCCCCUCCCUGUAACCUUCUCCACUCCCCCUCCCUCCCUGUAAUCUUCUCCCCCCCUAUAAUCUUCUCCCCCCUCCCCUAUAACCUUCUCCACUCCCCCCUCCCUCCCUGUAAUGUUCUCCCCCCUCUUAUAAUCUCCCCUCAAUCCUCCUCCCUCCCUAUAAUCUCCUCCCCUCAAUAAUCUCUCCCCUAAUAGGCUUCCCCACUCCCCAUGUCUUCUCCCCACUCCCAUAAUCUCCUCCCCCCCACUUCAAUGUCUCCUCCCCCCCUCCCUAUGUGUCCUCCCCCCCACUCAAUAAUCUCCUCCCCCCCUCCCCCCACUCACCCAGCCUGUGGCCUCCCCCCCCCUCCAAUGUCUCCUCCCUCAAUGAGACUCUCCCCACUCCACUCCCCUAUGUGUCCUCCCCCUCCAAUAAUCUCCCCUCCACUCAAUAAUCUACACCUCCCUCCCCCCUCCAAUAAUCUCCUCCCUGCUUGUGUCUCCCCUCAGCCAAUCUCUACCCCCCACUCCCACUCCCUGGUAAUACCCCCCCCCUCCAAAAAUCUCCCCCUCCCACUCCCUAUAAUGUCCUCCCUUGUAAUCUCCCCCCCCCUCCCUCCCCCACUCAAUAAUCUCCCCCCUCCCUCCCCUCCAAUAAUCUCCCUCCCUAUGUCCUCCCUCAAUAAUCUCCCCCCCCCCCCCUCCCUCCCCUCCAAUAAUCUGCCCCUCCCUCCCACCCCACUCCAAUAAUCUCCCCACUCCCUCCCCCCCUCCAAUGUCUCCCCCUCCCUCCAACCAAUCUCCUCCCUCUAUGCUCGUGUCCUCCCCCACUCGGCAAUCACCCUUCCCUCCCAAUAGUCAUUUAUCAUCCCUAUAAUCAUCUCUCACCCUCCCCUGCCCUUCUGUUGGCUGAGGCUCCUUUCCGUUCGGACAGGUGGGACUGAAAAGGAGCUCGGCCACGCUACAGAAGGGCAGGGGAGGUGAGGCACUGUGGCAGCCGCCUGAGCGCUCUCUAUAGAGCGCUCAGGCGGCUGCAGAAUUUAAAGGGCCGGCGAUGGGGGCGCAGGGCGCCCCCUCCUAUAUGGCGCCCUAGGCGGCUGCCUAGUUCGCCUUAUAGGAAGCGCCGGCCCUGCCCAUAAGCACUUUUUAGUAUUUGAAAAAGUUAGGAAUACUCUUUAAACUAUGGUACCAUGCAGUUUUGAAAUACUGUUUGUUCCUUUGCAAAGUGCAGCAUGUUUUUAUUUUUAAGGAAGAAUAUUUUGUUCACUGCUCUGAUUUAUGUACGUUGACAAACACUGAGUGAUAGAAUGGGAUGCUGUACUCUAUGAAAAAAUAAAAAACCUAUAAAAAAAAACAAAAUGAGUUUGUUGUUUUCUUCUGAGGUUAAAGCUGUAUGUCUAUAAUAGUAGAUUUUAUUAGUAGAAUUGACAAAAAAAAGAUCUAAAUACAAGCCAUUUAAAAAGAAAACAAUUAAAGGGGACUUGUAAAAUAGUACUUGUAUACAUAAAGAUGUCAGUUUGUAUGAGAUGGUAGCGUCCUAAUUGGUAUUUUCUUUACAAUGUAAUUGUGCUUAGAUCUCAUUAUCUUUUUAUGUCUCCUAAAAAAUACCUCAGCUUUCUUUAGUGCGGGUCUAAUAAGCAGUAUCUCCACAGAGAUGUUUUCCUGGUUAACUAAUAAGAACAAUUCUUGGUUGAGUUCUGGAGGUAGAGCAAUCAAAGUAAACAUUCCAUUGGUUUCUAUGGUGACUGCUCCACUUUUAUACCAUUAGCUUUGUUAGACUUCAUUGCAUAUCUAGGUAUCCACUCAACCUUUUUACUUCUAUAGUAAGCUGAUGAAACUCUGCCAAAAAAUUAGAUCCAACUGCAGUUAGUAGCUGAUACAUGUCUCAUCAUUAGCAAGAAAGUAUGUAAAAGAGGAUUAUAACAACGGUUAGCAGUUAAUAAAAUUGGUAAUAAAACAAUAAAGAAGGGGUGCUACUACCGUGUUUCCCCGAAAAUACACCCUACCCCGAAAAUAAGACCUAGCUGAAUUUUCGGGGUGGGCUGCAAUAUAAGCCCUACCCCGAAAAUAAGACCUAGGCAUUGUACCUUUCGGCCCGGCGGGACUUCCUUCUUCUAUGAGGAGGAGGAGGAGCGUUGCAGGCCGCGGCAUCGCGCAACGUGAUGACGACGUGCGCAGCGUCGUCAGUCUGCCUUCACGGAUCUUCAGCGGAAGGAUCCAUUUCCGGGCGGUGAGGCACCCAGUGGUCGGACUCGGCGGGCAAGGAAGGCAUCUUUGAAAUGUGAGUAGAUAUUUUAUGUCUGGGACUGAAUUAAUUAAAGGGGGCGAUGAAUUAAUUAAAGGAGGCGGUGAAUUAAUUAAAGGGGGGGCUGGAUUAAUUAGAGGGGGGUGGAUUUAUUAAAGGGGGGUUGGAUUAAUUAAACGGGGGGUGGAUUUAUUAGAGGGGGUGGAUUUAUUAGGGGGUGGAUUAUUAGGGGGGUGGGAUUAAUUGGAGGGGUGGAUUAAUUAGAGGGGUGGAUUAAUUAGGAGGGGGGUGGCUAAAGGAGGGGUGGAUUAAUUAGAGGGGGGGUGGAUUAAUUAGAGGGGGGGUGGAUUUAUUAAAGGGGGGUUGGAUUAAUUAAACGGGUGGAUUUAUUAGAGGUAUUAGGGGGUGGAUUAUUAGGGGGGUGGAUUAAUUAAAGGAGGGGUGGAUUAAUUAGAGGGGGAUUAAUUAGAGGGGGGUGGAUUAAUUAAAGGGGGGUGGAUUAAUUAGAGGGGUGGAUUAAUUAGAGGGGGUGGAUUAAUUAAAGGGGGGGUUAAAUGUACAAACCGGUACCAUAAAUAAAUAAGCCCUACCCUGAAAAUAAGCCCUAGUGUGUUUUUUGGGACUAAAAUUAAUAUAAGACCCGGUCUUAUUUUCGGAGAAACACGGUAUCACCUAUGUGAGUCACUCCACCACACAAUAUAGCAGUGAAUGAUAAACAGGUAAAAAUGGUGAGAGCACACACAGAUAAUAAAAUAAAUAUAUUAUCACUAUAGUAACACGGAGUCCUGCAAUUUAAGACAGGAGAACAAACAUAGGGUAAUAAAGUACAAAUACAUUUUAAAAUGUGAAUAAUUGUUCACACUCACAUAUUUCUGAGCCACUUAUUGGAAGCUGGCUCAGACUAAGAACGUUGGAUGGAUCAAUGGCAGUGAUGACAGGAUACCAAUGUUGUCAAAUUUCUUGUUCUCUCCCUUAUAAAGCCCAGGAUGCAGAAACUUGUUAAAAGGAUUUAUUGAACAGAAAAUAAAAUCAGCAAAAAUAAAAUGUUUGUAUGCUAAAUAAAUUAUAUAGCCAAGAAGAAUAUAAAUACAAACAUAAAUCAGUGCAUUAUGGUGUGCACUAAAUGCCACUUAAAUGCACUUUUAAUUUGUUUUUGAUUUAAGAAAAUACAAGAUUAUACAAAUAGAGAUAUACAUUUAAAAAGUGCUUAAAGGGACACUGUAGUCACUAUAACCCCUUUGUCUCUUUGAAUUGGUUAUAGUGCAUGGAGUGGCCUGGCACUGUCCCUCCAUUCAGUGUUGCACCAUGUUUGUUCAAUAUGCCACAAAAUAAGAGUCCCUGGCCACCCACAGUCCGACCCCUUCUGUAUGUGUAGCUAAGGCAGAGAAUACACACUUCCUUGUUGUCAUACCCAUUCAUACCGUCAGUUGGAGCUCUGACAGGUUAAAAGCAGUCAGCUGACACACUCAGCCAAUCACAGCUGCCCAUUGCCUCUCAGGGUAAUACUUCCUUAUUAGCCAAAGCAGCACAGAGGGGAUAGACUGCCGUGGACUCUUGUUUAGCAUUAAAACAUUACAACAUUAAAAACUGUUUAAUGCUGAAAGAAAUUAUGGUACCAGGGGACUCCAGACACUAUAACCAGUUUAAUGAGUUGAAGCAAAUACAGUGCCUACGGUGUCCCUUUAACAUAUUCUCGAAAGUCCAUAGGCUGCUUCUUAAAAGUAUCUUUUAUCUUAGACUGAUUUCAAGGACACUAACAUUUCUCAUAUUGCAUGUUGAAAAAACUGUUAGUGAAUUGUUAGAUUUGGAAAUAUAAAAUAACAAGUAUUAUUGAUAUAGUUAAUUGGAUAUUGUGGCUUGGCUGAAAAUUUAAUCAUUUAUUUGCAUGUUCAUAAAGAUGACCAGUCAUAAUUACCAAUUAAUUAAACAGAAACAUGGUAAUUAAUUGGGUUAGUAUUAAAGAGAGCCCAGACAUUAAAAAGAAACAUUUAUUUUACAUUUUUUAGUGAUCCUUAGUAAUUUUUUUAAGUAAUGCCUAAAUAUACUCAGUAAUGUAUUUUUGUAAUGUGUGCACUAUUUAUUUUUUAUUUCCUUCCUUUUCACAAUGACUUUGAUAAAGUGCCCUUUGGGGUAUAAAACAUUUCUUUAUUUGAAAAGGGGUGCUGAGCAACACUCUAAAAAAAAUACAAUAAAAUAAUCCACGAUGCCUACUAAUCCCUUGGGAUAUUGGGACUUAAAAGUAUAUGAGGUAUUGGAAGUUGCCUGCACCCUUCAAAAGCUUGGACUGACAGCUGCCGCUAUGAAGCUUCAACCUUCAACCAAGUACUGCAACCGACUUCCUGGGACCCUGAUUGGGUUCUCACAUUUGUUCCUGCUUCUCUGAGAGGAAGCCCUGCAACCACAGUGAUUCAUCAGCAGUAUAUUCACAAUCUUCAUUGUUUAUUGCUUAAAGUAUGAUUUUCACCUUUUAGUUUUGUUUUUAAAGUUCGUUGGCUGAACCAUAAGACCUUCGUAAAGUGUUCCUAGGGACACAUCCUUUUGUACAGGCCCAGUCUGUAUAUACUAGCAUUUGGGGGUUUAUUUCCCCCACAAUAUCCCACUUCCUCCGCCUACUAACCAGCAUUGCCACUACACUUCUUACAAAUAGUUGUAAUAAACACAUUUUGGAAAUGUUAUUUAACAGCUAUUUAACACAAAUGCUAUUGCAAUUCCACCAUGGUGGUAUCCUGACUGGAAAACAAUCAUCUCUUGAAUUGCAAGUAAUAAAGAUCUGUUCAUAUAUUGUAUAGAAUUGAGUUACGUGAAGAAUUAUUCAAGUUACAUAACAACUUUACGUUUUCCCUCAGGUUUAAAACAAAUACCUUGCUUUUUUCAUUUUAGCGUUUCAUUUUGUGUUUCAGUCUUCAAACUGUGAAUAAAAGGUCCAUUCAGUGUCCUAUUAGUGGAUGACUGAAAUCACAUCCAUUUUCUAAAAGUUAUCUGUCCAGAGGCGGCCUGCUAAAUUAUACUGAUGCCAAAACGCAGACUGACACUUUGAGGGACAGUCUGUAAAGUAUGCAGCUGUCGUCCCAAUGCCCAGAUCUGUGCUUUUCCCAUGUAACUGUAAGAGAGAAGAUUAGUGAAGGUGCAAAAAUCAGGAAAGAUAUCAAAUCUGUUGCAGAUCCACUAGAACACUGGGUAUAGAGGAGCAAGAAAUUGAGGCACUCUCUAGCUUGGAUUGCUUUGAUUGGACCUGAGGACAGUAUCUGGCUGGGAUUGAUGUUAUUGUGAGUCUAAGGGCACUGUUUGGCUGGCUUUGAUAUGAUACUGGUGAUUGAAGGCUCUACGAUUGGGGUGCUCAAUGCAUUAUGGGAUUUGGAUUGAUAUUGUUGGAGGGCUGAGGCCACUAUGAGAGUGAGAUUGAUAUGAUUGGUGGUCAGUAAGCUCUGUGUGGUUGAGAUUGAUAUGAUCAGAGACUGGGGCACUAUCUGGCUGGAAUUGAAUGGCAUAAUUGGGAAAUGUCAAUGGGGCGGGGGAGAUGUGAUUGGGUAUUAUGGGAAUGGAGCUGAGCUGACAAUGGGGCUAGUGAUUGAUUGGGUCUUUGGGGAUGAGUUUGAUGAGGGAGUUAUGGGACCUCAUAUUUUAUCAUUGACUAAGGCAUUGGUAAGUCCAGAGCCACCUCAAUGUCUGUCAUUUCAAAUGAAUCUGCACUUGUUUGUUUUGUAUCCUGGAAAAUAACUGAAAUAAUAAAUCAGUGGAUACAAAACAUUACAGCGUGAGUUUAAAUUAUAAUAUUUCCACAGUAACAAAACCAAUCAAAAGCCGAUGCUGAAAUCUGCCGUAGCUGAGUGCAGUAAUGGAAGCAAUUUUGCUAAUGGGACCUACUCAUGGAACAAUGGUUUAAGCCUUUCCAUUAGAGUUGUAAUGUAGAAUUUUUUUUCCGUAUUAAUCUAGGCAUUUACCUUGUGGCCAGUCUCUGGUUCUAGUGGGUCUCACUGCAUUGCGCCACAUUUUUUGUAAUUAUAAAAUGAAAAGUGACACAUUUGCAAAAGUGUUGUUUUAAAUCUAAAAUUUAUAUAUAUUGGGCUGUGUUUUAAAAUAUUAAAGGGACUCUAUAGGCACCCAGACUACUCAUUGAAGUGGUCUGGGUGCACUACUCCUGCAGCGUAAAACAUUGCAGUUUUGAGAAAUGGCAAUGUUUACAUUGCAGUAGUAAGACUGACUCUAGUGGCUGUCUACCGUCUACCAAACUACUAAUCAAAGUAUAUAAAAAACAGAGCUAUAUUCUAAUAAACAGAGUAACUCAAUUUUUAGCUAUGUUUAUUUGUGAUAUUCUUCAUUAUAGCAUGGUUGUAGCAAGAAGCCAGAUGUUCCUGCUUACAGAUUGUCAUACCCUAAAGCAAAUUAUGUUCUAGACUAGGUUCAUUGUUUCCUUAACUGAUAUUACCAGCUCGAUAAAGGCAGUUAACUAAUACAAUGUUUGUAUUAGGCAGUUAACUAAUACAAUGCUUGCACAGUGUGAGAGGUAAGAUUACAUUACCUGAUAAAAAUGUACAUAUCACUAGUAGUGACAAAGUCAAAGAUUAUGUCAGUAUUUCAGGCCAAAACUAAUAUGCAUUUCAUUUUUUUUUCCAAUUUAACGUGUGAUAAUAAUAAUUAAAAAAUAACAACUCAAGCCUAUUCUUUAGUGCUGUAGGCCCGGGCUGGAUUAAAGGACCACUAUAGGCACCCAAAUCACUUCAGCUUAAUGAAGUGGUCUGGGUGCCAGGUCCAGCUAGGUUUAACCCUUUUUUCUAUAAGCAUAGCAGUUUCAGAGAAACUGCUAUGUUUGUAAUAGGGUUAAUCCAGCCUCUAGUGGCUGUCUCAUUUACACCCGCUAGAGGCGCUUGCGUGCUUCUCACUGUGAAAAUCACAGUGAGAAGACGCCAGCGUCCAUAGGAAAGCAUUGAUAAUGCUUUCCUAUGAGACUGGCUGAAUGCACACGCAGCACACGAGAGGGGGACCCUGUGGGAGGGGGCACCCUCAGGGCACUAUAGUGCCAGGAAAACGAGUAUGUUUUCCUGACACUAUAGUGGUCCUUUAAGAGCCCAUUUGGCCUGGUGCUGACAAUUAUGAUGGGCCUAAUAUCAGAAUCUUAUCAAAAGAAAACACUAAAACAGUUAUACCCCCCAAGUGUCAUGUAUCUGGUGCUGGAGGAAAACUCACAGGCUAUAGCUAUCAGAAAACCCAUACCCUAUGCUAAUCUCUUGUUUUCAUCUUUCAAGUAAAUCCAUACCCUCAACAGCAGUGUCCAGUGAAGCAGGAUUUAGGUGGUGAAAGGGUGGGCCACUGAUGUGAAUCACGUAACCCAAAGGGACAAACAUGUCCAUAAUGGGGUGUGUCUGCACAAAGAAUUACAUGGUCAGCCUGGCGUGAAUGCACGUUUUCUGAUAGUUAUAUCAUGCAUUAUUACCAACCAAGGGCUUACUGUGCAAACAGCACUCGUAACUUGGCAUAAAUGCACCUGAUGAUGCGCUAGCUCUACGCUUUCUAAGGAUUGUUCCUUAUCAUAUGCUGGUCCACUCCUCUCCUAACCUUUUUACUUGCAGGCAGAAGCUCUUGUUAUACAGUCUGUAGUGGAGCUCCUUGUACCCCGGCUGGGUACCUCCGCCAAGGACCGCUUCCUAGCUGGAACUCAGGAAAAAGUAAAGGGUGGCCAAUAUCUAGACCAUGUUUAUUACAAACUUUUAUCUAUGGAGCAUUGUGUGUCAGUAAGCUUUUCUGUAUGGAGCACGUGUGUGUCAAUGAACUUGUCUGUAGUGAGCUUGUGUGUCAGUGAGCUUGUCUGUAGGAAGCAUGUGUGUAUCAGUGAGCUUUUCUGUAGUGAGCAUGUGUGUGUGACAGUGAGCUUGUCUGUAGAAAGCUUGUGCGUGUCAGAGUUUGUCUGUACUACGUUUUGGUGUAUACCAAUAAGCUUGUCUGUGUGUGUCAGUGAGCUUUUGUGUGUGCAUCUGUGAGCUUGUGUUUUUAUGUCAAUGUGCUUAUGUAUAUCAGAUAGAUUGUUUGUCUAUGAGGCUGUGUAUCAAUGAGCUUGUGUGUGUCAGUAAGAUUGUCUGUGUCUGCAUGUGAGUAUGCUUACUGUAUAAUUAAAGUUUUACUCUGAAAGGAUCAAUAUUUUGUAUUAGAAAAAUAAAUGCAUAUUUAUGUUGUAUAUAUGUUUUUAUAUUUAUAUAUAUAUAUAUAUAUAUAUAUAUAUGUGUGUGUGUGUAUUUAUAUAGUACUCAGUCAUCUGGGGUGGCAAGACAUAGCCUUACAUACUACAUGUGACAAUAUAUGGCGCAAUGACUUAUGGGGUUGGCAUAGAUUUUUUUCCAGGGCUGCUUUGCACCCCCAAUCCGGCCCUGGCCUUUGCUUUAUCCAAGGUUAAUUGAUAGGUGUUCUAUCAGAUUCCCCUACCCCGUGAAAUUUCCCUACUCUUGUCACUUCCAGUGAGGGGAAUCAGCUGGAGCCUGUGCUGCACGUGCAUGCUAGCACUCCUGAUGGGGUAGGGAAAUAGAUAGAGGCUCUGAGCAUGUCCUGGCAACUCCUCCACAGCAAGGUCCUGGAAGGUAAGUAAAGCUAGUUUUACACUUUCUUUAUAGUUAGUACAUUCACUAAGCUCAGGCACAUGGGACAUUUAGGGUUAAGUGAUUAUUGUAUCACAUGAGGCCUGUGUGUCUCAUUUUAUCGUUCUCUGAUCUAACUUUGAAAACACUGAAAACUCAUUAAAAAAUAAAUAAAUCACAAUUUAGAGAUAUGCCGCUAGUGUGAAAAAACACUAAAUAAAAACUAACCCCCUAAACCUAACCCUAAUUUGAACCCUAACAUUAAAACAAAGGUAGACACAAAUAACAAAUAACACUCAUAAGAAAGUGGUAUGUGAUUUGACAUCUACAUUUACAUGCACAAACCAAUCCUUUUCGUUCAAACUAAAGAAAUAUACUUAAAAAAUAUACAUGUCACAUCCAAAUUUUGUGUGUGUACUGGAAAUGAAAUCCUAACAGACAGGAGCUAAGAGACUCGGAUAGUGUGUUAAGGUUUAUACCACCGAAGAGGAGUGAUUAUGGAAAGAAAUUAAAGAUGAAGAAGGAAGAGGAAAGUGUGAAAGGAGAAAAAUAAUAAGGAUAGAAGCAAUAAAGAUCUCACCAUCACAUGCUUGCGUUCUUGAACCUGAUAGGCUUAGGCCUCCCAUCUGUUUUGGUAGGAUCGGGUGUGUCACCUUAAUUCUAGGUCUGUUGCCCUUCUAAAUGUAUUGAACAAGGGCCACAAUGAGGGAGGAGAAGAAGCCGUGGGGCAAGCAGAUCCAUAGGUAUAUGAUCAUAGGGAGGAGGUUCAUCUUGACAGAAUUAAUUCAGCCAAACCAGGAAAAACACAGUAGUGCCUAUAGUCUUAUAUUUACUACAAAUGUAUUUAAAAUUGUAUGGAAGUUGUAUUGGUAUGGUUGUAUUGGGAGUGAACAAUUUUCUGUUAUUUAGGAGAUACAUCACUACAUUAAAGAAUUUCUAGAUCUCUUAUCAGUCAAAGAUGUUUGAUUCCCCUCUAGGGUCAGUUAGCAUAGAUACCACAACUGGAUUACCCUUUAGCCUUAGCCAGAUCCUAAAAAUAUACAAAGAAUCAGAAAGGUAAAUGCUUAAUACAUUCAUUUCACUUCAUGGUGAUACCAAGUUCUUGGAAAGAAUAGGGCAUGUUCUAAUGUAUACAAUACAAUGGUUUGGAUGCAGAGAACAUAUAGUAGAAGCUGCUAUAUAUUUUUUAUAUUUUAUUUAAUUAUCUACAAUGUCUUUACCACUAAAUUGUUACAGUACAAAUAGGUCCUCUAAACUUUUAUGUACAUAUAUAAAUUUGUUUUUAAUCUAUUCUUGACAAGAACAUACCAGUUUCUGAUACACCUAACAUUAAUAAUGGCAAAUCAAUUACUUAAACAUUCUAAAUAAUCCUGACAAAACUAAAUUACUUUUCAUUCCAUACAUUUUUGUAUAUCAGAAAUAUUCUAGAAGAAACUUCUUUGAUGUCAACCACAUAUCAGUCAAAACAAUAACAUAAAAUGAUGUGAAAAUUAAUUUAGAUUAAAUUGAGAAAGCCUAAUGAACAUCAGUGCAAUAGACAUGACUAUUUUCUUUUACAUUGAGUUUAACAAUUCCACUUGUCUUCACUAAUCAAAAUGAAAUAUUGCAUUUUUACAUGAAAUAAUUAUUCUGUAAGACACAUUUAGAAUUGUAAAAUAUACAGACUGUGAAGACUUGUAAAUGGAACUGCCAUAUCCUAGGAUUUGUUUAAUUAUGUUUACCUAUCCCCUAUAUUUAUUAGAUAUACAUUUGUGAGGUAUGAAAAAUAAUGUUAAAGCGACUCUGUAGGUGGCCCUGCUGCAUGGGGGGCUCAACAUACGACCCUUGUUAUGGGCUGUGCUGUAUGAGGGGGCCUAAGAAGUGAAUGGAGGGGACGAAGUACAGAGAAUCUGAACAGAGGUUCUACCAGUUGGGAAGGCUCAAAACUUUAAAUAGAACUGGAACUCAAGAUUUCUGUAGGAUAGAGAAAUCGGCUAUCAUCCCUGUAGAUAUAAGGAAGUAGAAAAAGGUAGCGGCGCAGAGAUAAUAUGUACUAUUUAAUAUAAGCAAGUAGUAAUAUAGAAAUAAACAAUGAUAUAUAAUACAGAGAGAGAACAAUAAAAAAAUAAUAUAUAUAUAUAUAUAUAUAUAUGUAACGGACCGCCUGGCACCCCGACCGGGUACCUCCGUCUAACGCUGCUUCCUAGUACUUGCGAGUACCAUAAUCACUGCACUGGAACACCAUAACCACCGUAGACCCCACGAACCGCUGCAGCUUGGUUGGGGUCUCGCCGUCCUCCACCCACUCUGGACCAAAGACCAGGAUCCAGCUUCCAGUGGGUAGACCUCUCCUAGUCCAGAGAGCAUAGCAGGAACAGGGGAGAAACCGCAGCACUUCUGCCCACAGUUGCCGUGGCUUGACUGAGGCACUGGAACCGCUCCUUCCUGGAGCCGAAUGGGGAAUUCGUUCUAGUCCUUACAAGGACUUUCCCCGUUGAAUCCUCUGCAAGCUUGAACAGCAGACCCAGGAGUAAAUCUUCUUUAUCUCCAAUAACAGGACGACACACAGUUUUGGAGUGUAAGCUGGAAUAGCAUUUUAAUGGAGGCACACUGGCCUUUUAUGCAAGUUUCCCAACAAGGGUGACACCCAGGUGGACCUUGUUGGGCACAGGGUCACAAACUUCCAAACCAAUAACACAUUUACAAUGUAAGGCACUCCCCCACAUAUUACACAUAUCUUAAAAGUCCCAAAAGUACCCCAAAACACAACAUAUCCCCAUAAAACAUCCCCUGAUAGCCCUGCUCUGGGUAAACAACAUAUCCAAAAAUCACCCAGAUCAGAGCAAAGGUUCAGGAAUUUCCUGGAAGUCAUAGUUGUGACCGACACAUAGUGCACAUAGUCAUAUGCCCAAAACAGUUCCAGGGAAAUCAGUGCUAACAGUCGGUCAAGUUUGGUAGUCUUUUGCCGGUUUCCCUGCAGGGCCCAUAGUCUGUUGGCAGGAGGCUGGCAAGCAGGCUCCUCCAGGAUCUCGUGGCAAACUCACUUGGAGAGGGGAGUUUGUCACAAUAUAUAUAAAGAACAGUCCAAAAAGAGUCCAGUAAAACCUUGGAAUGAGAAAACAAUCACAGUCCUAUCUGAUGAAAAGACAUCUAUGCAGUAGUGGGAUCAAGGGGUUUGUGGGAUCCGUAUGAAAGAGAAAAGAAAAUCAAAUAGUGCAAUAAAACCCAAAUAGGUAGCAGCCAAUAAAAAAGGUCUAUAUGGUCCUACUUACGUUUUUGAGAGCUAAAAAUUACCUCUAGUAUAAUCAGCGUACAGUGGUAUAAUUCCCACUUAUGGGAUAUGUGAGGGAGUGUUGUAAUUCCCACUUAUGGGAUAUGUUAUGCUGCAUGAUACCUCGUCAGAUGGGGACCAUAUGUAACAUAAAAAACAACAAUAGUGCUCACUGUGAUAAAACCAGGAGAGUGUAUAAAAAUACCAAAUGGUUAUUCACAUUUAAUUGGGCAGACACACUGGUCAAUGAUUGGGCAUAAGUGGUAUAAUCCCCACCAAGGAUGCUUUGGAGUAGAUACCUCGUCAGAUGGGGACCAUAUGUAACAUAAAAAACAACAAUAGUGCUCACUGUGAUAAAACCAGGAGCGUGUAUAAAAAUACCAAAUGGUUAUUCACAUUUAAUUGGGCAGACACACUGGUCAAUGAUAGGGCGUAAGUGGUAUAAUCCCCACCAAGGAUGCUUUGGAGUAGUAUCUCUCUGGAACAAGUAAAACUUAGAUGCCGGGUAGUAAAAUAAUAAAAAUGGUAAAAAAGAUAAAAUGGCUAACUCACAACAAAGAAAGUGUCCAAAAUACCUUUAUUAAAAUACAGUUAGUUAAAAUUUCCACAACGCGUUUCUCCCCUUAGGAAUUUUUCAAGUGGAUAAAAAAUGUGCCACCUUUUUUUACUUCCUUAUACCUAUAUACCUAUAGAGCCUGUGAGGGAGCCCUAUCCUUUAUGUGUGCUGCCAUUAUUUAAGUUUUUAAGCGCUGAUCCUUCUGUACACUUAUCAUCCCUGUAGAGUAUGCUGAAAAAUCAACAAGCAAAAUAAGUUCAAAGUAAAGCUGCUGGUUAACUCUUCAGCCCAGCCUUCCUUGGUUGUCAAUAACUAAUUGUCAUUGAGUGAGAAAGUAAAAGAUUGUUUCUAUUUAUUGGUUUCCUGUAAGGCAGAAGGAUCAUGCAGGGUCGGGCGUUCCCUGGAGCUACUACCAAUGCAACCAUGCAGAGAGGUCCCCUUUUUCUUCCCCUGUUUAUUAUGUGUUUAUGAAAACACCAUGCUGCAUGAAUAUAAACUCUGAAAGGCAUCCUAGACAGUGCAUCAUCAUUUGUGUGAUAUGCCAGGCUUCUGCACCAUGGGUUCCUUAAGUCCCAAGUGCCUAGGAUUUCAGGCAAAGCCAUUCAACCACAUUGAUCUAAUGUGACAGGGACUGAGUCAUCCUCAGCAAACAGCGUGAGGUUCAGUCUCUCUGUGGUUUUCUUGACUGUUUUCUUCUAAUUUAACUAUGCAUAUUUCAGACUUUCAUAUGUCUGAAAUUUCAGGACCCUACAAUAAAUGCAUUUUAAUUCAUCAUAUGUGGCUCACGUGGCUUAAAGUGGUUCUGUCUUCAGAACAUGUCAUACCUGUAUCAUAAAGCUCUGUAAAUAUUGAAAAGGAACCAGCAGUAGAAUGUAUAAGGUUUGCCUUAGACUCCUAUUUUGUAAGCGAGUUACUGUAGCUAAGGAACAUUUCUUCAUUAACUCCAUUAUUGCAAAUUGCCUAAAGGGAUUUGUCACGAAGGAGUUAAAAACAAACUAUAGGUUCUUUAUCUAUUCUCUAAUUUUUUGAUGCAUUGUCUUCGUGUAUUGAAAAUAAAAUACAAAAAUACAUUUAGAAUUAAAAAUAAAAAGCAUGAUCACCUUAGAUGUUCUCUAGAUUAAUUGCUGUUUACUAGAGUUGCUUGCAGCAGCAGACAGACUUAUAUUUCACUAGGAAGACACCACCAAUCAGCAGCUUCCUUUUCAAGUUUGUGGGGUCUGAUCUUAUGCCAUAAACUUCUUAUCCAGCAGAGGUCUAUGAAAUAAGGAAUGGAACUGCUCCCAGAACUUAGAGAGAUAAUAAAGCAGCUGCUAUCAAUCAACACGUAGCUCGGUUCAAUGACUGAAUUCCAACCGCAAUGGCAAUUCUCAUACUUACCAAAGCCAAAUUCAAUCUGCAAUGGUCAGCCUCAAAGAAUCUGCUGCAAUCGCCCGUAUGUAAUCAAUGUCUAGAUUAAAACUGCUGCUUUCACUUUCUCUUGAGAUUUGGCUGUCAGAGCGCCCUUAUACAUAUUGCAUAGUCUGAAAAUUUUUCUCUCGCAUUGCAACAACUGACAUAGCAUGGGAAAGCCAAUAGAAGAGCCAUCACAGGUGAAGAUGGAUUACUUUUAUUGUGUUGCUCUUUUGAAGGUUUUUUUUUUUUUUGCAAAUCAGUUUAAUUUUUAAUUACAUGUGCAGCUUCAUAGGGAUAUUAAUUUGAGUAUAUAUAUAUAUAUAUAUAUAUAUAUAUAUAUAUACUUAAUGGCUAGUGGGAGAUUAAUUAAUUAUUUAUUUGAUGGACAAUGGCAGGUCCAUCCCUCCACUUUUUAAUUAUUUGGAGCCCACUGCCCACCGGGGUUUGGGACGGUUUAGGGGGAACACUAGGUCCUCUCCUCUGAAUAUUAUAAUUAUGGCCCCUAUCCACCACCCAUGUGUUCACUAGGUCUUCCUGUCUAAAUAAUAUUAUUAGGGCCACCAUCUGCCGCCAAUGGGUUGGCAUGAAGGCAUGGGGGCUAUGAGUCUAGUUUUAAAUAUUUAACAGUCAUGCUGAUGGAGGGCUAGGGAGGUUUUAAACUUCCUUUAUAGUAAUAUUGACUCACUGGUCUUAUUGAUUCACAUGAGCUUUUUAUUUAUUUAUGUUUUCACUUUUUUAUUUUGGUGGCUGGCUAGCAACCACUGAUCAGCCUCCGUAGAAUUAACACUAGCAUUGCCAAGGGUUUUAACAUUCAGUUGUUUUUUGUUGUUGUUUUUUUAAAACAAGCAUUUACAUUUCAGCCAUUCAUUUGGUCUAAUGGCCCAAUCUGCAACCGGAUUUUUCCCCCCAAUUUAGGACAGGACUAUUUGAACUUCAGUAAAUAACCCUGUGAAUAUUUGUGAAGGUCCAGGUCUCUCUAAAUCUCUUUUCUAUCUCAGUAUAAUUAAGUAAUCUUAGGUUAUAUAAGUAAGUUGAGAUUACUCUGUGACUGAUCUGAUUUAAUUUGUACAUUCCUGUUUUGUAUGCUAUGAAAAUAGAUUAUUUUGGGGCUGCUAAAUUACAUUCAACUUUUAAGAUGAAAUUUUAGAGUAAUUUUUCUUUUUUAAAAGCUUCGUUAGCAAUGUCAUUCUCAGCUAACACACUCUUGGGUAUUAUUACAUCCCUGCAGGUGUUAUAUGUUCACAAAUGCCAAUUGCCAAACAUCUAGCCCUUGACUGAUAGAGUAAAUGGCCAUAUUUUAUCUGUCUCUGUUGGCAUGUCAGUUUUAUGACUGAGAACUUUAGAUAAUAGCCUUUUUAGAGUUUCUUACACCAGUGUAUCAUUUGUGAUCAUAAAAUGGCAAAUUUGGCCAUUCUACCAAUAUAUUUCUUUUUUUUAUCACCACUGUUUGUCUUGUUUCACCUUUGCUAUCACCUUCAAUUAUACAGAAUGCAUUCAAUCAGUGAUGACUAACAUUUUAACUCUCAUGGUUUUGUGGACUAUGUCUCAUUGUGCUCAGUCAGCUGAAUGUCUGUGAAACUUAAAUGGAGCCUCCAGUUUGAGAUUCACUAUUUUUUUAAUGCACAGGACGCAUUAUAAUAAAAAAACAAAAAACAAAACAUGCAUUAAAAACUUUUUACGUGAAGAUAUUCUGAAAAAAAAAAAUUAACAAACAAUAAACUACUGGAUAGCUGCAUCUAUGUAACUAGUCCACAUAAUGAUAAAGCUUCCCUAUCAUUAUGUGUCCUCUUCUUUUAAUACAGGCUGCUUGACCUCCAACAGUUCAGCGCAUGAAAAAAAUAGCAGACUACACAACAAAAAUCUGAAUAAUUUAUUCUGAAAAAAAUGUUUUUUCCCUCAGACAGACCAAAAUUCGACCAUGCAAAAUUAUUUUUAUGAACUGAAAAUGCAAAAAUCUAAAUGACAAAACAAGUGAAAGGUUUGUCAAUGAGCCAUUUUGCUUGUUUCGUGAUAUGUCUAUUGGCAGUUCGGUAUUUCUGACAAAUCACUUGUCCCCCAAAUUCAGAAACAUUGCAGAUUCUUAAAAGUACAGCAUGUUAAUUCGGGUUGUUUAUUGGGGCAAUUCAUAGUCCACAUGUGUCCCACUAAUGCAAACACCCGGUAUUUGUAUUGUGCUGCUGUUCUCAAGUACACUGAUACACCACAUUUAUACCUUUUACUCUUAUCCUGUGCUUAAUACUGUCCCUAAUUCAACCCAUAACCUAACCCCUUUUCCUACCCCUAAUUCGAUUUCUAAUCUUACUUUUUUUAUCCAUGCCACUGGUAUUGCAGAACACGUGAGGUUGUUGGGCCUAUAGUAUUGGCUCUUAACGCUUCAUUACCAAGGGCAAAAAAUAUUACCCAUAUCUGUUGCUUGUGCUGUUGGUUUUGUCCUUCUGUGUGCAAACUUUUGCAGUCUGCUGUCCAUGCUUUCUAUAACAUAUGCAUCACAUACAUUGGAGCAGGAAUAUGAUGUAAUUCCCUGUCCCUCUUUAAGUCUCCUGCAGCUGCACGGACAAUAAGGAGCAUAGAAAACAGUCCGCCCCUGGCUAUAGGAAAAACAGCUAGGUACAAUAAAUCUCUACACUGGGCUUCCAAAUACCUCCUUUUGACAUAGGGUAAACAAAAGUAAGGAAGACCAAAAACUGCCAUUUAAAACCGUGUCUAUGAGUGUAGUAUGGAGUUCUGCAGUAAUGUGCAGUUUGUAUGAGUGUUGUAUGGAGUUUUUUUAGUUAAAUGCAUCGUGUUUAUUUAAUAGGGUUGCUACCUGGCCGGUAUUAGAGGCUGCCUGUCCGGUGCCGUAUUGAAGUAAUGGAGACACUGGGGGACACAGAGACACUAGGGGAUGCUGAGACACAUGGGGACACUAGGGGAGACAUUGGGGCACUAGGCCACACAGACAUAGGGAUACUGUGGGAUCCUGGGAAAAACAGAGAUAUGGGGACACUGGGGCACACAGACAUAGGGACACUGGAGGAUCCUGGGAGACAUGGGGAAACUAGGGCACAGAGACAUAGGGACACUGUUUUUUUUGGGAGAUAUGUGGACACUUAGACACUGGAGACACUGGGAGACAUGGGGACACAGACACUAGGGGAGACAUGGGGACAGUGUGAGACGUGUGGAAACUGGGAGACAUAGGUACACUGAAACACUAAGGGAUACUGAGAUACAUGAGGACACUGGUAGACAUCGGGACACUAGAAGACAUGUCUCCCAGUGUCCCCAUGUAUCUCAGUGUUCCCUAGUUUCUCAGUGUCCCCUGAUGUCUCAGUGUCCCAAUAUAUCUCAGUAGCCCCUAGUGUCUGUGUCCCCAUGUCUCCCAGUGUCUCAGUGUCCCUGAGACACUAGGGGACACUGGGAGACAUGGGGACACUGAGACACUAGGAUACAUAGUGUCCCCAUGUCUCCCAGUAUCCCCUAGUGUCUUGGUGUCCCCAUGUCUCCCAUUGUCUGUGUCCCUGAUAUAUUAGGGCGCACUGGGAAACAUGUGGACACUAAGACACUAGAGAAUACUGGGAUACAUAGGGACACGGGAGACAUGGGGACACUGAAACAUUAAGGUAGACAUGAGGACACAGGCACUGGUUGACUUAAAGACACUGCGCUGUGAGACAGGGAGACAGUGGGAGCAAUUACUCUUACAGCAGAAUCAAACUGUAAGUAGUUUUUGGGGGAUUUUAAAGAAUUUUCUUUUAUGUCACUCCUUGUAAUUUACAUAUUGUGAUGUCACGCAUGCAUAUUAAUUGUGCAAUAUGACAUGUUCAUGAGUACUAUGGAGCUUUGCAAUAAUAUGCAGGGUGUGUGAGUGAAGUAUGGAGAUCUGCAGUAAUAUGCAGUGUACAUGAGUGUAGUUUAGUGCUUUUUAGUAAUAUGCUGUGCAUUGUAGAGCUCAACGGUAAUAUGCAGUAUGUAUGAGUGUGUGUAUGGAGCUUUAUAGUCAUAUGACAUGCGUAAAGAGCUCCACAGUAAUAGGCAAAAUGUAUAGGUGUAUUAUAAAGCUCUGCACUAAAAAGGAAUGUGUAUGUGUAGAUUCUGCAGUAUGUCUGUCAGGGUUGUGGAAAUGUUUUUAAAAAUCUAUUGUCUAAAGGGCUAAAUUGAUAGCUCAAUAUACUUGUCCUAUAUUAAAUCUGAAAGAAAAGAACUGAGGCCUAAAUAGCUAACCUCGAAAAAUAUUCCAACUAAGCUAUAUAGUCACAACCAUAGGCGUGCGCACGGGGUGUGCCGGGUGUGCCUGGGCACACCCUAAUCCCCGUGGCACGCCUAUGGCUUGAGUCCUGCAGGAACAGCGUUCCUGCACUUUUUUUGAACAGGAACGCUGUUCCUGCAGGCACUCAGCGCCCCCCUGUCUCACCUCUUGCCCCUGUCAUGGGGAGGGCAAGAGGUGAUGGAUUACCCCCCCCCUGCAGCUCAGCGGGCGGCGAGGGAGCUCUCUGCUCUCUGCUGUGUGCUCCCUCUCGCCGCGCGCUGAUGCCGGGAGCCGGAAUAUGACGUCAUAUUCCGGCUCCCAGCUCGAGCAGACAGCCCGCGCGGCGAGAGGGAGCAGAGAGCUCCCUCGCCGCGGCUGAACUGCGGAAAGGCGCCCGCCCCCACUGGACCCCAGGGAAAAGUCCACCAGCACUCCAGGUAGGAGGCUGGGUGGACAUUUUUUUUUUUAAAUUGAAAUAUAAUAAUUUGUGUGUGUGUGUCAGUGUGUGUUUCUGUGAGUGUGUGAGUAUGUGUCAGUGUGAGUGUGUGUGUGUCUGUGAGUGUGUGAGUGUGUGUGUGUCUGUGAGUGUGUGUGUGUCUGUGAGUGUGUGAGUAUGUGUCAGUGUGUCUGUGAGUGUGUGUGUGUCUGUGAGUGUGUGAGUAUGUGUCAGUGUGUGUCUGUGAGUGUGUGUGUGUGUCUGUCAGUGUGUGAGUGUGUGUGUCUGUGAGUGUGUGAGUAUGUGUGUCUGUGAGUGUGUGAGUAUGUGUGGCUGUGAGUGUGUGUGUGUGUCUGUCAGUGUGUGAGUGUGUGUGUCUGUGAGUGUGUGAGUAUGUGUGUCUGUGAGUGUGUGAGUAUGUGUGUCUGUGAGUGUGUGUGUGUGUCUGUGAGUGUGUGUGUGUGUAUAUAUAUAUAUAUAUAUAUACACACACACACACACACGCGCGGCGUGUGUUUGUGCUUUAGGGUGCACACCCUAAUGCAAUAGGCUGGGCACGCCUAUGGUCACAACAGGCUUCUUUUCAGAUGUACAUUUUGAGUUUUCUGGUGAUGUGUGUUGGCUGAAUGUAAUGUGUGUGGUGCUUGCUUCUUGUAUGUAAUGUUUGUGUGGUAUUUGCUGACUGUCAUGUGUGCGUCUGGUGUGUGCAGACUGUAUGUUGUGUGCGUCUGGUGUGUGCUGGCUGUAUUGUGAGAGCCUGCGUGUGUGCUGGCAGUAUGUUUUUGUGUGAGUGUUUGCCUGGCACGUGCUGGAUGUAUAUUGUGUGUGUGUGUCUGGUGUGUGCUGACUGUAUGUAAUGUGUGUUUGUCAGUGUGUAGUGUAGUGGGUGUGGGAUCUCCUAUUUUUAACAAACCUUAAGUCUAAAUCAUUCUUCAAGUUUUUUGAGCUUCACACAAUCUCUGUAAUUUUUCUCUUAGCAGUUCUGGCACUGAGUGAGUCAUAGUGCAUACUCAGAGUCACGGCGGCUGCAGAGUGCUAGAAUCGCAGAUUGAGUGUCUGCUGAGAAUAUAGCACUCACACUCCUUGUCCCCAAACACUGUUUUCUCUCUAGCAGCCCUGCAGCUUGCAUGCCAAAGCAAACUGCUUGCCUGGCUACUGGAACUGCAUGUAAUGUGUGUGAUCUCUGUAUGGAAUACAAACGGAACUGCAUGCCCUGGGCAUCAGGUAAUAAAAAUUCCACAUCCCUGGUCUGUAAAUUACGGGGCUCCAUGAUAAUGAAGGGUGUAUAUCACAGAGCAUUACAAGCAUAUUUGUCUUUUAGCCACAAUAUAAUUUUUGUGCCCCUCCUGAGAUUGAGUUCUGGAUCCUCCCCUGAAAGAAAAUCAGGGAUUGAGUUAAAAGGAGAAAGCAGAUCAGUUACCUGGAAACCUUCAAAUAUUUUUUAAUAAAAACAACAUUUAGAAAUAUGCAUUUAAUUCUUUUAAUAUGCUUUUAAUGUGUUUGAUGCGUGUCAUGUUAAAGACUUACUCCAACCACCAUGACCACAGUGAUUUAAAGUGGUCAUGGUGGUAGAAGUCUGGAUGUGCAAUGUUUCAAUUUGAAACACUGCACAUGCAAAGAUAUUUUCAACUGUGUGCUGGGGGCAAGUUGUACCCCCUCUACUCGUGAUAUUUGGCAACCCAGAACUUCCUAAAAUAAAUUCUGUGCAUAAAUUACGUCUGUUGUCAGGGUGUACAGCAUGCUGACUCCACAUGUGAAAAUCUUCCCCUUGCAGGCAGAGAGCUUGGAAGGAGAAGCUAGCUCUACCUUCCAUCCCAGUGGACACUCCCUUCCCGGCGCUCCUUUGCUGGCAGAUCUCCUGGCCCAGCCAGGAGCGUGCACAUACAUCAGGAGGGAACGUGGAAGUAGGGAGACCUCCUCCAUAGUGCCCAACUAGUGCGUUUUACACAUAAACGGUCCCCGAUCCAAAGGGGUUUAAAGAGCAGAUUGUUGGUAUCUUGCUAUGUCCAUGUUUAUCCCCUUUUUUCUAAUUGUUUUUUUUUUUUCUGCUGAAACCCAUUAAAGUUGACUUAUUGACCUUAAGAAGAUUCCUCUUCAAGCAGGAAAACACAGGUGCCCAAAGACCCACCACAGAUUUGCAAUUAAAAUAUCAGUGGUUGAUAUUUUAUUGGCGCUAUUCCCAUUUAUUAUUUAAAGAGUUACUCACUUUUUGAACUCUUUAUACCUGGAGUGUGUUGUUCGAAUUUAAUAUUUCAUACAUUAAUCAUACAUUAAUAUCACAACUUUUUAUAAAAAUUAUAAUAUUUAUUUUUGUCAAUAAGUGUAAAUAUACAUGGUAAUUAGUGAACAGGUUUUCAAUAAUAUUGAACAAGAUAUGGCAUAGUACAGUAUCACAAUCUCAGUAGCAAUUUAAAACUCGUUAGAGUGAUGGGUUCAACUGGGUUAGCAUAUGGAAUAUGUUACUUCAUAUACAAAUGAUUGAGACAAUCAACAAAUAGAAUGUUACUAUUUGUUAAAUUAUAAAGAACCAUAUGAGUUUAUCAGCAUAUGGAUUAUUAUAAUUUAAAGACAGAUGUUCAGGAUCUUAAAGAAAUACAAUCUUACUUGUUUUUUUUUUUUUUACUCUUAGUAAGAUUUACAAUGUGUGGCGUGUUUGCUUAAUGUAAACACCAUCCAUUAGACUUAGCUGGACAGAGUUCGUUAUUUACUCAGGUGAUCUAUGCACAAAGUUUUACGGACAAUUUUUUAUCAGCUAGCUAUAGAAUUUUGACCAGCUCAGUGCUGACAAGUUAGUGUCUUAUUACCCCCUCCAAGCCCUACCAGGUGUCUGCUUCCCCCUCUCAGUGUCUCAUUGGCCCCUCCCAGACCCCCAAGCCUAACCUUGUUUCCCAUUCACCCCUGCCAGCCCCAUUCAUGUGUCCCAUUUCCCCUCCUAGCCCAAUCCAUGUGUCCCAUUUCCCCCCUUCCCUCCCUGUCCAUGUGUCUAUCCUCCCUCCCCUAUUGUACCUGUCAAUGUGUCUCUCCCCCUUCCCUCCUGUACCUGUCCAUUUGUCUCUCCCCCCCUCCUUCCUAUACCUGCCAAUGUGCCUCUCCCCCCUCCCCUUCUGUACUUGUCCACGUGCCUCUCCUCCAUCCCCUCCUUUCAGGUGUCUCUCCCCCCUCCCAUCCUGUACCUGAUCACCAUGGUACAGUACCCGGUCUGCCAGGAAGUGCUCUCUCAGUGAGCACUUCCUGGGAGACUGCAGUCCGCUCAGCCACACUACAACAGUGGCAGGAGGGGAGCAGCUCAGCACAGCACUCCCCUCCUACCGAUCACCAUCAUUGUUACUCACCUUUCUCUUCUCCUCGGUCUGCAUCUACGGAGCGCCGCCGGCACAAAAUGUCGUCAAAAUAAAAUGGCGGCGGGUCCGUGGAGCAUUCGUAAAGGCGGUAGUACGUAAAGCAGGAGUACGUAAAGCGGGAAAUGCCUGUACAUUUCUAUAAGUUUCAAACAGCACGUGGAGCUGUUGGUUUACGUCAGGAGCAUUACCAGCUAUUAUUAUAUAGGGUUAAUCCUUAUUCAGGACAAUUUAGGAAUGUUUAAUUUUAAGAUGCUUUAGGUAGCAUUUCUUCUUUCUCUGUGUGGACUUUGGUUGUUCAAACCAUUGUGUCCUUGCUCACCUAAGCAUUAUGGCAUUUCAAGAUUUUUAAGCUGUCUAACUUAAUUUAUCUGUAGGUAAUUACAUCUUUAUAUGUAUACACAUGUUUCUCUCUCUCUCUCUCUCUCUCUCUCUCUCUCUCUAUAUAUAUAUAUAUAUAUGUAUAGAUUGCUAACUUAGGCUAAAUCACACUAUAUAAUUAAACUUAAUAUAAUUAAACUUAAUUUCUAUGCCUUAUAGCAAUAUAUGUGUGUUUGCUCAACAUGUAUUUUUUUUUUUUUUAAUAACACAUACUUAUCUGUGUUCUUAUCUUUAUUGACACAGAUGUGUUUACUUUUGCCUGUCUCUUUUAGCUGACAGGGCCAACAUUUGAGAAAAACAUCUUGUUUCUUCAUUGUAGCACCUCAUGGCAUAUUAGCUAAAUUUUGUUUUUGCUAUUAUGCAUGUAUAAAUUUUUAUCACACAAUAUAUACGUAUUUCUUUCCUACACAAUAUCUCUGACACAAUGUAAAGAUAGCAUUUUCUAUAAAAAAAAAAAAACUGCAAUCAAGUAUUGCUUUGCUGACCUUUCCUAUUACGUAUUCACAUGUAUAUAGUUUUUUGUUUUUUUAGACUUUCUGAAUACCACUUAGGGCCGGAUUAACAUAGGGGCAGAUGGAGCUGCAGCUCCAGGCCCAAUCAUGUGUAAGAAAAUGUAUCUGUUGUUAGCGCACACUGCACACUGGCAACAGAUAUUAGAUAUUAUUAACUUUUUCCCUCCCUCCUUCCUUCAGUUAAGCCCUCUUGCUUUCCUACAUAUAUCUAUUUUUAUUGUAAUAUAUAUUUAACUUCCCUUCUCCCUCCCUUUCCUCUCCAUCUUAGAAUGUAUGCAUCCGCUCUGAGCCUGUUAAACAGUCCAAUCAAAUGCUUUUCUGUGAUUUGCGUUUCAUUGGACCUCGCCAUGGCUGUCAUGAUGCCAUGUUUUCUGACUCUCCAUUGUUAGUAGUAAAGGCAGGGAUCAGCACUCCUGGUAGAAAGUCAAAUCAUUCCAAAACAGUUUGACUACUAACAAUGGGAUUCGGCCCCAGGGCACUCCAGACACCUUAACCACGUCAAUGAACUGUAGUGGUUACAAAGAUAAAAUAUAAAAUAUAUAAUGUAGAAGUCAUGACAAUAGCAGAGUUGGAUAAUGUCACCAUGUCGGAGUAUGGUGUAUGUUAGAAUUUUUGUAGAGACAAUGCAUUGUAAAUAUGGGGACCACCUCCACCAUGGGUUGUGCCAUUAGCAGCACACAUUUUAAUAUGUCAAAUAAAACAGAAAAAAAAUGUUUUCUUUGUGUGUUUUGUUGUAUAUAUAUUUUAUCCCUAUAGUUUCUGAUGCACCUGGGCAUGAGAAGGGUUAAUCUAUGCAUUAUCUUGCUUUUCGCAAACCCUAGCAUUAAAUACAUCCAUACUGAAUAGAUGAAGCGGUGAAGAACUGCAUUUAUUUUUAACAAAUCCCACAGGAAAAGCUCUGCAUGAUAACUAUGCACUAACAGUUGGAACUGAAGGCUUUUCAAAUAUCAGUACAUUAUCAUUUUCCCAAUCAGUAAUAUGCUCUGAAAUAUUAGGACAUUGCAAAUCUCAAAGUUUCUUGUGUGUGCUGAUAACCGUAAUCUAUAUCACCACAUUGUCUGAUCAAAGCAAAGUUCUACCCAGUGAAAAUGUAGGGCUUAAUUAACUAAAGUCAGCAUUAGGAUUCCUUGUACUUUUUAAAUAUAUGAAGUAACUAUACAGGUUAAACCACCAACUUUGCCAAACAAGAACUUAAACAUGUAUUAUAUACCUCUUUAUUAGUGUUGUGUGCUGUGUUACUUAAAGUAUAGGUAUAUGGACUUAUACAGAAUAUACUAUUCUGCAUUAAUUAUUUUAAAAAAUUGCAUAUUUCAAAAUCGUUAUUAAGACCACAUGGAAUAAUUUCACUAAAGUAUAAGUGGAUCUACACUAUAGUCUGUAUCUUUUUACCCUGAGAUAAUCAGAGGAAAAGGGGUAAAAUAAAAGUCACCACCAGAACUACUACACCAACGAGGUGAGUGGUCGCCCAAAACGGACCAACAAGCAAUACAUACCGGAGCUAGGUCAUAUAGCUCUGGAAAUUGUGAGUGUUAAAUUGGCAAUUCAUGCACUUUUAACUGUUUUAAAAAUUUUCACACAAUUGCACUUUAUGUCUUUGUUUAAAGGGAUAUACGCUUGAUUGAAGCUGCUCAAAAGAGGAAAUGGAGCUAAGCGCUUUUAUGGUAUAUAUAUAUAUAUAUAUAUAUAUAUAUAUAUACUGCUCAAAAAAAUAAAGGGAACACUUAAACAACACAAUGUAACUCCAAGUCAAUCACACUUCUGUGAAAUCAAACUGUCCACUUAGGAAGCAACACUGAGUGACAAUCAAUUUCACAUGCUGUUGUGCAAAUGGGUUAGACAACAAUUGGAAAUUAUAGGCAAUUAGCAAGACACUUCCAAUAAAGGAGUGGUUCUGCAGGUGGUGACCACAGACCACUUCUCAGUUCCUAGUGGUGGCAUGAGACGGAGUCUACAACCCACACAAGUGGCUCAGGUAGUGCAGCUCAUCCAGGAUGGCACAUCAAUGCGAGCUGUGGCAAGAAGGUUUGCUGUGUUUGUCAGCGUAGUGUCCAGAUCAUGGAGGCGCUACCAGGAGACAGGCCAGUACAUCAGGAGACGUGGAGGAGGCGGUAGGAGGGCAACAACCCAACAGCAGGACCGCUACCUCCGCCUUUGUACAAGGAGGAACAGGAGGAGCACUGCCAGAGCCCUGCAAAAUGACCUCCAGCAGGCCACAAAUGUCUGCUCAAACGGUCAGAAACAGACUCCAUGAGGGUGAUAUGAGGGCCCGACGUCCACAGGUGGGGAUGGUCCUUACAGCCCAACACCGUGCAGGACGUUUGGCAUUUGCCAGAGAACACCAAGAUUGGCAAAUUCGCCACUGGCGCACUGUGCUCUUCACAGAUGAAAGCAGGUUCACACUGAACACAUGUGAUAGAUGUGACAGAGUCUGGAGACACCAUGGAGAACGUUCAGGGCCGGACUGGCCCACCGGGAUACCGGGAAAUUUCCCGGUGGGCCGCGGCACCUGGGGCCGCGCUGACAGCCCUUAUCAUUGCUCAGGCUCCUGUGAUCCCGGCCGGCCAUGUGUGAGCUGUGCGGCCGCACAGAGCCCCAUGGGAGCAGGGGGUGCCAGGCAGCCGGCACAGCUCACACAUGGCCGGCCGGGAUCAUAAAAAAUAAAUUAAAAAAUUUAAAAUAAUAUUGAGGCGGGGCGGAGCUUAGUGUGAGAGGGGGUGGGGCUUAGCAUGCAGCGGGGGCGAGGCUUAGCGUGCAGCGGGGCCAGGCUUAUGCAGCAUGGGAAGUAGGAAGGAGUCCCUGCUUCCCCAACAACCAGCCUCCAGGAGCUCCAAGGAGGAGGUAAGAAGCAGGUCAUUGUGUCUGUGUGUCUGUCUGCCUGUGUUUGUGUGUGUGUGUGUGUGACUGUCUGCCUGUGUGUGUGUGUGUGUGUCUGUCUGCCUGUGUGUGUGUCUGUCUGCCUGUGUGUGUGACUGUCUGCGUGUGUGUAACUGUUUGUGUGUGACUGCCUGCCUGUGUAUGUGUGUGGCUGUCUGCCUGUCUCUGUAUGUGUGGAUGUUUCCCUUGGUGUCAGUGACUGUCUGCCUCUGUGUAUGGAUGUCUUUGUGUGUGUGCAUUUGCUAGUGAGUGAGCGAGCGAGCUUCUGUGUGUGUGUGUGUGUGUGUGUGUGCGCGCAUCUGCUAGUGAGGGAGCCUCUGUGUGUGUGCGCCUGCUAGUGAGUUUGUGUGUGUGUGUGUGUGCCUGCUAGUGAGUGAGCUUGUAUGUGUAUCAGUGAGCUUGUCUGUAGGGAUCAUAUGUGUGUGUGCGUGUUAGUGAGCUUGUCUGUAAGGAGCAUGGGUGUGUCGGAGCCUGUCUGUGGUGAGCAUGUGUAUACAGUUAGCUUGUCUGUAGUAAGCAUGAGUGUGAUCGUGAGCUUGUCUGUAGUGACCAUAUGUGUGUCAGUGAGCUUGACUGUAGUGAGCAUGUGUGUGUCAGUGAGCUUGUCUGUAGUGAAUCUGUGUGUUAGUGAGCUCUUCUGUAGGGAGCAUGUGUGUGUCAAUGGGCUUGUCUGUAGGGAGAGUGUGUGCGUAUCAGUGACCUUGUCUGUAGUGAGCAUGUGUGUGUGACAGUGAGCUUGUCUGUAGUAAGCUUGUGUGUGUACCAGAUUUUGUCUGUACUAAGUUUGUGUGCGUGCCAGUAACCUUGUCUAUGUGUGUCAUUGAGAUUGUCUGUCAAUGAGCCUACUUGUGUGCAUCAGUAAGAUUGUCUGUGUCUGUGUGUGAGUAUGCUUUACUGUAUAAUUUAAUUACCCUGAAAGAAGAAAUGUAUCAAUAAUAUAUACAUAUAUAUAUAUAUAUAAGCUUUAGUACCUUGCACUCAGGCUUCAAAGUUGUGUGACCGGGUGCAUCACCAGGGCUCCAGUAGCCAGGCAAUUGAAAUAGUUGGCUGCACUCUCAGAUUUCCUUAAAACAUAACUUUUAUUGAAAUAUUUAGGAGAAGAUCAAUGUUUCAGUCCCUCUUGUGGACUUUCAUCGUGAUCCUGAUGAAAGUCCACAAGAGGGACUGAAACGUUGAUCUUCUCUUAAAUAUUUCAAUAAAAGUUACGUUUUAAGGAAAUCCGAGAGUGCAGCCAACUAUUUCAAUUGCCUAUAUAUAUAUAUAUAUAUAUAUAUAUAUAUAUAUAAACACCCUACAUAGCACAAUGACUUAUGGGGCUGGCAGUGAUUUUUUCCAGGGCUGCUUCGUAUCCCCAGUCCGGCCCUGAGAACGUUCUGCUGCCUGCAACAUCCUCCAGCAUGACCGGUUUGGCAGUGGGUCAGUAAUGGUGUGGGGUGGCAGUUCUUCAGGGGGGGCCGCACAGCCCUCCAUGUGCUCGCCAGAGGUAGCCUGACUGCCAUUAGGUACCGAGAUGAGAUCCUCAGAACCCUUGUGAGACCAUAUGAUGGUACGGUUGACCCUGGGUUCCUACUAAUUCACGACAAUGCUAGACCUCAUGUGGCUGGAGUGUGUCAGCAGUUCCUGCAAGACGAAGGCAUUGAUGCUAUGGACUGGCCUGCCCGUUCCCAGGACCUGAAUCCAAUUGAGCACAUCUGGAACAUCAUGUCUUGCUCCAUCCACCAACGUCACGUUGCACCACAGACUGUCCAGGAGUUGGCAGAUGCUUUAGUCCAGGUCUGGGAGGAGAUCCCUCAGGAGACCAUCCACCACCUCAUCAGGAGCAUGCACAGGCGUUGUAGGGAGGUCAUACAGGCACGUGGAGGCCACACACACUACUGAGCCUCAUUUUGACUUGUUUUAAGGACAUUACAUCAAAGUCGGAUCAGCCUGUAGUGUGUUUUUCCACUUUAAUUUUGAGUGUGACUCCAAAUCCAGACCUCCAUGGGUUGAAAAAUUUGAUUUCCAUUUUUUUAUUUUUGUGUGAUUUUGUUGUCAGCACAUUCAACUAUGUAAAGAACAAAGUAUUUCAGAAGAAUCUAGGACGUGUUAUUUUUGUGUUCCCUUUUAUUUUUUUGAGCAGUGUAUAUAUAUAUAUAUAUAUAUAUAUAUAUAUAUAUAUAUAUAUAUAUAUGCAUGGAAUGAUUCUGACACUACAUAGAUAGCACUCCACUAUUUGUUUUAUAUAUUUGUCAUUCUAUUAGUUAUCCCAACUUUAAAAAAGUAUUUUCUUCCAGCGCCUUAGAGUUUGCCAAUGCUGGCUUUUCCCCAGAUCCUCCUCCAUGGCUGACAUCAUCAGAAUUUCCCAAUCCCAUAGAAAAAGAGUUACAUUUGAAUUUCACUUAGAAUUCUUACUGUAGUAAAUAACCCUGCUAGUUAACUAUUAGAUUCUGCUAAUUGUAAGAAAGUGACAGUAUAAAUUUAAGGCCCGCAAAACAUUAAGAAAUUAAAGAGUUAAGGUUUUGACCUCUGCAGCACAGUAUAGGGGCAGUAGUUGCAGCUUAGUGCCUGAUGAUAGGCCCCAGUGCAUUCUGUGUAAUAAUUUAUUUUUACCUACACACCCCUUUCCUCCAAUCUUCACUCCCAAUCAAUUAUACAGAGCCCGCUGCCACGUUGUUCUCACCUGUCUGUUUUAUUUAUGAUAACACACGGUAUAGAAGUCAUUAUCACAGAAUCAUGGCUCUGUGAUGUUAUUUUGGAAACAGUUUGUGUAGAGCAAACUGCUGCCUGAGAUUGUGACCAAGAAAAUGAAACAUAAAUAAAUUCCUUAGUAAACAUGAUCAUACUCGAAUCGCAAAUUGUAAUCAGCAUGGCGUGAUGCCUGUAUUAAUUCCAGCUACACAAUCUGUUAUUUAAAGUGAUAGCAACAUGUAAUAAAAACAUAUGUGCCGUAUGUUGGUGUAUAACUGUGUUCAAAUGGUGGCUAGAACAACUAAAAAAAUAAAUUACACAGAAAUUUAUUUGGAUACCUGUCAUAAGCCCCAUCUGCACAUUAACAUAAUCAUAUAUCUAAUAUAUUUAUGUUAAUAUUUUUCACGGGAAAACAACACAUUUCACAUAUGAUAUUUGAGCAGGAAAAAAAAAAAAACACCUUUAAUAUAUAUUUACACUUUAUCUCAUUUGCCAGAAUAUAAACACAAACUGGUUUCAGUUUGUGUGGCUUAUUUGUCUACAGUAUCAAUACCCUAGAAUUGAACAAGCUGAUUUGAUUUACCAAAAAGGCCAAAAUUGUGAACAUCCAAUUUAGAAAUCUUUUACAAAAUCCCAACAAAUACAAUAUUACACCUUCUGCAUCGCCAACUGACAAAUUAAAUGUGCUGGGUGGUUUUAGCAGUCUGGCUCAACAAGUACAUCUCUUGCAGUUUGCUUAGCAAUUAGAAAUUGGACAUUUGCCGUGGCAUGGUAUUUGGCAAAGGAAUCUCUUGGCUUUCUGCUUAGCGGCAAGUUAAGAAACAAAAUAUAGAAUUUAAAGGUACUAGCGACUAAAUCCACUAAAUGCAGUAUCCAUGCUCACAACCCUGUAUGUUUACUGUUUAAACUAUGCGUAAAAGCUGUUGAAAAUCUGCAGCUGCAAACACUGGGAGUUUUGUGACAGUUACCUUUAUUUGAGGCCCUUCACUAGGAGCUUCAACCUAGAACGUGUAGCUAAAACCAAUGCAUUUAUUAAUAUGACGCUCUUUAACAGCACACUGUAGUGGUUAUGGUGUCAAGAAGGCCAUGGCACCCUGCCCCCCAGUUGUGGCUAGUGAAUGGGGGCAAUUCUGCUAUCAUAACCACUGCAGAGUGCUGUUGUGCUUAUUGUGUUUAUGAAGUGUUCAUUUAAAUGGUUUCUCCAAUCACCACCAUAACUACUACAGUCCGCUGAUGUGGUUAUGAUAGUAGGAGUACCCUGGUGCUCUUCCCCAGUAUUGGGCAAAGUAUAUUACAACAAUUUUUCCUCUUACCUGAGUCCAGGUUGGGGGCCACAUCUCUUACAUAGUGACAUAGCUGAAAAGAGAUUUGCGUCCAUCAAGUUCAGCCUUUCUCACAUAUGUUUUUGCUGUUGAUCCAAAAGAAGGCAAAAAAAAAACAGUUUGAAGCACUUCCAAUUUUGCAACAAACUAGGAAAAAAAUUCCUUCCUGACCCCAGAAUGGCAGUCAGAUUAAUCCUUGGAUCAAGAAGCUAUUACCCUACAUUAAACAUUUAUAUCCUUGAAUAUUCUAUUUUUGCAAGUAUGCAUCUAGUUGCUGUUUGAACUUCUGUAUGUACUCUGAUAAAACCACUUCUUCAGGCAGAGAAUUCCACAUCCUUAUUGUUCUUACAGUAAAAAAGUAUUUUCUUUGCCUUAGACAAAAUCUUCUUUCUUCCAGUCUAAACGCAUGACUUCGUGUCCUAUGUAAAGUUCGGUUUGUGAAUAGAUUUCCACACAACGGUUUGGAUUGGCCCCAGAUAUAUUUGUAUAAUGUUAUCAUAUCCCAUCUGAGGUGACGUUUUUCUAAACUAAAGAGGUUUAAAUUUGUUAACCUUUCUUCAUAGCUGAUAUGUUCCAUUCCUAUUAUUAACUUUGUAGCUCGCUACUUUUUCUAGUGCCACAAUAUCCUUCUUUAGAACAGGUACUCAAAAUUGCACAGCAUAUUAAAGAUGUGGUCAAACCGGUGAUUUAUAAAGAGGCAAAAUGAUAUUCUCAUCUCGAAAUGAAUGCCCUUUUUCAUGCAUGAUAAUACCUUACAGGCCUUAGCCACUGCUGACAUUACACAUUGUUGCAUAGUUUGUUGUCUAUAACAAUUCCCAAGUCCUUUUCGUAUGUUGUUAUCUCUAAUUUGCUUCCAUUAAGAGUAUACGUUGCUUGUGCAUUCUUUAGUGCCCAGUCCCUCAAUCUAUCUAAAUCCCUCUGUAGCAAAGUAAUAUCUUGCUCACAUUGUAUUACUUUACAGAGUUUUGUGUCAUCUGCAAACACUGAAUCAUGACUUUCAAUGCUUUAUUCAAGAUCAUUUAUAAACAUGUAAAAUAGAAGGGGUCCCAGAACAGAACCCUGGGGGACACCACUUGCCACUUCUGUCCAGUUUGAAAAUUUACCAUUAAUGUCAACUCUUUGUACUCUAUUUUUAGGCCAAUGUUCUACCCAAGAACAAGAAUGUUCACCUAGACCGAUUUCUUUGAGUUUAAACACUAAUCUAUUGUGUGGAACUGUAUCAAAUGCCUUGGCAAAAUCCAAAUAGAUCACAUCCACUGCAACACCCUGAUUUAUACUUCUACUUACUUCUUCGUAGAAUGCAAUAAAAUUUGUUUGACAUGACCUGUUCUUCAUAAAACCAAGCUGAUUUUUGCUGAUAACCAUGUUCUUCUCAAGGAAUUUUUGAAUAUUAUCCCUUAAUAACCUUUCAAAUACUUUUCCACCCACAGAAGUUAAGCUCACAAGUCUAUAAUUUUCAGGCAAGGAUUUUGAACCCUUUUUGAAUAUAGGAACCACAUCUGCCUUCCUCCAUUCCUCCGGAACACUUUCUGAAAGAAAAGAAUCUUGAAAGAUUAAAAACAGAGGUUCACUUUUUUUCUCCACUUAGUUACUUAAGUACUUGUGGAUGAAUACCGUCAGGCUCUGGAGAUUUGUUUGUUUUGUCCAUAGUUUAUGCUUCCUGUGCUAUUAACCAUUUCCCCCAGCAUAUAGUUAAUUAUAUAAGGCAUUGCUUAACAGUUUGACUUUUAACAUGUUUGUUUCAUAACAUUAUGUGAAAUUAAGUAGUAUUUAUCUGCAUAUACUUAAUGCUAUGCCAUAUUCAGUUAGAACAUAAUAUGGUGUCAAGCAGCAGGAUGUCCAUGUGUAUUAUAUUGCAUGUAGUAUGCAAAGUGCUUCUGUCUGCCUCAUUAUAGUGAUAUGUAUAUAUUUUACUCGCCUGUGUGCACUUUCAUGGUCUUUCAUGGUAAAUCGGGUGUUGCCUGGAAUAAAAAGAGCUCUUGAAGGCUCCAGCCUGCCUCUAAUGCCUCUAUUUCGGAUCCCGUCCUGUAGAUUGUGUUAUAACUGUCCUUACAUGAUUCCAUGAGAGAGAAAAUAAAAAUAACAAGUGAUCUGCAGCGAUAGUGAAUUAUAGAUUGUGAAAUGGUGUUUGCUUCAGACAGUUAUGGUUCCUUAACUCCUUAAUGGCUAAGUGCCAUAGUUUGCAACAUCACAAUAUUGUCCCCAAAGAUAGGAUGUCAGCAUGAAAUAUCUUGCUUAUUUAGCUUUGGAAAUGUUGGAGUUCUGCUUUUGUUAAAAGAGCAAAAGUUUUCAUUACGGAAUAUGAUCAUAAUGACAGCAUAAACAUUGAUUAGUCCUUAAGGGGUUAAAUCAUGGUGCAUUACUAUGAAAUAGAUAUCUUAGUCUACUCAAAAUGAUGAUAGUUACACCAGGUAGAAGCUGCAUAAAACAUAGAAUAAAAUAAAAUAAAUUCCAUGCACACCAAGAAUAAUUGCACAUAAAAAAAGUUUUCAAAGUGGGUUGGGGGACAGCUGGAAAGAGGAGUGUGGCACCCGUCUGCUUCCAAAGUGUAGGUUGUUUUUUUUAUUUUUUUUACCAUUAAAAUUGAUAUAUUUAUUUUUUUAUAAUUUACUAAUACUGGUUUGUCAUCUGUUGAACUUACACUGCCUCAGUGGUUCAACCCUGGCUCUAUCAGAGAUCAGACUGAUAUUAACAGCAGUGUAUCGAACCUUAUAGUUUCUUAUCUUGUAUUGGUUAUUAGAAUGUUCUUCAUAGCUAGCAUAGUGUACUGCAUAUUAAUUAUGUCAAAAUACUCUCAUAGGGAACAUCCUAGUACAAGCAUGUCAAACUCAAAGGCUAAGACGGGCCAAAUAAACAAGGUUUACGUUUAUGUGGGCCGCAAAAAAAACAAACUUCAGUUUCCAUAGAAACGUAGGUGUAUUUAGAAAAGUACAGUAUAAAAAAAUGUUGCCUAACUGACACUGGACGUCCUCUCACUCGUAGGGCUUCAAAAUAUAUGCAUAUAGACAUCGUUUCAGUCAAACUACCUUGACAUAUUAAGAAAUGUUUGGUAAUGGGACUGAAAUGGUGAAUGUAUGCUGUUGCACAGCUGUAAAAACAAAUGACGUUAUCUUGUUUUUUUUUGAAGUUCUAGGAGUGUGUUCUUCACUUUGGCUGAGAUCAUCAAACUUCCAAGACCACUUAGAUACGCCGCAAUUAAUUUGAAGGAGGCGGAAUUCGGUAAAAACAACGUAUGAACAAAGAGGC